Molecule: long non-coding RNA, 120976 nt
Filed under: Citrus x clementina
Lineage: Eukaryota; Viridiplantae; Streptophyta; Magnoliopsida; Sapindales; Rutaceae
Description: Citrus clementina (C. clementina) long non-coding RNA (CCLE_LNC001436)
Source: RNAcentral
GUAGCAUGCUUAUCAGAAAAGGAUGCUUGGGAACUGUUUCAAGAAAAAGUUGGGGAAGAAACUCUUGAGAGUGAUCAUGAUAUCGUUGAGCUAGCCCAAACCGUGGCCAAGAAGUGUGGUGGUUUGCCACUCGCACUUAUUACUAUUGGUCGAGCUAUGGCCAUCAAAAAGACAGCCGAGGAGUGGAGACAUGCAAUUGAAGUGUUAAGACGAUCAGCUUCAGAGUUUCCAGGUUUGGGAAAAGAGGUGUAUCCUCUUUUAAACUUUAGCUAUGAUAGUUUGCUGAAUGAGACGAUUAGAUCUUGUUUCUUAUAUUGUUGUUUAUAUCCUGAAGAUUAUGGCAUUCUUAAAUGGGACUUGAUUGAUUGUUGGAUUUCUGAGGGAUUCUUAGAGGAAUCUAAUAGGUUUGGUUGUUAGAGUGCAAUUUAUGCACUAGUUUUGCAUUAUUUACUUCCCUUAAUAUCAAUGUUUUGCACUUAAUAAUAGUGAUUUACUUGUGUUUUACUUUUGUAGGUGCAAUUCUAUUGAUUGAUGAUAAAAUUGAGCUAUAAGAUGAUGUUUAAGGAUGAUUGUUCUCUUGAAGAAAUUAUGAGCGUCAGAAGAACUUUGUUGAUAAGGCGUGGGCGCGUGCUGUCAACUGCGGACCUGCAGUUUUAGUUUAACGUGUUUUGUAUUUUUGGUUAUUUUUGUAAUUACGAAUUUAAUAUUUCAGAUAUUAGGAUUUUAUUUUAAAUAGAAUUCUAAAAGAGAAGAGAGAGAAAGUAUUUAAGGGAGGAAUCUAUUGUGAAAGGGGGAUUUUGGAUUGGAGAAAAAGAAACCCUAGAUCUAAUUUUUCUCUUCUCUCUAUGAGGAACUAAACCCAUUUUUCUGGUUGAAGGUUAAUGAAGCUUUGAUUCAUCACUACUGUGAGAUCUUUCUUGUGCUUUAAUUGUUUUAUUACUUUUUGGGUAUUUGUUUAUUCUCUGAAUUAUUUUCAUGAUUAUGUUUGUUAAUUAGGUAAUUGGCCACUAUUUAAUUAUCAACUUAAUCUAUUGUCAAUUAAAGGAUUCAUCGUAUGAAGAAUUUAAUGUUUGUGACAAAUAACAUAGCAGAGAGUUGUGUUGUGAGAAUAAACAAUCUAAUUUAAAUGAAUCAUCAUAUGUGUUGAUUAGGAUUUGGGUCUCUCUGGUUUUUCAGGCUGUCAAUUGAUUAAAUUCUAUGAUCGUAUCUAGGGUUGUCUAUUGAUUAGGGAAAUAACCAACGGUCGUACCUUGGUUAUCGACUAGUUAAGGAGAGAUUGGCUAUUAGAGGGUCUCAGUAGCUAUAACCGGUCUAUUCAUGAGUAAUAAUAAUCUAUAUUUGAAUCAAUGAUCAGUAGUCGAAUCAAGCUGAGUUAAUUCCUUCAACCAGAGCUUUCUCCAAUUUGAAUUACAACUUUAAUUUGCAUUCUUGUUAUUUUAAUUUGAUUUUUAUUAUUGUCAACAAUUCCCCUAUUUUACGUUUUACGUUUCAAAAGGAUUUAAUUAAUUACCGAUCUCUGUGGACACGACCCUGCUCAAUCACUAUACACAAUUUAUUUAGAGUAGGAAUUUACUUUUGUUGGCUUCGACACCCAUCAUUGGUGCAGAAAACCGAGGAUACUACAUUGUGGGCACUCUUGUUCAUGUGUGUUUACUAGAAGAGAUAGAAGAUGAUAAAGUAAAAAUGCUUGACGUUGUUCGUGAUAUGGCUCUAUGGAUAGCUUGUGAAACUGAGAAGGAGAAGAUAAACUUUUUGGUUUGUGCAGGUGCUGGAUUAGAAGAGGCACCGGAUGUUAAAGAAUGGGAAAAUGUGAGAAGAUUGUCAUUGAUGCAAAACCAAAUUGAAACUCUGUCAGAGGUUCCCACAUGCCCUCAUUUCGUCACUUUAUUUCUUGACUUUAAUGGGGAGUUGAAGAUGAUCGCGGAUGGCUUCUUCCAACUUAUGCCUUCUCUCAAAGUUUUGAAGAUGUCAAACUGCUGGAAUUUGAAAUUUCUUGUUGGGAUGUCAAAGUUGGGUUCGCUACAGCUUCUUGAUAUUUCACAGAACGCCAUAGAAGAGUUACCAGAAGAGUUGAAGUUGUUGAUAAAUCUGACAUGUUUGAAUUUGAGGGGGACAGGCCAAUUAAAUAAAAUUCCACGGCAACUAAUAUCAAAUUUUUCAAGGUUACGUGGGUUAAGGAAGUUCAUAACGUGUGCAAGCAGUCAACUCAAGGUUAGCACGUGGGAGAAUUUGCUGAGCUAAAGUUAGUUAAAUAAGCAAUGCCAGCUCAACAAAUUCAGUCAAGGUUUACUGAGAUUUUAUUCCUAUUGUUUUCUUUUCUGUUAACAAUGUAUAAAGGUGUUCUUUGUACUCAUUUGAUCAUUAAGAAAAAAAGAAAUAAAAUCUAGAAUAUUCUCUGAAGUUUUCUCAGUAAAACAGAGUAAAUUUUCUCAGUAACUAAACAGUAUAUAUCAGUGGAAUUUACGUUUUAUAACAUGGUAUCAGAGCCAAACAGUAACCAGCAAACAAUGAUGAGAAAUCUAGCAAUCAAUAAUACACAUCAACACACUCAAAUCAAUUUCUCUUUCACGAAUCCAAUUAAACUAGAUCGAUCAAACUACCUGCUCUGGCGUUCACAAGUUCUGGCUUCGAUUAGAGGUAAUCGACUAGAAGACUUCAUAACUAGAAUCAAAUCAACAUCUGAAGAAAAUAUUUUGUUAGCUGGAGUUGAUGGAUCUACACAACAAAUUGAGAAUCCUGAGUAUCAGAUCUGGAGAUCACAAGAUCAAAUUCUUCUUGGUUGGCUACUGUCAACCUUAAGUGAAGGUAUCCUUAGUCUUGUUAUUAACUGUAAAAGCUCAUUUUCUUCAGCUCAGAUAUGAACUGAACACUCUUAAAAAGGAGUCUCUUAGUAUUGAAGAUUAUUGUGUUAAAAUGAAAGCAAUAGCUGAUAAGCUUGCUAGUGCUGGUAGCUCGAUAACAGAAAAGGAUCUAAUGCUAACCAUACUCAAUGGAUUAGGAUCAGGAUAUAGUGAUAUUGCUACUUUCAUAACUGGUUCACGAAUGGAAUUUGAUGAUACUUAUGCAUUAUUGCUCACUCAUGAAACUAGGUUGGAACAAGAUCAUGAUGAUAAGAGUAUGUUCAAUGCUAACUAUGCAUAUACUAAUGCAUUUCAUCCUAAGGUUUAUUAUGCACAGCCUAGAGGAAAUUUUAAGAGAGGAGGUUAUUAUGGUGGUAGGAAUGUUUUCUCUGGUAGAGGGAAUAUGAAUUUUUCUCCAAGAAUGUUUAAUGGAGGUUUUAGAAGUGGUUUUGGUAGAGGAUAUUAUGUUGGUAAUCCUUUUAAUGGUAAUAAUUCUUUAGCACCAAAGAAUUCAUCAUCUGUUAUCAAGAAUGGAUCACAGAGAACUUUUAAUAACAAUCCAGGGGACUCAGUAUGUCAGAUUUGUCUCAAACUUGGUCAUACUGCUGAUAUUUGUUGGCAUAGAUUUGUUGAAGAUUAUGUGCCAAUGCCAAGGGGUUUUUAGAAAAGGAAAAGCACCCAGAGCAGCAUCACUACUAGAAAAAUAGCUUUUACUGAUACUUGUCUUGUGAUACUUUUCUAAAAAGUAUCAGCAAUUACAUAUAUUUGGGCCAUUUUCCGUGUUUAACAAACAAGUGUCACAAAUUACUGAUUCUAUGAUGUUUGUAUAUUAAACAUCAGAGAUCGUCGACACUAAGGUAUCAGAAACAACAAAAAAAAAUAAAAAAUCUAUUUUUGUUUUAGUUGCGACUCGAACCUAGGACCUCAAAACUAAAGUGCUUUAUGUUCAACCAACAAACCACCAUGCCAAAUUCAUAAAUUAGUUUGUGUUGAACAUGUUGAAAUUAUCAAAUUAAAUUAAUAUAGAAAACAAAAAUAUAAAAGCAAAAGAAAAAAACCCUAAAUCAACAUAAACAUAAAAUUCCCUAACUCCUAAAUCCAUGGCCAGCCGCCUCAUCUCUCUGGCGAUAUCCUUCUUCUUCUUCAUACCUCUAAAACUUCGAGCCCUAAAAUUCAAGGGUCCAUGUCAUAAGAAAUCCUACCACCACUGCUCAAAUUCUAACACCCAUACCAUACGAAACCCUAAUGAUCUACAUUAUGCAAAACAUCCACCAUGCCGCUAUGCCACAAGCUCACAAGACCCGCUUUAGAUCUCCACAUUUUGCUCACCCUACUCGAGUGCACACCGCCCCUCUCGCUUCGACUUCUCGGGAUUUCUUGUUAGCUGAAGUUUUGUUUUCUUCCGCUAAUUCGAUCUUCGAAAGGUCUCGGAGCUCCAAGUAACUAAGUAAGCUCGGUUUUCUUCUAUUCUCUCAGAUACUUGCUUACACAUUCCUUUUUUUUUCGUGUUAAAUUUUGUUGUUUCGUUGUGUUAUAUGGAUCGAUGAGAGUCACAGACUUUGACGAGACAAUGACGAUAUUGUUUUGGAGUUUCGUUUCGUAGAUCUGUGAUAGAGUCUCCUUUUUCAGAUAUUUCCUUUCAUUUACCAUAUUUGCACAAUUUGUUUUGUCAUUAAAUUAUUUGCGUUUGAAUGUACAAUUUUUGUUUUCGUUUUAUAUUUUCAAAUACUGUUUCUUGGAGCGAAUUAGUGGAGGAAUUUUUGGUUGAAGCAGAGGAUGGAUAACUUUUGUAUUUUGAACUUUGUAUGUUAUUUAUUAUUUGAACUUGAAGCUAAAAGGUGACCAAAUUUUCCAAAGGUUAGGGUUUGGUUGGCUUAUGUGAAAAUGCCGAACGAAUGUGUAUUAUUCAUACUCCAAUAUUGUAGGUGCGUCAAUGCACCUCCUUGCGAUGGUUGCAGCAACGAAACUGUAGGUCAAGGUUUGGGUACCCCAUUUCCUUCAAAGAUCCAAUAUGGAGCAACUCGAGUCGAGCUUUUUCGGUCAAUUUAAACAAAACCUUUACUCCUAAUUUAUUGUCUUUUGCUUUCUGUUUGUACCUGUAGGAGUUCAUAUUUUGUAAUGUUCCGUAAGUGUCCAAUAACUGGUUAAAUUAUGACUUAUGCUAGGUGAAGAUUUUGUGUUACAAUCCCCUUCAAUAGGCAAUCACUCUUUUUGUAAAUGUUCAUGGGUAAUUGCUUUGCCUUUGCUUCUGUUGUACUUUUGUUUUUGUGGGGUUUUAGUUAAUGGAUGUUGAGUUAUAUUUCAAUCAGUUUGAUUUCUCUGCAUAUUUUUCAUAUUUUAGUAUUAGAAGAGGUAUUUAAUCAAAUGAAGACAAAAACAAUUGUCGGCCAACCAACAAACUCACUUUAGUUUGUUGUGAAAUGAUUUUCUCUCUCUCUCUCGAUUUUCACUGGUUCUGUGGUUUUUUCCCUUCCACAAUGUGAUUUAGUUCUGUUCUAUUUAUGGAUGUUACCAACAUUUUAGCUUUUAAGAAACAGACAAAAAGAUUCUGAAGUUUGUUUCUUGUUUCUUACUCUGAAUUUCCAAGGCAUCUUAUUUGGAGAAAUGCAUUCUGAAUGGAGAAAUUUCUCCAAAUUUAUGAGAUGUGGUUCUGUCUUGCUGAAUGAACAUUGUAUUUCCUUCAAUGGUUUGCGAGCCAUUAAGUUAUUUGAGCAAACAAAAUUAGCAAUAUGGAAUCCUGUUUCUACAGGAUUAUAGUUGUAGGACUCUAGAAUUUAGUCUAGGUAAUGUUUUUACCAUUGUAAAAAGUAUCUGACAUUGGUGAUGUUUAAGCAUAUGUGUCAUUUCUUUUGGGCUUCACUUUGGAUCCUUUUUUUCUUUUUUUACAAACAAUGGAUGGUUAAAACCUAAGAGACUGAUUGAUUUUUGUUUUAAAUCCAGUGGUUAUGCCUUGUAAACUUUUGAGUUGUAUCAAUUUCUUUUCCUGGCCUAACUUGGCUAAAUUUAUGCUAUAUAAUUGAAUUCUACAAAUUUUGGCUAUGUAUGAUGUAAAGGUCAUAAGUCUUGUAUCUUCAUUUGUUCACCACAGGCUUGAUACUUCACAACUACCAUAAGUUAUGUCAUGCCAUGUCUUCUUUAGCAAUAUUGUGUGGCUUUGAGUAGUAUUAAUGUUUUUGUUUGUUAAUUCACGACUUAAUGGAACCAUUUUCCUUAUAAUCGAGAACCUUCGUGCGAGUGUUGUGGAGAAAUCUUAUGAUUCAUGUGUAGGUGUGUUUGCUUAAUGUGAUGACUUUUAUUAUGUGUUGUAGUUCUUGUGUCUAUAAGAGGAACCUUUGCUCCUAUGUCUAUUUAUCUCCGACUUUCAGUUUAGGCGUAAAUAGGUUACUCUUCUUUCUUUCUCAUUUUUUAAUUUCUAUGUUCUCCUAUGUCUAUUUACAUGGACUGCUUUGCUGCUUCUCUGCAGUGAAAACAACCCUGGUAAUUUACAGGAGCUUUUUUCACUUCAGAACAAUAGCAAGACAUCCCCUGCAGAUUUUUUAUUGAUUUUGCAUAGAUUGGUUUGUUGCUUUGGGUUGGAAUGCUACUGGAUAUAUGUCAGAAUUAUAGCGCUAUUGGAAGAUGGUGGGUUGUUGCAUAUGAGUUGGAGUGUUCCUGGGUAUGUAGCUAGAAUUAGAGUGCUGUUGGAAGAUGGUAUUGCUACUGGAAGUUUUGCUCAAAAACUUGUCGUUGGAAUACUUGCAUUAAUUUUUGGAAAUUUUAUUGGGUAACUUGGCUAGGUGGCUGAAAUUUUAAUUGCUUUUGUGUAUUGAAGCAUUUGGAUUGUGUAAUAUAUAUUGAUAAUAUUUAAAUGUUAUGAAAGGUUUUGAUAAAUAAAUUGAUUUUUGUUCUUAUUUCUCACAGCCUUUUAAUUCUAUCAACAAAUCAAUGGGUAAUGUCAUUUUGUAUAAUUAUUUUUUUAAAUAAUACAUAAAGUAGUGAUACUAUAGUAACAGUAUCACAAAUACUAAUAUAGUAUUGUAAUAUUUUGAUACCAUGGUGUUAUGAUUUUAAUGAUACUAUAGUAAUAGUAAUUACUGACACCACUUACAAGUGUCACUAUUUUUCUGACUGCCAGAUUACUGACACAAUUAGCAAGUGUCACUAAAAGUAAUUACUGACACUAUUCUAAUGUCAGUAAAGACCAUUUUUCUAGUAGUGCAUAUCUGUCAAAUUUUGAUGGUUCUGUUUCAAAUCCAAACUUUGAAGAUUAUGAGAACUUCAACUAUAUGCCUUCAGCUUAUAAUCCUAUGUCUGGCAAUAGCUAUUAUUCUGGUUUUGAUGCUUGUACUCCUGGAGUAGCAUUUAUGGCUAACUUUGAAGGAGUUGCUAAUGAUGAAUGGUACUUGGAUAGUGGGGCAACUCACCAUCUGGACAACAACAUGGAGAGCUUGCAGAUCAGUGAGGAGUUUAAGGGUACUGAUUAGCUCAUAAUUGGUAAUGGUCAAGGUUUGUUUAUCACUAAUGUUGAUUUUGCAUUUCUGUCACAAAGAGCAUCAAAUUACUUAUCUGCACAUUCCAGAAUAGCACUUAAGGAUAUAUUACUUGUUCCAUCAAUUACCAAAAAUCUACUAAGCAUUUCCAAAUUGACAUCUGAUAACCCUAUAACUGUUGAAUUUUGUGGGAAUGUUUGUUUUGUGAAGGACAUGAAUAGACAAGUUCUGCUGCAGGGACUUGCCGAAAAAGGUCUAUACAAGCUGCUGCUGAGUUCUAAUUCCUCUUCUUCAUUUCCUUCAUCUCAUCUUUGUCAUACUCAACUAAAUAAUUAUGUCUCAAUGUUGUCUAGCUUUCAAAGCUUUGAUAAUCCUUCUAAAGUUUGUUAUCAUUCUGUUUUCAAUAAAUGCAAAACCAAAUAUGAUGUAAUGACAUUGUUACAUAGAAAAUUUGGUCAUCCAAGUUCAAUGAUUCUGAUGCAUUUAGCUAAGUCUUGCAAGCAAUUAAAAAUCUCUCAAAAAGAUAUUCUAUCUUGUACAAAUUCUUUGUGUGAGGCAUGUCAGUUAGGCAAAGUUCACAGGCAAAGUUUUCCAGCAACUGAAACAAAAACAAAAGGAGUAUUAGAACUGAUUCAUACUGAUAUCUAGGGACCUUCACCCACUGUAUCUAGAAAUGGAUACAAGUAUUACAUUAGUUUUGUGGAUGAUUACACUAGAUACACCUGGAUCUAUCCACUUAAGCUUAAAUCACAAGCAUUUGAAGUUUUCAAACUGUUCAAGGCACAAGUUGAAAAUUAGUUUAAUACCAAGAUUAAGGAAUUACAAUCUGAUCUGGGGGAGAGAGUUUAGAGUAUUCAGUAAUUUCCUAAGUCAAAAUGGAAUCAAGUUUAGACAUUCAUGCCCUUAUACUCAUCACCAGAAUGGUCUUGUUGAGAAGAAACAAAGACACAUAAUUGAAUUAGCAUUAACACUCUUAGCUCAAGCUAAUCUCCCUUUUCAGUUUUGGUGGAAAGCUGUUCACACAGCAACAUAUCAUAUUAAUAGGUUACCAACACCUGUUCUUAAGCUUUUAUCUCCUUAUGAAAAGCUCUUUAAACACAAACCAGAUUAUUCAUUUCAUAAGUGCUUUGGUUGCCUAUGUUAUCCAUAUAUGAGAGAUUUAAAUAAACACAAAUUUGAUUUUCACACCACCAAAUGCAUCUUCAUUGGCUAUAGUCAUUCUUACAAGGGUUAUAAGUGUUUAACAAGCUCAGGAAAAAUUCAUAUCCUAAGGCAUGUUAUCUUUGAUGAAAAUACAUUCCCUUACUUAACAAACAAAGUCUUUCAUUUAUCCGAGAACAGUUCAAAUUCUGAAAUAUCAGUGUCAAACUUUUCCCAGUAACAAAUUUAUCAUCUCUCCACAUUAUCCUUAACUGACAGCAGCUUGGAAGAUCUUCAAUCAGCAAGUUCAGAAAGCAAUGAACAAGUACCUUCUGUUUCUGCACACACAAAUAAUCUGCAUCAACAAGAGCAUUCUCAAGAGCAUUCCUCAUCAACUAUACCAUUAUCACCAACACAACAACAAACUGAAUCACAACCACAAAAUGAACCACAUCUAUCUACUUCCUAGCACAUAAAUCAAACUCAAACUAGAAACCUUCCUUCACAACCAUCACAUUCAAUGGUAACCAGAUCGAAAAUAUGGAAUCUUCAAGCCAAAAGUUUACAUAACCACCUUAACCAACAAAGAACCCAGUACUGUUCAAGAAGCUCUAAGUGAUCAGAAUUGGCAUCAAGCUCUGAAAGAUGAAUAUGAAGCUUUGCUUAGGAAUGAAACAUGGUCACUAGUACCAUUUUCAGAGGUAUACAAGGUUGUUGACAGUAAAGGGGUUUUCAGAAUUAAACAAAACACAGAUGAGAGUGUAGCUAAAUACAAAGCCAGGUUAGUUGCAAAGGGUUUCCAGCAAACUAAUGGUGUUGACUACUUUGAGACCUUUAGUCUUGUGGUAAAGGCCUGCACAGUAAGAAUUAUUUUUAGUUUGGCUGUGAUGAACAAGUGGAAAAUAAGGCAAGUGGAUGUCAAUAAUGCAUUCUUAAAUGGAGAAUUGACUGAAGAUGUUUACAUGUAUAAGCCAGAAGGUUUCAUUGAUGAGAAAAAGUCCAGUUAUGUAUGCAAGUUGAAGAAAGCCCUGUAUGGCUUAAAACAAGCUCCUAGAGCUUGGUAUGAUAAGUUGAAAAACCGUCUGAUAAGUUGAAAAACUGUUUGAUAAGUAAUUGGGGUUUUCAAAAUUCCAGAGCUGAUACUUCUCUCUUCUUCAAAGAGAUUCAAGGCUCAAUAAUACUUGUGCUUAUAUAUGUGAAUGAUAUACUUAUUACAGGGCCUGACAUUGGAGAAUUAGAGAAGUUUAUCUUAGAAUUCAGUAAGACAUUUGCUUUAAAGGAUCUAGGAAUACUAUCAUACUUUCUUGGGAUAGAAGUCUCUUAUGCUGAUGGUUGUAUGUACUUAUCUCAGAGAAAGUAUAUUAAUGAUCUCUUGUCUAAAGCUGAUAUGUUGAACUGUAAAGGGUGUGAUACUCCCAUAGCGAUUGGACUGAAACUUCAAAAGGAGGUUAAAGGUUGUUUAGGUCAGUAUGUUGAGGAUGCAACCAGUUACAGAAGUUUGGUUGGAGGCUUGCAAUAUCUGGUGUUAACCAGACCAGAGAUAGCCUUUGCUGUGCACAAACUCAGUCAAUAUGUGACAGCUCCAACAUUGCAGCACAUAAUGGCCUGUAAACGAGUUCUAAGAUACCUAAAGGAAACCAUGGAUUAUGGUCUAAAGUUUUCAGCUGGUGGAGAAAUGGAAAUCACAGGUUUUAUAAAUGCAGAUUGGGCAUGCGAUAUUGAUGACAGAAAAUCUAUAGGUGCAUACUGUAUCUAUUUUGGAAAUAAUCUGGUGUCAUGGUCAUCUAAGAAGUAGUCUGUGGUGAUAAGGUCUAGUGCAGAAAGCGAAUACAGAGCUUUGGCUUCUGCAAGUGUAGAAAUAGCAUGGAUUCAAUCUUUGUUCAGUGAGCUAAAUAUAAGAUGUGUCUCAGUACUUAUCAUCUGGUGUGACAACAUGAGUGCAACAAAGUUAAGAUAAAAAUCUAGUCUACCAUUCACGUACCAAACACAUUGAACUGGAUAUGCAUUUUGUUAGAGAUAAGGUUUUAGCAGAGGAGCUGAAAAUUAACUUCAUUCAAAGUGAAGAACAGAUAGCCGAUGUCCUAACAAAACCUCUCACAUUCAUUCAUUUUAAUUAUUUCAUAAACAAACUCAAUGUGCAGCCAUGCCCCUUGAGUUUGAGGAGGGCUGUUAAGGAAGCUCAUAACGUGUACAAGCAGUCAGCUCAAGGUUAGCACGUGGGAGAAUUUGCUGAGCUAAAGUUAGUUAAGUAAGCGAUGUCAGCUCAGCAAAUUCAGUCAAGGUUUACUGAGAUUUUAUUCAUAUUGUUUUCUUUUCUAUUAACAAUGUAUAAAGGCAUGCUUUGUACUCAUUUGAUCAAUAAGAAAAGAAGAAAUAAAAUCCAGAAUAUUCUCUGAAGUUUUCUCAGUAAAACAGAGUAAAUUUUCUUAGUAACCAAACAGUACAGAUCAGUGGAAUUUACGUUUUAUAACAACGUGUGUUGAGAAUGUUGGGUAUUGGCCAAUUCAAUUUUCAUGAAGCACCAGAAGACAACGCUUUAUUUGGUGGGGGUGAAGUUUUGAUACAGGUAUUGCUCGGUUUGAAAUAUUUAGAGGUAUUGGAGUUGACCUUGGGAAGUUAUCAUGCUCUCCAAAUUCUUUUGAGCUCAAAUCAGUCAAAAAGUUGUAUUCGAUCUCUUCUCCUCCACAAGUUUAGAGGUACAACGCCGAUUAUUGAUGCUACGGCUUUCGCAGAGCUAAACCACCUCAACGAAUUAUUUAUUAAUAAUAGUAUUGAGUUGAUAGAAUUGAAGAUUGAUUAUACAGAGAUAGUACAAAAAAGGCAGGAACCUUUUGUUUUCCGCAGCCUUCACCGUGUUACCAUAUUUAGGGCCCGUUUGGGAGUGAGGUGCUGUAGCUUUUAAGCUGCAGUUGCUGUGGAGUAAAAGCUAUAGAUGUGGAAUGGAAGUUGAUGGUGUUUGGUAAAAGUGUUGUAGCUUUUAAGCUGCAACUACUGAUGGUGUUUGGUAGAGUGGAUGAAUAUUUGUAAUAAUUAAUUUUAAAUAACAUUAUUUUUAAUUGUUAACAAAUCAAUUAUUUUUCAUUCUUCAAAUUAUUAUAUUGACAUACAAUUACGAUUUAUUCCGUUACAAAUUAAAUUAAUAUUUAAUAAAUCAAAUUUAUUUUUUUGCACAAGUUGUAAUAAAUAAUUUAUAAAACACAUCAUGGGGUCAAUUAUAAAUAAUUUUAAAUAACUAUUAUUGACAAUGCCAACCGGGCAGUGUACAUGAUAUGCUUCUCCAAAUUGCUUCGGUUUGUACCUGAUAUGAUUAAUCGAGUAUUAUUUACAAUACCAAAUAUAUCUAAUAAAAAUCAUACAACAAAACAAAAUAAAAUUAAAAUGUAAUUAAUUACAAAAUUUGUAUAAAUAUUUCUAUUGUUGUGCCUCCAUUAAACUUGCAGCAAUGCCAUCUUUCAAGAUUAUUAUAUCUUGAGUUGUGCUAUCAAUUGUUUCAUAACUUUCUUCAUGAGAUGCAAUAUGUUCGCUAAUACUAUGACUUGGUUCAUCCGUCAUUUCAUCAAAAUGAUCAUUAUUUUGUGAAUAUCUUCUGAUAUAAUUAUGCAAGGCCAUGGUAGCAAUAACUAUUUUCACCUGCUUCUUGAAUGGAUAGCUUGGCAUACUUCGUAAAAUCUUCCAUGUAUUCUUCCAAACCCCAAAAGUACGCUCAAUAACACUUCUCAAGGAAGAGUGCUUGUAGUUGAACAAUUCUUUAUAACCCAUUGGUUGGCUACCUCUACGAAAUUCAGGAAGGUGAUAUCUUUCACCCUUAUAUGGUCCUAAGUACCCACAUAACUCCGGAUAUCCUGCAUCUACUAAAUAAUAUUUUCCUAAAAAUAAAAAGAAAAAUACAAAAUAAAUAAAACAAUCUAAUCAAUUGAAUAUGUAUAUAUAAAAGAAAAAUUAGAAACACAAACCUGGAGGAGGGUUUGGAAAAUUGAAUGCAGGAUUCGUAAUAGUUGUUUGAAAUACCCUUGCAUCAUGGGCACUGCCUUCCCAACCAGCCACUGCAAAUAUGAAUUGCAUAUCAAAGCUACAUACAGCCAUUACAAAUUCUUUUCCCACCAUUCCUCACUUGCAUCAACUGUCCUCAACCUAUGAUUCCACCCUAAACCAGUUUCUUUGCCAAUCAAAUUCUUCCACAAUUUCCAAUCAGUUCUAAGAGAAUCCCAUUUAUUUUUCAUUUGAGUUCUGUUGUAAUCUAAUCCAGUUUCUUUAGUGAACUCCUUAAUCAAAUUUUCAUAUCCUUGGGAAGUCAAAUGAGUCCCUGGACGAUGUCCGGCAUCCACCUCUUUAACGCAUAAGUCACAAAAUACAUCUAAAGUCUGGGGGUUCCAAGUAGCCUUACUAGUUGAGCUAUUAGACACAAUUUCAUACACUUAAACCUAGGAAAAAAAAUAUUUCUUUAUCAAACAACAAUACAGAAAAAAUAAGAAUAUAGAAGUUAAGAAAAUUACUAGAAUCUUGUUAUGGAUGGUGGAAGGAAAAAUAAUUCGAUAUUAAAAAAUUAAAAAAAAAGACAAACCAGAACAAGUUACCUUAGUUGUUACUUUACUUGAAAUACUUUUCCAGCAAACAAUAAUGAUCAUAGCCCACGAAUAGAAACAAUUACAAGCAAGUCAAUAAAGCAACAAAAGACAAACCAGACUAGGAAACAAAGAAAUUCAACUAAACAAUCAUUAGGUACAAACUGCAAUUGCAUUUAGCCUCACAAUCUCAAAUUUGCUACGUGCUUUGAUAUUUCCUGUACUAUUCUUUUGGCCCAUCCUAAGACAUAUACAAUUGCAAUUGCAACACUUUCUCCCUUCUUUUUUCUGUAAUUCGUAUGGCGACUUACGUAUAUAUAACCUAAUUAAUUGAAUUAAAUUGAUGAUGGGUUAGAAAAUCAUUAGGCUUAUUAAUUAUACGCGUCAAAAGAAUGGUCGGCCAAUAAUUAGGUGUCCUGCUUAUACUCCUGUAAUUUAGUCAUUCUCUAGUAAAUAUUAUUAAAUAAAAAGAAACACAAACAAUUAAGCUUAUUGGUAACUGAACUGGUGCCCAAAAAUAACAAGAGCAGGAGAAAGCAAACACACCCAAGAAUUUGACAAACUUCAACUUGAAAUCCAGAAUUUGACAAACUUCCUUUUGUUUACUGAAGCAUAGUAUUUCAUAACGAAGGCAUGCAUUUUAUUAUUUAAUGUCUUGUAGAACUGGAAACUCAAAUCAAACAGGGGUUGUGCAUGUUUAUAAAAAGCAACUACAAAAAUAAAAACUACAAUAAAAACAAUGGUUACAAGCAAAUAAAUCACGCAUGACCCAUCACCCAUCAAUUUAUUCUAACAAAAGCCCCAACAUUUUAUGAAUGAAAAGGAAGAAAAUGAAAAAUUGCUUGAAAUAGAGUAAAGGAGUACUCAAAAAUGAACAACAGAUAGAGGAAAAGGCACCACUGACAGAGGCGUAUGAGAGUGGCCGGUGUCGGAAUCGCGCCGAUGAGAAUUUCGGUGUCAGAAUCGCAUCAAUUGGAACUCCCACAGUCGGAAUCGUGCUGAUGAGAAUGGGUGUUUAGGGUUUGUUUAAAAAAAUCGAUUUGAAAUAGAACUCCCACUGACAUGACUGUUUGAUAAAAUGAAAAUGGAAUAAUAUAUAAAGUUAAUUUAGUAAUUAAACUUGCAGCUGGGAAAAAAAAUCUGUCAAGUUGUCAAAACACAACUAUAAGUGGUACCAAACACUUUGGUGGCUGGGCUGCUCACCACACUCCCAAACGGGACCUUAGUUGCGGUAAAUUGAAAGAUGUGACAUUCCUCGUUUUUGCUCCAAACCUCAAGUCUCUUUGGCUAUUCGAUUGCGGUGCUAUGGAAGAAAUAAUCAGCGUCGGAAAAUUUGCUGAGACUCCUGAGAUGAUGGGACAUAUAAUCCCUUUUGAAAAUCUCCAAAUGCUUAAUUUAAUGGAAUUGCCGGAGUUGAAGAGAAUUUUCUGGAAGCCAUUGCCUUUCACUCAUCUGAAAGAAAUAUCUGUGGGUUAUUGCCGUAAUCUUAAAAAGCUUCCACUCGAUUCCAACAGUGCAAAAGAGCGUAAAUUUGUAAUUCGUGGAGAAGAAGACUGGUGGAACCGACUUCAAUGGGAGGAUGAAGCCACUCAAAUUGCUUUUCGUUCCUGUUUCCAACCUCGUUCCUGAGCGGUGGUCGCAAAAUUUGAUUUCUGGUGAGUGCGUUUUUGUUAACGCUUAUGUUUUUAUUCCAGUGUGUUUUUCUUCUGUCUUCUGCAAAUCACGAUUAAAUGUUGAAUAAUAUGGAAUCAAUGCUUUAUAAAUUUUCCGGCGUGGCCAUUUCCUUUUCCCUUUUUUUUUUUGGGGGGGGGGGGGGGGCGUGGUUCGAUUGAUGCUCUGGCUUUUUACUUUUUGUCUUCGAAUUUUGCUCUGUUUUUCAAAUUGAUGCUUGAAUAGUUGAAUUCAAUUAAUGCUCACAUAAAUUUGUUUAGUUGCCGUAAAACGGUAAAAGGAUAUAAUUAGAUUGAAAUUCGCACUUCUAGAAUGAAUAGAAUUACAAUAGAGAAAAUAUUAAGUAUACAAGCCCUCUUUACAGAAAAUCAAAUGAAAAUAAAAUUUUUUGGAUAUUUGAUUUUCUAUGGUCUACUGUAUACGCUUUAUAAAUUCCUCUGCUUUAACGAUAACCAAAUCCUUUUUUCAAGGAUUUUUAUUUGGGGUAUUGAUAAUAGUCCACCAACAUAGUGAACGCUUGGAUGCUGCUUAAGGAUCUCUAAUCAGUAGCUGGAAGCAAAUGAGAAGGCGGUCGCUACUUUGUACAAAGCCAUGCAGCAAUUGCUAUUCAUUUUCAAACAAAGUUGAGAUGUUAUUUUCAGAUUUGGUUCCAGAUUUUGUAUGAAUAUCGUUGUUCCAUUGAGUUGUAUAUGAAUUCAAAUGUAAAAUAUUCUUUGGUUUUCAAUUUUGAAUUCAAUUUCUUUUUCUUAAGCAUGUUGUGCAGAAAUGAUUUCUACUAAAUCAUUUUUGAUAAACUAUUUAAAUUAAACAACUGGAAUAAGAACUGUAAGGAUUUAUCGUAAGCAGACUAAUAUGAUAAUUCUGAAACUAUCAUUUUUUUUUUUUCAAUUUGUUGCAGGGAAAGCCAAAUUUUGCGUUUUUCAGUUUUAUCUGAUAUGGGCUUUAUUUCCUCUACACUAGCUACCUAAAGAUUUAUCAAAUUGCUUCUCUUCCCUGCUUCAAAUAUCUUCAUGGCAUCAUAGGAAAAGAGAGUUUGGGUUGUAUUUAUUAUAGUUUUUAUUUUUUUUUUUGUUAUAAGCAAAUUUAUUUUAAAUACUUUAGUAGUAACAGUUUUUAUUGAAUAAUAAUGAGGGAUGAUUAUUAUAGGUUCAAAUAGUUGUUAGAACAUUAUAAAAAGUCUAUUUACUAUCAAAUGUUUUAAAUUGAUGCAACGUGAUAAUUGUCUCAUAUAAUUUUUUUAUAAUAUAUAUGUCCCAUAAUCUUAACAUGAAUAAAUGAAUUUCAACGGUUAAAUUUGACACGAUUAUUAAAUAGAUCAUAUCUAUAUUAAUUCGAUUUAAAAUCUGGUCACAUUUGGAUUUAGAGUUUCUAACAUGAUAACUUGUUUUAUGACAUGAUUUACUAAUCAAUUAAUAGUAAAUCAAAUGUCAGUCAAUUAAAUAUGUGGUACAUUUGUCAUAUUUUAAAAAUUAUUUAUUUAUAUUUGAAAUGAAUUUGGUGCNNNNNNNNNNNNNNNNNNNNNNNNNNNNNNNNNNNNNNNNNNNNNNNNNNNNNNNNNNNNNNNNNNNNNNNNNNNNNNNNNNNNNNNNNNNNNNNNNNNNAUAAGACGACGCGACACAAAUACAACCAACAAGUCAACCCAAAUUGCCACCUUUUACUAUCUUCUUUGUGUUAUUUCUCUAAAAAUUUGUGCCUUCUCUUACACUUUUAAAUCUGAAGUGUUUGAACUGGAGUACACAAAUUAUCUCUCUACAAUUCCAAAACAACCAAUUUGUUACUUGGUAAAUCUUAAUCAAUGGCAGGAAGCAAUUGAGAAGGCGGUCGCUACUGUGUACAAAGCCAUGCAGUAUUUGCUAUUCAUCUUAAUAAUUGUUAAGCUUUGGUAAAAUUUUCAAACAUAGUUGACAUCAUGUUGUUUUGAGAUUUGGUUCAUGAUUUUGUAUGAAUAUCGUUGUUCCGUUUGAGUUGGAUGUGAAUUGAAACCUAAAUAUUCUUUAUUUUUCAAUUUUGAAUUCAAUUUCUUUUUCUCAAGCAUGUUAUGCAGAAAUGAUUUUUACGAAAUCAUUUUUGAUGAAUUAUUUAAAUUAAACAAUUGGAAUAAGAAUUGUAACGAUUUAUCAUAAGCAUGCUAAUAUGAUAAGUUGUUUUACGAACGAUUAAUUAAUCAAUUAAUAUUAGAUUAUAUAUUAGUCAAUUAGAUAUGUGUUACAUUUGUCAUAUUCUAAAAACUAUUUAUUUAUAUUUCAAAUAAAUUUGACCAGAGGUUACGUAGGUAAUACUACAUAAUUUCUAAAGGAAUGUAAAAAUUUAAAGUUUUAUUAAAUAGGUGACUCAAUAAUAAAUGGAUUUCUGCAAGAAUUGAGAUUCUUGAGAUAAUUAUUACAUAGGGAAUUUUGGUUAGUUCAAUUUUGACAUGGUAAGAAGACGACACGGCGCAGAAAACCCAAAUUGCCACUUCUACUAGUAAUAAAAGAUACCUGUUUGAAAAGUAAUUAUAAACUAUCUUCUUUGUGUUAUUUCUCAAAACUUUUGUGGCACAAUGUUAUUUCCCUGGAGAAAAGUACGAAAUACCCCCUUUCACGUCGGCAGAAGCAAAGCAAAGCUAUGAGCUAUCUCUGUAUACUUGAAACGCCAUUGCUAAACGAUUCUCGAUGAUGGGUGCCACUGGGUCAGUGUUGUCUCUGAUUUACAUGAUUUAUUAGUUGUCCAGAUGCCAGAGAAACCAUGGUGGCAUUGAAGUUGCCCAGAUGGUUAGUUUUCUGAUCAUUUUUUUAUUCAAUUAUUUAUUUUUUUAGAAAAAUGUGAGAAAUAUGUAGAAAUGUUGACAGCUAUGAUUUUGAAACUUUGCCUAAAAUUGUUAUCAUCACUUAUUUAAAGAGAAAUCCUAGAAACAUGAAAUGAUUAGUAGCCUAAUUCAAAAUUAGACGUGAUUACAACAAGAGAAAAGUGGAGAGAACUUGAUAAUCGAGUGCAUUUAGAAUUUAAUUUUUCUUUUAGCUGCCGAUCAUUAAAUUUUCGAUUUCAGAAAAUUAUACCUAGAAUAUUUCAAGGAUAUACUAUGAAGAUUAUGAAGGUUUGAUUACAUGUCACUAUCAAUUGCCCCAAUCAUUUGUAGUAAAUUAAUUGAUCAUUUUGAUGCAAAUGAUUCCCUACUAAAAAAUUUAAGUCAAGGCUGAAUUGCAUAGUAGUUAGUCGCGCUUGCACUUCAAAUUAAGUAUUGUAUUUUCUGCCUGGUUUGGUUGAUUAAAGUGUGUGCAUUUGCUUUUGAACGUUGUAGUAUAGAAAUCGAAACAUUUGUUUUUCGCUAAGCCCAGAAGCAAAGUUCUUUGUACUGUACUCAUCACUUCUCUUCAUUCUCUUUGUUGAAAUUUUUUCCAAACAGCGGUUUCUUCGAAUUUGUGCCUUCUCUUCCACUUUUAAAUCUAUCAAAGAACCGUUACCUGAGAAGAUUGCCAUCAGGAAUUUCUAAAUUGAUUUCACUAUAAUACCUUAAUCUUUCAGAUACUCCCGUCACUGGGUUGCCAAAAGUGCUAAAAGCCUUCGUAAAUCCUACGUGUUUGAACUGGAGUACAAAUGUUAUCUCUCCACAAUUCCAAAACAACUGAUUUGUUACUUUUCAAUGCUACACGUUCUGCGAAUGUUCAGUUGUGGUUAUCUUGCUGAAAUACCAGAAAAUAGGGUUCUAGUUGGCGGUAGUGGAUUCUUGGUUGGGGAAUUGCUUAGUUUAAAACAUUUAGAUGUAUUAAGCAUCACCUUAAAAGGUUUUUCUUCUGUCCAAAAACUUAUGAGCUCCCAACAGUUUCAAAGCUGUACAAAAUGUUUGGAGCUUAUAGACUGUGAUGAUUCAAAGUCGUUUGCCUUGGCAGAGUUGAAGCAUCUUGAAAAACUAGGUUUUUCAAAUUGUGGAAAUUUGGAAGAUAAAUUACAUUUAUAAACUGUGGAUCGCCCUUUAUAAGUAUUAGGCUUAUCCCAUACUCGAGCAAUGUGGAAUACCUUUAUAAGCAUUAAGCCUCUCCCAUACAAUUUCUGUACAUGACUUUAAAAGUGGUUGAUGACCCGUUUUGUAAUAUCAUAGAGGGAUCAUGAAUUCCUUUUCUUUUCUGUGGCUAGGCAACACUUUUGGGCCAAAGUAAGGAAAUCUAUUUUAGGUAAUGUAAAAACCAGUUGUGGGAUGUAAUAGUUUAUUAUGCACUGACAACAACUUUUUGUAUAAUUGUCAGUUUAAUGAAUACGAGAGGAACUCUGUUGGCAAAUUCAUCCAUGAUAGAUGCUAAAAUUAUACCAGUUGCCUUAACUAAUUUUUCUCAACACUGGUAUUGAACAGGAAAAUGAAUAUGCAAUUUGUAUUUGUGCCAUUGUGGAGAAUUUGGAUAUUCUUAGUUUUAGUAACAAGGAGAGUAUUUGCCUCAUCUUUAAACAAUGAAUCUUUGAGAAAUGAGGACUGGGUGAUUGGCAGUGUCAGAGUGUCUUCAUGUAAAUGUUCAUUUAUUUGUAUUUUGAACUAUUAUUAGAAUCUUUAUAUGCCAAAUUAGUAAUACAAAUGUUCAGAUGAUUUUUCCUGGUGAUCAUUUCAUUCUUGAGAGCCAUGUACAAUACUAGGAUACCAGAGAAACCAAGGUAGCAUUGAAGUUGCCCCAGUGGCUAGUUUUCCGAUCAUUUUUUAUUCAAAUUUUUAUGUUUCAGAAAAAUGUAAGAAAUUUAUAGAAAUGUUGAUAGCUAUGAUUUUGAAACUUUGCCUAAAAUUGUUAUCAUCACUUAUUGUUUCUUAUUUAAAGAGAAAUCCUAGAAACGUGACAUGAUUAUUCCAUACUUGUUUUAAUAUUAUUUAUUAGCAGCCUAAUUCAAAAUUAGACGUGAUUAUUUGUUACUUUUAAUGCUACAUGUUCUGGGAAUAUUCAGUUGUGGUUAUCUUGUUGAAAUACCAGAAAAUAGCGUUCUAUUUGGUGGUAGUGGAUUCUUGGUUGGUUUGAAUGUAUUAAGCAUCACCUUAAAAGGUUUUUCUGCUGUCCAAAAACUUACGAGCCCCCAAAAGUUUCAAAGCUGUGCACAACCUUUGGAGCUUAUAGACUGUAGUGAUUCAAAGUUGUUUGCCUUCGCAGAGUUGAAGCAUCUUGAAAAACUAGGUUUUUCAAAUUGUGGAAAUUGGAAGAGUUUAAGUUCUGCUGUGUUGAGGAUGGAAAGGCUCGAGAAUGUUUUCGUGUGAACAGCUUCAACGAGUUAAGAUAAAGGCUUGUCAUAAAUUGAGGGAAGUGACAUGGCUUGUAUUUGCUCCGUAUCUUGAGGUUAUUCAAAUAGCCAAAUGUAUGGGGAUAGAAGUAAUAAUCAGUGCAAGGAAAUUGGGUGAAGUUCCAGAGAUGAUGGCAGAUCUAAACCCUUUUGCAAAACUCCAAUAUCUUGGCCCACGAGUUCUACCAAAAUUAAAAAGCAUCUAUUGGAAUCAGUUGCCCUCUCUACAUGUCAGGCGAAUUUUGUGUCUGAAUGCCCAAUUCUCAAGAAGCUUCCACUUGGUUUUAACAAUGCAAAGGAAUCUAAAACUAUCAUUAGGGGAGAAGAACACUGGUUGAAUGAGCUGCAAUGGGAGGACAAAGUGACCCUUAAUGUUCUUCUUCCUUGUUUCGGAUCCAUUUGAAGGCAUCAACAUGGAUUGAUACUUUGCAGUGGAGAAAUUUGAAUAAAACCUAUGGUAAGCGCUUUUCCAUUUAUUGCAUAUUUAUAUCUAACUUUUGUUUUCCUUUGUGGUUAAAUUUUGCUCUAUAUACGUUGUUGUACGGUGACAUUCUCAUAUCAAUUAUUAGCUUUUUAAUUCUCUUCUCACAUUAACUGCCCUUUUGAUCAUGUAGGAUAUGCUGAUGUCAAAGAGUCGUAAUUUGGGAUGCAAAUGUAAGAAUUAGACAGAUGACCAGUUGUUUUGAAGCGCUCGAAGAAGGAUUAAUUACGUCAUUGAAAGGCUCCAAUUUUGUGACUUUUUUUUUUAAUUUGUUGUUUUUUCUAUUUUUAGAUAGCUUGAUUGUCAGUUGUCGUGAUGUAAUGCUUUAGUGUAGAAAAAUGAUAUUCGGCCAAGACAACAUUAGCAGGGCACCUUGUGCAUGCAUACUAGUGGAUAAUUUCGGCAUGCUAAAUCCAAUUAGGGUGGAUGACCCUUUAUAAGCAUUAGGCUUCUCUCAUACCCGAAAACAAUGUAGAAUACGCUUAUAAGCUGCGGAUCACCCAUUAUAAGUUUUAGGCUUCUCCUUUACUCGAGCGAUGUGGAAUACCUUUAUAAGCAUUAAGCUUCUCCCAGUAUCUUUAUGUUAAAAAUAAUAAUAAUAAAAGAAAUCCAUUUUAAAAUAGACUCUUUUUUCUUUUUCUAUAUAAACAAAUGCAUUCUUCAAAUCAAUUGUGGGCAGAAGAAGUUAGUAGAAAAGAACUAGUCCCCUUUCAUUCCCCCUUAAAGCUCACCAAAGCCUCUUUUGUAAGCUUUUCGGAUUUUCUUUCUAUAUUGCUUAUGAUCUCAUUUUUGAUUGAAUCACUUCUUUUGCAUGCUGCAUAUUUUGUUUGUUGUAUUUGGAUAUUAUCGUAUCUGGAAUGCUGUUAUGAUUGAUGGAACAAGUAAUCGAUAUUUGGUCUGAUGGAAGUUGACUUAUUUAUUUAUUGUUAUUUUAAUUUGAAACUAUGUACAAUUGCAUUUCAUUCAUUUCUCUCUCUCCCCCCCCCCCCCCCCCACACACACACACAUAUAUUUGUUAUGUAUAAUUGCGUUUCAUUUGAUAUUGAUCAUGCUGUAGAUAACCAUGUGAUUGUAGAUGGGGAUUUCAAGUUUGUUGAAUAUUCAAGUAAGUGAAGUAACUGUCAAAAUACUAGUGAAAUUGGGAGCUUUAUUCAUGAGCUUGUGGUUUUGAAAAGUACCACAGUUCAACCGAUGAAGGUUCCUUUUUGGGGUUCUUCUUUUUCUAGGCUGCAAUUAGGAUAUGUACAUGUUAGACAAUCUUUUGCGGGUUUAGCAUAUCUUCUCUGAUUUUGUCUUUUAUUCCCCAAUCUUAUAAUUGCACACCAUGAAUGUUGAGUGAUUGUAUAGAAAAUUUGUGUUAUAACCAAAGCGUUGUGAAGGAGUUAAGUUAGUGGCUUCUGUUUUAUUGGCAUUGAUUGGGUAGAUUAUGUGUUACAGUGAUUCAAUUUGUGCUCCAAAGUUUGCUUUAAUUUCUUUUUUCCCUAAUUAUUUAUGUCAAAUUUAAAUCCAGAAGCAUGUACUGAUUUUUUCUUUUUGUAUUAAUCUGUGAAGGUUAUUUGGAAUGGAAGUAUCUGGGUUGGGUCUAACGGAUUAAAUUAUGACAUUGGGGGGAAGGCAGUAAAGGGUUUGCUCGACACAUUUGGUUCUGUGUUUACUUUGCAAGAAAUAGCUUUUGGUUAUCACAAUGCCGGUGGAAUCCCGAUUUGGCUCGUGAAUUUCUUUGUGACAAAUAGGCAAACACAUCAACCUCUUCUAUCCAUCCUUCUACUGGUAAGGCAAGGGGUAAAGAGUCUUCAAAAUCAUCAAAUAGUAACAUCUCUGAGAAUUCAUUUUAUGCAAAUGGAAAAUCUAGACCUUCUAAGACAAAAUGGCGUCCUGUAUCAGGAGGUACCGUUUCAAGUUUUCUUGGUAAAAAUUAUGUUAAACCUGCACAGCCAGCUAAUGGCACAUUUCUAGCAUCAAAGCCAUUGAAGUUGGAUCCAAAGGGGUUUCCCAUGUCUCCACUUUUGCGGAGAAGAUACUAAACUGAAACAAUCAAAGGAUGACCAUUUGCAGAAGGAUAUGGAAGAUUUUCUGUUUAAAUUGCUAGGAGAAGUGUUCCUAUUGUCCUUUUCAAUGUUCUUUCUUUCUUUCUCUUCUUUUCUUCUUCUUCUUCUUUUUUCUUUUUGUGUGCGUGUGAUCACUAAUUUGGUAUUGUAGUUUAGUUGCAGAUAGUUGUGGAUAUGAUAUGCAAAAGGUAAGGACUAUAUCUUCCUGAUGGAGGCCUCUGCUUUUUCCUUUAUGUGUAAUUUAAUAAAUUGCAUCUUCCUUUGUGAUUGUUAUAUCAUAUCAAAGACAAGUCUUAAAUACUGCUGUCAUAUGUUAAGGUUCAACUUGCAGUUUGAUUAACAUUCAUGGCUCAAAGGCCUGAAAAAACUUGCCAGUAAUUGUAAAAUGACAUUCUUUGCUUUUAAUGCAAUAGAGGGAACAGGGAAGUAUAGCUUUGGAAGCCUGGAUUGGUAACUAUAGAGAGACUUAGUAUUUAAUUGAUAAAAAUUCCCAUAACCCAAGGUCAAGAAAAUUUUAGAUCGUUAAAGACUUCAUUUUGUUUCGGCCAGAAAUGUUUGUUUCGAUCGAAGACUUGAACCAUUUCGAUUGAACCUGAUUAUGAUGCUUUACGUUAUGCAUGUUCCUCUUAAUCAAGAAAAGUUGAGGUGAUGAUUUUAUAUUUCUAUAUUGUAAGUUGAAAUAAUAAUUGGUCUGCUUGUUUCUGUAGCUUGAUAACAUGAAUUUUCCUUCUCAAGUUAAUUUAAUCAAUAAAGUAAUUCUUCAAAGAAAAUAUGCCCAUUCUAUAAUCAUUUUCUUAAUUAACAUGUUUUUUUCUUCACACUUCAGAGCAUGUUGAAACUAAUUGAUCGCUCGGCAGAGACUUUGGGUGAGAAGACAAAAUUUCUCGGUAAAUCCUCUGAAAAGGUAUGCAUAAUUCCGCAGUAUUAAAUAACCAAUGGUCAUAAUUUUUGUACAGGACUCUUUUCUUGUGGAGAUAAUUAAAAGUGGCUGAUGAUCCAGUUUGUAUAUCAUAGAGGGAGCAUCAAUUCCUUUUGUUUUCAGUGGCUAGGCAACACUUUCAGGGCAAAGUAAGGAAAUCUAUUUUAGGCAAGUAAAGCCAUGUAGAUGUAAUAGUUAACAUGCACUGACAAUAACUUUGUAUAAUGUCAGUGAACGAUACAAGAGGAAUCUGUUGACAAUCAUCCAAGAUAGAUGCUAAAAUUAUUAUGCAUGCCAGUUGCUUAAUAAUUUUCUUACACUGGUAUUGAAGAGGAAAAUGAAUAUGCAAUUUGUAUAUGUGCCAUGUGAGAAUUUGGAUAUCUAUCUAAGUAACAAGGAGAGUAUUGCCUCAUCUUUAGACAAUGAAUCUUGAGAAUUUGGAUAUUCAUGUAAAUGUUCAUUUGUUUGUAUUUUGAACUAUUAUGAGAAUCUUUUAUAUGCCAAAUUAGUAAUGCAAAUGUUCAGAUUAUUUUUUCUGUUGAUCGUGCAUUUGUGUCUGCACACAACCAUUGUAUAUCACUUCAUUCUGAUGCGCAAGUGUCUGUAGUUUAGAAGAAAAGAAAUAAUAAUGAUAUAUUAUUGCUUGAUUCAUGAUUAUUAAAUGAUUAUGGCUUUAAAAAACCUACAAAUUCCUUUUGUUGAUAUAUGAAUGUACCAAGUUUGCUAUAUCUUAGAUUACCAUUUCCAAGAUAACAAGUUCAAAUUUUUUCUUUAUCCUUUUCCUUCACAGUUGCAUUUUAAGUGUAAGAUUUGUUAUUAAUACCUGGUUUCCCGUCAUUAUGAUUUCAUAAACAGUGUAUGGGUAUGUGCUCUACUUUUGGAGGGCCUCCACGUGAAAGAAAAUUGUAACAAUUGAAUUCUUCCGGAUGGUAUGGUAUUUAAUUUAUUUUCUCAACCUCUUGUAAGACUAAUAUAUUUUCCUUUAGUAGACACGGCAUGGUGGGAAGGGUUUUUUAUUGAAAGAAUUCUGAUAUUUCUUAGACUUUGUUUUGGAAGGGGGUGCAGGGGUUUCUCAUCCAUAUAUGGUUACUUGAUUAGCUUUUGACUGUAUUGCCUCAAUCGUGCAAAGGAAGAUCCAAAUACAAACGAAAGAGAAUUGUUUAGACACCCAGAAGAUGGAAAUGAACUACAGAAGGAAGUUUUUGCUGCUUUAUUUAGUGCUCCUGAGAAAUCUGAUGAAUUUCCUGAAAUUACGGUGAAGACCAAGUGUGAGGUCCAAAGCAUUAGGAAAGGUGGUGAGUGAACUGCCGGAGCAAUUGGUACAGAAUACAAGGCUAAUGUGGUGGACUUGCAGCAAGAUAACCGGAACAGUACGUGCUCUUAUAUUAACUAUAUUGACUGGAUUUGCUAGUGUGUGCAUUUUCGUGUGUAUACUUUUGUAUUUAUGCAUAUUAAUGUGUGUAGGAUUCUUGAUUUCUGCCACUUAUUGGAGAACUAAUGGAAAGCUUUAUACUGGUAUAUCUGCAAUAACUAAUGGAAACUAUGAUAUUAAUAUUUUCUCUCGCUUGGAGAAUGCGUAACAGAUAUACUUUGUGGCUCUGGAAUACUAAAGAUUCUGCAAUAACUAAUGGAAACUAUGAUAUGAAUAUUUUCUCUCACCUGGAGAACUUUGUAACAGUUACACUUUGGGGCUUGGAAUGUCUAAAGAAUUUUGUCUGCUUCAGUUAGAUCAAAUAUCUUUUAGUUACAUACAUUAUAGAAAAGAUAAAGUUCUCUGAAUCUGAAAGACUUAAAAUUUUGCAUAUUUCUUGAUAGGGAAAUAUCUGUAGAUACUAGUUCAUGCAUUGUGGUAGCAUCAGUGUUAAAGAAAAACAGCAGUAAGUUAUUAUAUAGAAUUAGGUUCACUUGCUUUAAAUCCUGGUCUGGUCAACCAUAUGAACCUGUAAGUGGUUCUGUAGAAAUAUAUAUAUACGGGGAGAAAGUAGCUAAAUUUUCCUUUCAUUUAUGGGUUUGGUCAUUUUUUCCCCUUAUUUAUGUUUUCUCACACAUUUUUUAAAUGCCCCAGACAUGCAAUUUUGUAUGUGUCAAUUGCCUUUUAAGUUUUAAAAACCAUAAAGUAAGAAUACAGUUUCUUGUCAGGCUAUUGAUGCAUUUGCUCGGGGGGAUCAUGCUCGAGCAGGAAAACUUCUAGAACAGGUAAGGUUUCCAUCUACAGCCAUUUAUUGACAACAUAUAUAUUUUCAUUCAGCAAGCACUGUUAGCAUUCAAGAUGCUGGCAGAUUCACUUGAUUCUUAUUAGUUUGUUUAGUAGCAAAGCAUAUAACCUGUAUUUUAAAGCUAAGUUGUGCUAUUGAUUAUGUUAACUUUAUUGUUCACAUAAAGUGAUAUUGAGGAAAUAAUCAAUGUAGGAAAAUUAGGUGAAGAGAUGAUGUCAAAUCUUGAACCUCUUACAAAACUCCAAGUUCUUUACUUGAAGAAGCUACCAAAUUCGAACAGCAUCUACUGGAAGGCCUUGCCAUUCCCUGAUGUAUGCAGAAUUUUUGUAUUUAAAUGCCCAGAGCUUAAGAAGCUGCCACUGGAUCUUGAGAGGGCAGGCCAAGGUAAAAUUCUUAUCAAGGGAAAGAAAGAUGGGUGGAAACAACUUCAAUGGGAGGAUCAAGUAACUCAGAAUGCAUUGCUUUCAUUUUAAAAAUCAACCAACAAGUGAUUGAAGGGGGCAUCAUCAACGUAAUCAACAUGGAUGGAGAGAUUCUGGAGCAGAUCAGCGGGGUUUAGUACGACCUGUGGUGGUUUCUUUUUUGUGACUUUUUUGCCUUUCAUUUUUUCACUUCCUGUCAUAUUAUCAUUUCUUUGUCUGUGUUUCUAUUGCUAGUGUUGCUGCAUGCUUGCUGUCCUUGACAAAGUUAGCUAGUUUUUUUUGUUUAUUAAAUUUUGUAUGUUCGGUCGGGACAGUCACAAAGUACUACUUGUUCUAUAUGGGGGUGAUGUGAAUCAACUUUUCAAUUAUAUAUUCUGUGGUAAUUGUGAAUUCAAUUUCAUUUAUCUCCUGCAAAUUAUGAAGAAAGUGCAGAGUUACAAUAUGGAAAAGUUCACUGGCAAAUACUUUGUAAAAGCUUCGGAGUGAAACAGGAAAUGCACUUGCAACUAAGGACAAAUUGGUGGCCGGCUAAUGCAUUCAUUUUAGGGAAAAGGACACAGACCCUCAACGUUUUAAUAAGGGACAUAAAACUCCCUAAUAUUUUAAAAAAAAUACUCAAACCCCCAUUUGUUAAUAGUAAAUUCUAAGUUUAAAGUGUAAUUACCAUUAUACCUUUAUAGCAUAUUAAAAAAUAAUUAUUCAUUAUUCAAUUUAUUCUUAUAUUAUUAAUAAAAUUACGAAUAUAAUUUCAUUAUCUAAUUUUUUCAUUUAAUUUUUGUUAAAUUUUCUCUUCAAACUAAAUAAAUUUAAUCCAUUGCUUAAGAAUAAAAAUAAAUUAAAUUGAUUACUAAUAUAAUAAAAAUAACAUAUAUUUAAUAUAAAAAUAACAUAUAUUAAAUUAAAAUAAAUUUAAUUUAUAUAUAGAGAAUUGUUAUUUUUAAGAAAUUAUCAAUUUAAUUUAUAUAUAAGAAAUUAUAAGAAAUAACAUAUGGAGAAUUGUUAUUUUUAUUAUAUUAAUAAUCAAUUUAAUUUAUUUUUAUUUUUGAGCAAUGGAUUAAAUUUAUUUAGUUUGAAGAGAAAAUUUGAUAAAAAUUAAAUGGAAAAAUUGGGUAAUGAAGUUAUAUUCAUAAUUUUAUUAAUAAUAUAGGAAUAAAUUAGAUAAUGAACAAUUAUUUUUUAAUAUGCUAUAAGGGUAUAAUGGUAAUUGUACUUUAAAAUUAGAAUUUACUGUUAACAAAUAGGGGUCUGAGUGUCUUUUUUGAAACAUUAGGAAAUUUUGUGUCUCUUAUUCAAACGUUGGGGGUUUCUGUGUUAUUUUCCCUUCAUUUUAUGUACAUUCAUCUUUUUAAUUAUUGAAGAUAAGUGGUUCGUUGCUUUUGUUGUAGAUAAAAUUCAGACGACCUCAAUUGUGACAUGACAAUAUUUAAAACAUCUCUUAAAUUAUUAUAAAUUUAAUUUAUCUUAACUUUAUUGAAAAGAUAAAAGAAAAAUGUGGUGUAUGGAUAAAUUUUUUUUUAUCUUCUUAAUCAAAUGGAAUAAAUUAAAAUUUACAAUAAUUUAAAAUAUUUUAAAAAUUAUUAUUUCAUAAGAGAUUAAUAUGAAAUUAAUCGUUUUUACUUUUUUAAUGUGAAAGGACAAGAAAAGAGAAAGCAUGUGUCCCUGCUUUUUAGUUUUUAUUUUAUUUGAAAUCGGAGUUAUCCCAUAUACUUUACUAAUUUAGCUCUAACAUUACAAUGUUUUUAGGCUACACUUUUAUUUUUCUUUUUCCCCCUUUUUUUAUACAUGCAUGUGGAUUACUUUUCUCUAAGCUCCUUAAUAUUUAAGACAAAUCAUAAAAGCAAUUGAAGUAUAACAAGAUGAUCAAAACAUUUAACCAAAAAAAAAGAAAGAAAAAAGAAAGAAAACAUUGAAAAUGGAGAUGUUGAUUAAUUUAGAAGAGAUGCAAGCAAAAGAUAUUCCCAAAAAAAAGAAAAAAAGAAAAAAACAACGUUAGUUCAUCCAUGUCUGUCAAUGCGUUUUUUAUGGUUUUUUUUUUCCAGUUGUUUGUUGUAAUAGAUUGAUUGUAAAUUGAUAUGAAUUUGAUGUUGUAAUAUGUUCGCUUUUGUGGAAUUAAAUUUGAAUAUUCAAGAUUAUUCAAGUCUUAUCUAGUAUGUGUUCAAUUGUGUUGUCGAUAAUUUUGCAUUCGAAUAAUUUUUCACCUAAAAUAUUAGCAUGAGUAGUAGUCCUUGAAAUUUUGGUCAAAAUUAUUGUUAUUGUUUGUUUUAGAGGAAAUUUUUUUAUUAAAGCCUCGUUAACACUAUACCUUAUUAAGAUUAUAAGUUAGUGUCAGUGCAGGAUUUACAGCAACAAAUCUUGUCUAGCCACGUGUCAAAAGUACAAAUAAAUCAAGAGUAAGCACAUGACAUGGAUUAGGAUCCAAUAAGAUUUAAAUCCCAAGGAAAAGGACAAUUGUAUCCUAAAGUUUCAAUAAGAGAUACUGAGAUAUCUUUUGACUAAUGUUAUUUUUUUAGCUUUAUUAAUAAAAAGAUCAAAUAGUUUAUAACAAAUAAAAAUAUAGUAUGAAGCUAAAUGUGAUAAUAUAUACAUUUUACAUAAUUUCAAUAAAAAAAAUUUCAAUAAAAAACAUUUUAAUGUUUUACGAUCUAUUAGACAUAUUUUAUUAAAUUAAUAGGAAUUUUCUGAUAAAUAGCAACAUAAUAUUAAAAUAAAUUUAUAAAGAUUUAAAUGUAAAAUAAUUUUAGUAUAAUUAAUACGUGGGAUAUAUUUUGUAAAUUAUAAAAUUACUUAACCCAAUGAUUUUUAAAAAUCUUUAAAAUAAAUAAAAAUAAAUUAUUCACAUUUUGAUGUAAAUAUUUAAAACAUUUUUAUACAUUAGUCCACAAUUAUUUAUGUUAUAUUUGUAUUUAUUAGAAAUUUUGAAAGUCAAAUGUUUUUCACCUCUAUCUUAUUAGAAUUAUUGCACACAGAGAAAGAGCCAUAUAUGCUUUAUAGCUUUAAAAUCGAUUUGUUUUAUAGCUGGGAACAGAGAUGAUCAUUAUUAUAAGGAUUAAAAAAAAGAUAAAGAAUAUUAAUGAUUAGCGAAAUCUCUAUGGAAAUUGAAUUUAGUAAGAAAAAAUUGAGCUGAUUUUAGCGGUAUAGUAAUAUUUUAUAUAGAGAAAAGUAAAAGCUGCACCCAAGGUUAAGGGAAAUGGUCAAAACUCUUUUUUAAUCAUAAUACUCUUUUUCCUACAUAAUUUAAAAAUUUGACAUUAAUAUUUUAUAAUAAAUAAAAACAUAUAAUCCUAAAAUAAAUAAAAUAAUAUAUAUUUUAAAAUAAUCUCAAUAUUUAAAAUAUAUUUUAACAUUUUAUAGUCUAUCAGAUAUAUUUUAUUUUUUUUAAAGUAAAUUUUAUAAUAAAUACAAAACAUACUAUUAAAAUAGAUAUAAAAAUUUUAAAGUAUUUUGAAUAUUAUAUAAAAUAACUUUAAUAUUGUUAAUGCGUGAGAUGCAUUUUAUUAAUUAAAAAUUCUAUUUAACCCAAAGAUUUAUUUAUAAUAAAUUAAUAAUCAUAUUUUUGAAAUUAUUUUAAAUAUUAAAAAAUAUUUUAAUAUUACUAACUAUUAGAUAGACUAAACUAUUUAUAUUAUUUUCUAUUUAUUAUAAAAUUUCAAAGUUAAUCUUUUUAACUACUAUUCAAAAGAUAUUAUGAUAAAAACAGAAUUUUUCUGUUUUAUUAAAAAUUUAGAGUUUACACCUAUUUUUUCAAAUAUUCGGGGUGUAACUGUUUUAUUUAAAUAAAAUCUCAGUUAAAAAUGUACAGAGAAGAAAUUUCUGUUGGUAUUUUAGUCUUUUACCAAUUAUCACGAUUAGGCCUUGGCCUUGAAACAUUAAUUGUUUCACUUUUAGCGCUAGUGGCGUUGAAAGUUGUCAAGAAAAAGCAAGACCAUAUUCCACAAAAGCAGCUCUUUUAUUAAAGGCAAAGUAUAAAGUAGUCAAGAAUCGAAUAUCCUGUCGUCUACUCUUUUUUAAAUUCUUCUUUUAUUAUCUUUUAGAAUAGUUUUUGGUAAUUACAAUCAUUAUUCAGAGUUAUUGUUAUCUUCUGGGGCAGUCUCUGUUCAUCGAAGUCGUUACCUUUUUUUCAUGGAUCAGUUCCAGUGCCAAGCAGUAAUUUUCUUAGAACUCGGAUCUUUAAUUCGAGUUUCUUUGUGAAUUAAUAAUAAAAAAUUUUCAUUACACGCAAUUUAAGCUACGAAUUACUUUUUGCAAAGUUGAAUAUGAAAUUGGAGAAAUUAAAUAAUUUAGAAUGUUGGUAAAAAUUGACUAACAUAUCCCCAAUUACAGUAAAACCUCUCUACAGUCAUAACAUUAUAACAAAAUUAAUUUUAUUACUAUGUUGAGGUAAUAUAGGUUUAGUUACAAAAUUAUUGUUUUAAUAUGGUUAGUGUCAAGUGAUAUAAAGGUUAAGUAUGCAGUACAUUGAUAAUUAAAUAAUGAAGCGUGUCAAAUCUAACGUAUAUAUAUUAAUGAUAUAGAUAGACAUAGUUUUAAAAAACUAAUUAAUGUAUAUUUAUGUACUGUUAUGAAUAUGGAAAGUCAAGCCUACACUUUACAUUAUCCUUAAUUUUUUCUCUCAGUUAAAUUCUACAAAUAUUGUACAAUGAUUGGGUAAGAACUCUAAAUUAAGAAUAAAUUAUUGUCACAAAUAAUUUUAAAAAAUAUUUUAUUUCAUCUUAAACCUUUAAUGUAAGUAAAUAUAUAUAUAUGUGUGUGUGUGUGUGCAUAUUUUGCAAGGUAUAGAUAAUUGUUAGUAUAUGGAGACAAGUCUUUUAAGGUAGGACCUAGGAAAAUUUAUAACUUACUACAUUGGGGAGUUUUUAUUCCUUUUUAUAAUUGGCUCAUAUUGAUACAUUCUUACACAAAAUAUUACCAUUGACAUAUUUUACUACAAUUGGUUUAGAACAUUUGUUAGGAAAAAAAAAAGAAAAGAAAACAUUCAUUGGAUGUAGCUCUCCCUCGUAUGCUUUUUUCUCCAAAUAUUCCUGCGUCCACAGAAACAAGUCAGAGCACGCCGGUUGUUUUCCCGGCGUAAACCCUCUGACGCUCAAGUCAGAUAUGAAGGCUCUGGGAAUGCUUGCCACAGAUCUUAUGGUUUUUCUGUAGUUUCUAUUCUUUAGAGUUUCAUUUAUCUCUGAAUAUAAUCUCAAAAAUGCUAACCCUUUUACCUUCCUUGGCUACCUUUUUAUAGGCUUCCUCUGAAUCCCGGUCUUCCGUAGUCCACGCCCGUUAUUCUCCCCACCCUCGGAUGUGGAUGCCCCAUUAUCGCCAUUGUGGGCGAAUGGAGAUGGACUUCGUGCCUUGAUUCUCGGAUAGGAAUGCACGUCUUGCCAACUGUCGUUGACUGGGUCUCCUCGCCUCUCGACCUCUAGCCGGAAUGGCCUUAUGCCUCUAACAAGAGUUCGACCUCGUGAAUGGCAUACUCGCGGACGAGCCGAAUAUUUCUGCUCAUGUUCCCCUGCUACCUGGCUCUUACAGGACAUACCUGUUCGCAGAACUCCGCCAUCAAAUAUCUGCUCAUCACGUCUGGUCUCGUUGAAGUAUUUCCCUCAAACAACAUAUUUUACUACAAUUAGUUUAGAACAUUUGUUAGGAAAAAAAAAGAAAAGAAAACAUUCCUUGGAUGUAGCUCUCCUGACUAUUUAAAUCUUUUAAGGAAAAAAAGAAAAAAGAAAAACUGACACAUUCAAAUCUUGAAGCAAUUACAUUAAAACCUCUCCAUAAUGAUAGGAAUAAUCUCCAUUUAGUAAUAAAAAAUUUUGUUCGCAAUCUAGGCAGAGUUAUAAAUAAGAAUAAAAUCCUCAUUGUAAUAAGUUGUAUUUAUUAUGGAUCCCAUCCUAAGGAACUUGUCUCUAUAUAGUAAUAAUUAUUUGCAUAUUAUAAAUAUAUAUGUUGCAUUAGAUUAAAUGAACUUGUCUCCACAUACUACUUAGACAAUGAGAGAAAGUUAUUAAAGAGAACACAAAUAUUUAGAGAUUUUUAAGAUUACUUUGCAUGUUUAUAACAAUAAUACAUUGAUAUAUGUAUUAGUUUUUUGAUAUAUUAGAUUUGACAUGCUCUAUUAAUAAAUUAUUAAUACGAUGCAAACUUCAUCUCUCUAUCCUUGCAAUAAAAGUAACUAAGUUAUAACAAUAAUUAUUAAUAAAUUAUUAAUACGAUGCGUACUUCAUCUCUAUAUCCUUGCAAUAAAAGUAACUAAGUUAUAACGAUAAUUUUUGUAACUACAUGCUUAUUAGGUUUUAACUACUUCAUAAUAAUAAAUUAAUUUCGUCCUAAUAUUAUAAUUAUGUAGAGUUGUAGUGUAUAGACACACCCAAUUUAAAUAGUAAAUCAAAUAAAAUUGUCCCCACAAAAAAGAAAAAAGGGGUAAAGGAUUGUUAUUUCUUCAAACAUUAGGAGCACGUUUGUUCAAGUGCGAUGCCUUUCUUUUGAAGGCAACGUCAGUGGGUACCCAAUAGGACGUGUGUAAAUCUUUCCAAAAUUUCUCCGGUAUAACGGACAGAGAUCAUUACUUUUCUCUUCCAUAGACCACAGCAGCUUCAGUUAAUCAGACUCAAUCAAUUUUCUUGGUUUCUUCGCUUAUCAAAAUUCCAAAAUAUGGGUAGCAUAUUUCAAAUCACAUGCGAUGGUGCUUUUUUCAAUCGUUGCUUGGAUUGCUUUCUUGGAAAAGUAGCAAACACAAGUAAGCUCCAAGAUAACCUUGUUGCCUUGGAGACUGAAUUGGGAAAACUAAUCGUAGCAAAGAACGAUGUGAUGAUGAGGAUUGUCAAUGCUGAACGGCAACAACUGAGAACGCUGGACCAAGUGCAAGUGUGGCUUUCGAGGGUGGAAGCUGUUAAAACUGAAGCUGAUGAAUUGAUAAGACACGGCUCUCAAGAAAUUGACAAAUUAUGUGUUGGAGGCUACUGUUCCAAGCACUGCGCGUCAAGCUACAAGUUCGGGAAACAAGUGGCUAAAAAGCUACGGGAUGUGCAGACUUUAAUCGGCGAAGGAGUUUUUGCGGCGGUGGCUACUGAGGUGGUGCCUGAGAGAGCUCCAGAACCUGUAGCAGAUGAAAGACCCACUGUGCCAACAAUAGUAGGCUUGCAAUCACAACUUGAACAAGUUUGGAGAUGUCUUGUAGAAGAAUCAGUGGGAAUCAUUGGCCUAUAUGGUAUGGGCGGUGUUGGUAAAACUACACUAUUGACCCAUAUCAACAAUAAAUUUCUUGAGAGUCGAACCAGUUUUGAUUGUGUGAUUUGGGCCGUAGUUUCAAAGGACUUGCAACUCGAAAAAAUUCAAGAAGAUAUUGGGAAAAAGAUCGGUUUGGUUGAUGAUUCAUGGAAGAGUAAAAGUGUAGAGGAGAAAGCUCUCGACAUCUUCCGGAGUUUAAGAGAGAAGAGAAUUGUAUUGUUGUUAGAUGAUAUAUGGGAGCGGGUUGAUUUAACAAAAGUGGGCAUUCCACUUUCGGGACCAAAGAAUACUACCUCAAAAGUCGUAUUCACAACCCGUUUCAUCGAUGUUUGUGGUAGCAUGGAAGCUGACAAGAAGUUCCAAGUGGCAUGCUUAUCAGAAGAGCAUGCUUGGGAACUGUUUCGAAAAAAAGUUGGGGAAGAAACUCUUGAGAGUGAUCAUGAUAUCGUUGAGCUAGCCCAAACUGUGGCCAAAGAGUGUGGUGGUUUGCCACUCGCACUUAUUACUAUUGGUCGAGCUAUGGCCUGCAAAAGGACAGCCGAGGAGUGGAGACACGCAGUUGAAGUGCUAAGAAGAUCAGCUUCUGAGUUUGCAGGUUUGGGAAAAGAGGUGUAUCCUCUUUUAAAGUUUAGCUAUGAUAGUUUGCAGAAUGAGACGAUUAAAUCUUGUUUCUUAUAUUGUUGUUUAUAUCCCGAGGAUUAUGGCAUUCUUAAAUGGGACUUGAUUGAUUGUUGGAUUGGUGAGGGAUUCUUAGAGGAAUCUGACAGGUUUGGUGCAGAAAACCAAGGAUACUACAUUGUGGGCACUCUUGUUCAUGCGUGUUUACUAGAAGAGAUAGAAGAUGAUAAAGUAAAAAUGCAUGACGUUGUUCGUGAUAUGGCUUUAUGGAUAGCUUGUGAAAUUGAGAAGGAGAAGAGAAACUUUUUGGUUUGUGCAGGUGCUGGAGUAGGAGCGGUACCAGAUGUUGAAGGAUGGGAAAAUGUGAGAAGAUUGUCAUUGAUGCAAAACCAAAUUGAAAUUCUGUCAGAGGUUCCCACAUGCCCUCAUCUCCUCACUUUAUUUCUUGACUUUAAUUAUAAAUUGGAGAUGAUCACUGAUGGCUUCUUCCAAUGUAUGCCUUCUCUCAAAGUUUUGAAGAUGUCAAACUGUGGGCAUGUCAAAGUUUUGAAAUUACCUUUUGGGAUGUCAAAGUUGGGUUCACUACAACUUCUUGAUAUUUCACAUACCGGCAUAAGAGAGUUACCAGAAGAGUUAAAGUUGUUGGUAAAUCUGAAAUGUUUGAAUUUGAGGUGGACACAUAUGUUAAAUAAAAUUCCACGGCAGCUAAUAUCAAAUUCUUCAUGGUUACGUGUGUUGAGAAUGUUCGCUAUUGGCUUUGAAAAUUCUAAAGAACCAUCAGAAGACAGCGUUUUAAUUGGUGGGGGUGAAGUUUUAGUACAGGAAUUGCUCGGUUUGAAAUAUUUAGAGGUAUUGGAGUUGACCUUGCGAAGUUAUCAUGCUCUCCAUUCUUUUUUGAGCUCAAAUAAGUUAAAAAGUUGUAUUCGAUCUCUUUUCCUCAAUAAGCUGGGAGAUACAAAGUCGAUUGAUGCUACGGCUUUGGCAGAUCUAAAGCAUCUCAAUGAAUUAUAUAUUCUUUUUUUUNNNNNNNNNNNNNNNNNNNNNNNNNNNNNNNNNNNNNNNNNNNNNNNNNNNNNNNNNNNNNNNNNNNNNNNNNNNNNNNNNNNNNNNNNNNNNNNNNNNNNNNNNNNNNNNNNNNNNNNNNNNNNNNNNNNNNNNNNNNNNNNNNNNUCUUUCGCUAUACGGUUGUAAUGCUGUGGAAGAAAUAAUCAGCGUUGGGAAAUUUGCUGAGGUUCCUGAGAUGAUGGGACAUAUAAGCCCUUUUCAGAAUCUCCAAAAGCUUGAUUUAUCACAUUUGCCAGCUUUGAAGAGCAUCUACUGGAAGCCAUUGCCUUUCGCUCAUCUGAAAGAAAUGGUGGUGCAUUGGUGUGAUCGGCUUAAAAAGCUUCCGCUCGAUUCCAACAGUGCAAAAGAGCGUAAAUUUGUUAUUCGUGGAAGAGCAGACUGGUGGAACCGUCUUCAAUGGGAGGAUGAAGCCACUCAAAUUGCUUUCCAUUCCUGUUUCCACCUAAUGAAAUAUAAAUUCCUUAGCGGUGGUUGCAAAAUUUGAUUUCUAGUGAGUGCUUUUUUCUUAAACUCUUACAUUUAUUUCAGAUUCGUUUUUUGUCUCCUGCAAAUCACAAUUAAAUGCUGAAUUAUAUGGAGUCAAUGCUUUAGAAAAUUUUCAAGGCACUGCCAUUUCCUUUUUUCCAUUUUUUUUUGGGUCGAAUUGAUGCUCUGGCUUUUUACUUUUUGUUGUCAAAUUUUGCUCUGUUUUUUCAAGUUGAUGCUUGAAUAGUUGAAUUCAAUUAAUGCUCACAUAAAUUUGUUUAGUUGCCGUAAAAGGAUAUAAUUAGACUGAAGUACACACUUCUAGAAUGAAUACAAAAUGUUAAGUAUACUAGCCCUCUUUACAGAAAAUCAAAUGAAAAUCAAUUUUUUGGGGCUUUGAUUUUCUAUGGUCUAUUAUAUACUCUUUUUAAUAUCUUCUGUUCUAACUAUAACCAAAUCCUUUGUUCAAGGAUUUUUAUUUGGGGUAUUGAUAACUAUCCACCAAAAGAGUGAACACUUGGAUGCUGCUCAAGGAUCUCUAAUCAAUAGCUGGAAGCAACUGAGAAGGCGGUCGCUGCUGUUUACAAAGUGAUGCAGUAUUUGCCAUUCAUCUUAAUAAUUAUGAAGCUUUGGUAAAAUUUUCAAACAAAAUUGAACAUGUUGUUUGAGAUUUGGUUCAUGAUUUUGGAUGAAUAUCGUUGUUCCGUUUGAGUUGGAUGUGAAUUCAAAAUCUAUAUAUUCUUUGGUUUUCAAGUCUGAACUCAAUUUCUUUUUCUCAAGCAUGUUAUGCAGAAAUGAUUUUUACUAAAUCAUUUUUGAUGAAUUGUUUAAAUUAAACACUUGGAAUAAGAAUUGUAAACGUUUAUCAUAAGCAUGCUAAUAUGAUAAAUUGUUUUAUGAACGACUAAUUAAUUAAUCAAUUAAUAUUAAAUUAUAUAUUAAUCAAUUAGAUAUGCGUUACAUGUCAUGUUUAAAAACUAUUUAUUUAUAUUUCAAACAAAUUUGACUGGAUGUUGUGUAGGUAAUACUACAUAAUUUCAAAACAAAAAAAAGUAAUAAAAACACGUUAAAUUUUGUUUUUAUGAAGAAAAAUUUAAAAUUUUAUUAAAUAGGUGAAAAUAAUAAAUGGAUUCGUGUAUGGUUUGAGAUUCUUGACAUAAUUAUGAAAUAAGCCGGAUUCGACUUAGUUCAAUUUUGACGCGAUAAGAAGACGACACCACACAAACACACGACAAGAACCGUUACCUGAGAAGAUUGCCAUCAGGAAUUUUGAAAUUGAUUUCACUACAAUAUCUUAAUCUUUCAGAUACUCCCAUCACUGAGCUGCCAUAAGAGCUAAAAGCCUUGGUAAAUCUUAAGUGUUUGAACUGUACACAAAUUAUCUCUCUACAAUUCAAAAACAACUGAUUUGUUACUUUUCAAUGCUACAUGUUCUGCGAAUAUUGAGUUGUGGUUAUCUUGUUGAAAUAUCAGAAAAUAGAGUUCUAUUUGGUGGUAGUGAAUUGUUGGUUGGGGAGUUACCUAGUUUAAAACGUUUAAAUGUAUUAAGCAUCACCUUACAAGGUUUUUCUGCUGUCCAAAAACUUAUGAGCUCUCAAAAGUUUCAAAGCUGUACAAAAUGUUUGGAGCUUAUAGACUGUGAUGAUUCAAAGUCUUUUGCCUUGGCAGAGUUGAAGCAUCUCGAGAAACUAGUUUUUCGAAUUGUGGAAGAGUUUAAGUUCUGCUGUGUUGAAGUUGGAAAAGCUCAAGAAUGUUUUCGUUUGAACAGCUUUCCCCGAGGUAAUAUAAAGGCUUGUCAUAAAUUGAGGGACGUGACAUGGCUUGUAUUUGCUCCAAAUCUUACGGUUAUUCAAUAGAAAAAUAUAUGCAGAUGGAAGUAAUAAUCAGUGCAAGGAAAUUGGGUGAAGUUCCAGGGAUGAUGGCAGAUCUAAACCCUUUUGCAAAACUCCAGUAUCUUCGUCUGCGAGUUCUACCAAAAUUAAAAAGCGUCUAUUGGAAUGAGUCACCCUUUCCACAUGUCAGGGAAAUUAUUGUAUCUGAAUGCCCAAUUCUCAAGAAGCUUUCACUCGGUUUUAACAAUGCAAAGGAAUCUAAAAUUGUCAUUUAUUACAUGUUUAUAUCUAACUUUUGUUUUCCUUUAUGGUUAAAUUUUACUUUAUAUAUGUUGUUAUACGGUGACAUUCUCGCAUCAAUUGUUAGCUUUUUAAUUCUCUUCUCCCAUUAAUUGCCCUUCUGAUCAUGUAAGAUAUGCCGAUGUCAAAGAGUAGUAAGUUGGGAUACAAAUGUAAGAAUUAACCAGAUGACAUGUUGUUUUGAAGCUCUCGGAGAAGGACUAAUUAUGUCAUUCAAAGCAUCCAAUUUCGCUACUUUUUUUUUCAUUUGUUGCUUUUUCUAUUUUUAGAGAGCUUGAUUGUCAGUUGUCGUAAUGUAAUGUUUUAGUGUAGAAAAAUGAUAUUCGGCCAAGACAUCAAUAGGAGGGCACAUUGUGCAUGCACACUAGUGGAUGAUUUCGGCAUGCCGAAUCCAAUUAGUGUGGAUAACCCUUUAUAAGCAAUUGGCUUCUCUCAUACCAGAGCAAUGUAGAAUAUAUUUAUAAACUGUGGAUUACUCUUUAUUAGGCUUCUUCUAUACUCGAGCAAUGUGGAAUACCUUUAUAAGCAAUAAGCUUCUCCCCUACACUUUAUGUUAAUAAUAAUAAUAAUAAAAUAAAUCCAUUUUAAAAUAGACUUUUUUUUUCUUUUUCUAUAUAAACAAAAUGCAUUCUUCAAAUCAAUAGUGGGUGGAAGAAGUGAGUAGAGAAGAACUAGUCCCCUUUCAUUCCCCUAAAACCUCACCGAAACCUCUCUUGUGAACUUCUCAGAUUCUCUCUCAAUAUUUCUUAUGAUCUCGUUUUUGAUAGAAUCACUUCUUUUGCAUGUUGCAUUUGGUGUGUCUUUUUUGGGUAAUAUCUUAUCUGGAAUGCUGUCAUGAUCAAUAGAACAAGUAAUCAAUUUUUGGCUUGACGGAAGUCGAUUUAUUUAUUUACUAUUAUUUUUAUUUGAAAUUUUGUACAAUUGUGUUUCAUUCAUUUCUUUCCUUUUUUUUUAAUAUUUAUUAUGUAUAAUUGUGUUUCAUUUGAUAUUGAUCAUACUCUAGAUAACUAUGUGAUUGUAGCUGGGGAUUUUAAGUUUUGUGAAUUCAAGAAACUGUCAAAAUGCUAGUGAAAUUGGGACCUUUAUUCAUAAGCUUGUGGUUUUGAAAAGUAGCCCGGUUCAACUGAUGAAGUUCCUUUUUGGGAUUCUUUUUUUUCCUAGGCUGCAAUUCGGAUAUGUACCUGAUAGACAAUCUUUUGUGGGUUUAGCAUAUCUUCUCGGAUUUUGUCUUUUAUUCCUCGAUUUUAUAAUUACACACCAUGAAUGUUGAGUGAUUGUAUAGAAAAUUUGUGUUAUAACCAAAGCAUUGUGAAGGAGUUAAGUUAGUGGCUUCUGUUUUAUUGGCAUUGAUUGGGUAGAUUACGUGUUACAGUGAUUCAAUUUGUGAUCCAAACUUUGUUUAAAUUUCUGUUUUCCCAAAUUAUUUAUGUCAAAUUCAAAACCAGAAGCAUGUGCUGAUUUUUUCUUUUUGUAUUAAUCUGUGAAGUUUAUUUGGAAAGGAAGUAUCUGGGUCUAAUGGAUUAAAUUAUGUAAGUGGCAGAAAUUCCUACACACAUAAAUAUGCAUAAAUACAAAAGUAUACACAAAAAAAUGCACACACUCAUACAUCCAGUCAAUAUAGUUAAUGUAAGAGCACAUACCGGUUUGGUUAUCUUGCUGCAAGUGCACCGCAUUAGCCUUGCAUUCUGGUGCCAACUCCUCCGGCGGUUCACUCACUACCUUUCCCAAUGCUUUGGACCUCCAUUCGGUCUCCAUCAGAUUUCUCAGGAGCACUAAAUAAAGCAGCUAAAACUUGCUUCUGUAGUUCAUUUCUGUCUUUCGGGUGUCUAGGCAAUUUUCCUUCGUCGGUAUUUCGAUCUUCCUUUACAUGACUGAGGAAAUACAGUCAAAAGCUAAUCAAGUAACCAUAUAUGGAUGAGAAAUCCCUCCACCCCCCUUCCAAAACAAAUUCUAAGAAAUAUCAGAAUUCUUUCAAUAAAAACCCUUCCCCCCAUGCUGUGCCUGCUGAAUGAAAUAUAUUAAUCUUACGAGAAGUUGAGAAAAUAAAUUAAAGAACAUACCCUCCGGAAGAAUUCAAUUGUUGCAAUUUUCUUUCACGUGGAGGUCCUCCAAAGUUAGAGCACAUAUCCGUACACUGUUUAUGAAAUCAUAAUAACAGGGGACCAGAUAUUAAUAACAAAUCUUGACACCUAAAAGUCAACUGUGAUGAAAAACAUUAAAAAGAAUAUGAACUUGUUAUCUUGGAAGAAGAUAAUUUAAGAUAUAGCAAACUUGGCACAUUCAUAUAUGAACAGAAGGAAUUUGUAGACGUUUUAAAGCCAUAAUCGUUUAAUAAUCAUGAACCAAGCAAUAAUAGAUGAUUAUUAUGUUGGGUGCAAGCGGAAGUGCAGAAAAAUUUUUAUUUAAGAUCAGAGUAUUUUGCUGGAAAUUUCUGAAACUUUAUUGCUUAAUUCAUUUUUUCGUUUCUCUCUUACUUUUCAUACAACCAGAGUUCUAUAUUUAUAUGCAUUAUAGACAACUCUAGAGAUUACAUUAAUCAUGCUUUACAUUUCCAAAGCCACAUUGCAAACAUCAAUUCUACCCUUUACUUCACGUUGAAAAACAAACCAAAUAAUCCUUCAAACUUCUUGCUCAAUUUACUAGAUUACUAAUUAUAUCUCAACACCCCCUCUUAAUUAGUAAUCUUCAAUUGCUUCUUGAAUUUUUCAAACUUCUCAAUAAUGAUUGCUUUGGUCAGAAAAUCUGCUGGCUGCUCAUUAGUGCUGAUAAACUCCAUAUUAACUUCUCCUUUGCUUACUAAGUCACGGAUGUAGUGAUAACGCAGCUCAAUGUGCUUAGAUUUAGCAUGAAAUACGAGGUUCUUUGUUAGAGCAAUGGCUGACAUGUUGUCACAAUAAAUUGUUGUUGCAGCAUCUUGAUUGAACUGCAAAUCCUUGAGAAUUCUUCUAAGCCAAACGGCUUCACAAGCUGAUUCAGUUGCUGCAAUGUACUCUGCCUCGGCUGAGGAUAAAGCUACUGACUUCUGCUUCCUUGAGCUCCAUGAAAUCACAUUUGUACCAAGACAAAAUAAAUAACCUGAUGUGCUUUUUCUGUCAUCAAGGGAACCAGCCCAGUCACUGUCAGUAAAACCAACAAGCUUGCAAUUGUCUUCUUUUUCAUACAUGAUCCCCUGCUUUUUUGUUCCUUGAAGAUACCUUAAGAUUCUCUUUGCUGCAAUAUAAUGGGACUUCCUUGGAUCAUUCAUAAAUCUAGAAAGAACACUAACUGAGUGCAAAAUGUCAGGUCUUGAGUUGGUUAGAUAAAUCAACGAACCAACCAAGCUUCUAUAGAUUCUUGCGUCAGCCUUUUCUUCUUUUUCAUCAUGUUUCAAUUUUUCAUUCAAACCCAUAGGAGUAGGUGCUGGUUUGCAUUUGAACAUGUGGAAUUUCUUCAACAAAUCUUCUACGUAUUUUUCUUGACAAAAGAAGAUUUUUCCUCUGGCUUGCUUCACUUGAAUGCCAAGAAAAUACUUCAUUAAGCCCAAGUCAGUCAUCUCAAAUUCAUCUAGCAUGCUUUUUUUAAACUCUUCCACCAUUUUCAGAUUAGUGCCACAAUAAAUUAGAUCAUCAACAUAAAGGCAAACAAUAAGGAAAUCAGUACCUUCCUUUUUGACAUAAAGAGAAGGUUCACUUGAGCUUCUGUCAAAUCCAUUUUUAACGAAAUAUCUAUCAAUUCUGCUAUUCCACGCUCGAGGGGCUUGCUUCAAGCCAUACAAGGCUUUUCGGAGUUGAUAAACUUUGUUUUCUUCACCUUUCACUUCAUAUCCUUUAGGUUGCUCAACAUAAACCUCUUCUUCAAUUUCACCAUUUAGAAAUGCCGAUUUUACAUCUAGUUGAAACACAUGUAAUUCCAUUUGGGCUGCCAAGGCAAGAACAGUUCGAAUAGUCUCCAUUCGAGCUACGGGAGCAAACGUUUCUGUAAAAUCAACUCCAGGCAGCUGAGAGUAUCCUUUGGCAACGAGCCGCGCCUUAUAUUUUUUAACUGAACCAUCUUCAUUGUACUUGAUUUUGAAGAUCCAUUUCAGCCCAAUUGUUUCUUUUCCAUUUGGCAAAUUAACCAUCUCCCAAGUUUUAUUUUUCACAAUGGUGGCCAUUUCCUCGUUCAUUGCUUGGAUCCAAUUUUCAUUUCUUGAGGCCUCCUCAAAGUCUUGAGGCUCACAAGAAAAUAAAGCAAGUUCACAUGACUCAUAAAUUUCUCUCAUUGACUUUAUCUUCCUUGGAGGGCUUUCAUCAUCCGAAGAACUUUCUGCUGCUGAAUUUGGAGAAUUUGGUUCCAAAUUAUUUUGCUGUGAAGAAUUUGGUGGAGAUACAGGAGCUUCGAAAAAGCUAGAUGCUUGAGAUUGAUCUUUUUCCCACUGCCAAGCUGAUGCCUCAUCAAAUACAACAUCUCUUGAGAUAACAAGCUUAUUUGUUGUAGGAUUCAACAACCGAUACCCUUUAGACUCAUCACUAUAGCCAAUAAACAAAUAUUUUUCACCUUUUUCAUCAAACUUCUCUCUGUUUUGAGCUAGAAUAAGAGCAUAAGCAAUACUCCCAAAAAUCUUCAAGUGAUCAACAGUUGGCUUUCGGUUGUGCCAAGCUUCAAAUGGAGUUUUGUCUCUAACAGCUUUUGUAGGAGACCUGUUGAGGAUGUACACAGCUGUAUGACAUGCUUCUGCCCAUAAGUUGUUAGGAAUGCCUUUGCCUUUUAACAUGCUUCUUGCCAUCUCUACAAUGGUACGGUUCUUCCGUUCUGCAACUCCGUUUUGUUGUGGACUUCGGCUGACAGUAAGUUGUCUUUGAAUUCCAUUAUCCCUGCAAUAAUUCAUGAAUGGAGUGUAGAUAAAUUCACCACCACGAUCAGUUCUCAAGGUCUUCAUUUUGCAUCCACUUUGCCUUUCUGCAAGAGCUUUAAACUGAAGAAAAGUUGAGAAAGCUUCUGAUUUUUCAUUCAAAAAAUAAAUCCACAUCAUCCUUGUAUAGUCAUCAACAAAAAGAAUGAAAUAUCUCCUGUUAUUGAGAGAGAGAGUCCUUGUAGGACCACAAAUAUCAGCAUGCACCAACUCCAACGGAGCUUUGGCUCUCCAUGAAUUUUUAGGAAAUGGAAGUCUAUGCAUUUUUCCAUAUAUACAGCCCUCGCAAACUUUUUCAUAUCUUCCAACAUCAGGUAAGCCAAUCACCAUGUUCUUUUGCUUGAGCAAAUUCAGCCCUUUAUAGUUUAAAUGACCAUAUCUGAGAUGCCAUAAAUUUGACAAAUCUGAAUUUUCAGUUUUGAGAGCAACAUUCUCAUCAAGUGGCAUAACAAGAGGAAAAACUUUGUUCUUUGACAUUUCAACAACGGCCACUGUAUGAUUAUUAGUUUUAUCAAUGAUUUUGCAUUUUUCAUCAUCAAAAUAAAUUGAAAAACCCUUUUGAAUUAGCUGCCCCACACUCAAGAGGUUUUGAGUUAAAUUUGGAACAUAAAGAACGUCAUAAAUGAGCUUUUUGUUACCUCCCUUUGUAUGGACAGCAAUAGUGCCUUUUCCCACAGCUUUCUGCAUCUUUCCAUCUCCAAGCUUCACUUGCGAAUUAAAACUUUGGUCAAGGUUGAUGAAAAUGUCACGUUCUCCAGUCAUGUGGUUGCUACAACCGCUAUCCAAGUACCACAAAUUAUAUGAUUCACGUUCAGCACCUUUACUUGAAUAAAACAAGUAAUCUCCAUCACAUUCUUUUGUAAAAUUUGCCUCAUUUUUGCCUUUCUUAUUUUGAUACCAGCAAUCCCUUUGAGAAUGGUUAGGAAUGCGACACCUUGUGCAUUUAUAACGACAAUCUUUUGAUUCAUGAUUAGACCGAUUACAAAUGAUGCACUGAGAAUCUGAAUUUUGCUGUGAAUUCCCUCUGUCAUUUUUCCACUUGUUGCGGUUGUCGUUCUGUUCUCUUUGCCCUAUGCCACGCUGCUCGUUUCUUUGAGACGAGCCUCCGUUCUUCUGGUCUUUCUUGCUGCUUUUAUUCUGAUCUGAAUUAUUAAUCUUUGACUGAAAAGCUUGCUCUGUAGGCUGACUUGAAGGUCGAUUGAUUCUUUGCUCAUGAGACCGUAAUGAUCCUGACAAAUCUGAAAAAGUCAUCUUGGACAAAUCCUUUGAUUCUUCAAUGGCUGCUGCUACAUGAUCAAACUUUGGAGGAAGACAUCUCAGCACCUUUUCAUUCACCUUCUUGUCUUCAAUGGAGUCCCCACAACCUUUAAUCUGGUUCACAAUCUCAGUAACUCUACUGCAAAAAUCCUGAAUUCCUUCUCUGUCUUUCAUUGAUAAAUUAUCGAACUCUUUCCACAAAGUCUGUAACUUGAUGGUGACUGCCUUUUCAGAACCUUGAAAUUCUUGUUUUAGGAUUUUCCAAGCAUUUUUGGCCUUUUUGACACCAAAUAUUCUGGGGAAAAUUGACUUACUAACACCUUGCUGGAUAUAUCGAAGUGUCGUGGCAUUUCUCUGUAUGUUUUCUUUGUACUGCUGUUGAUGUGCUGGAGUCCAAUCUGAAGAACUUGCAGAUUCUGGUGGUUCAGCAUAUCCAUCUUCAACAACAUCCCAUAAAUUUUGAGAGAGGAAAAAGGUUUCCAUUUGAUUACUCCAAUAUUCAUAAUGUACCCCUUCAAAUAUUGGAACUUGACUGGGAGCAUAUGAGAAUAAUGUGGGUAGGGUAUUUGAUGUCAUUUUGAGGGUGUUUUGGAAAAGCUCUGAUACCAAAUUUGUUGGGUGCAAGCGGAAGUGCAGAAAAAUUUUUAUUUAAGAACAGAGUAUUUUGCUGGAAAUUUCUGAAACUUUAUUGCUUAAUUCAUUUUUUCGUUUCUCUCUUACUUUUCAUACAACCAGAGUUCUAUAUUUAUAUGCAUUAUAGACAACUCUAGAGAUUACAUUAAUCAUGCUUUACAUUUCCAAAGCCACAUUGCAAACAUCAAUUCUACCCUUUACUUUACGUUGAAAAACAAACCAAAUAACCCUUCAAACUUCUUGCUCAAUUUACUAGAUUACUAAUUAUAUCUCAACAUAUUAUUCCGUUUCUUCUAAGCUACGCAUACUUGCACAUCAGAAUAAAGUGAUAUACAAUGGUUGUGUGCAGACACAAACGCAUGAUCAACAGGAAAAAUCAUCUGAACAUUUGUAUUACUGAUUUGGCAUAUAAGAUUCUCAUAAUAGUUCAAAAUACAAAUAAAUGAAUAUAUAUAUAUUCCCCACCGGAAUCACCCCCUGGAUCCUCACUCAAGGUGUCUUCCGAGCCAGAAGAUCCCUCCUCACCACUAUUUCCGCUCGUGGAGGUUGUUUGGGGGGACAUCCUCCUAGCGCUAGUCCCAACACUAGACCUAAUGGGUUCUAAGGGGAUCCCGGGGUCAAAAGCAGGAUCGGUGAGCAGACUAGACAAGAAACCUAAUUCGUCGUCAUCAAUCUCAACGAUUUUCUCUUUACCCUUCGACAUUCCCUAAACUAUAAUCAGAACACCACCACCAACUACAACCCCAAGCAAAGCACAGAGAAAAGAAAUUAUCUACAACUAACCAAGACCGAGAAAAUAGAAGAAAUACCUGAAGCAGGGAUUCGAUCAGAGAGAGAUAGGGAUGAAAGCUUUAAUGCCGAGGUUCAUUCGCCGGAGAGACAAGAAGGGAGAAAAUGACGAGUUCGUGUUUGAGGAUUUUGGGUUUUCUUACUGAGAAGCAAACUCUUGGGCUGCCAGCAUUUAAUGACACAUAUUCCGAGAAUCUUGCAACCGUAGGUUUGAAAUUCAAAUGGAGGGGUGGAUUUCUGCCACAUCACUUCAUCUGCAAUUAAAUGCGACACGACUCUUGGCAGUCUUUUCCAGUCCCACGCGAGCAAGAACCGAUUGAGUUUCUACUGCUGGUCCAUUACAUUACCCAACACCAGAAACUGGGGGACUGGUGUUUGAGGGAAAUACUUCGACGAGACCAGACGUGAUGAGCAGAUAUUUGAUGGCAGAGUUCUGCAAACAGGUGUGUCUUGUAAGAGCCAGGUAGCAGGGGAACAGGAGUAGGAAUAUUCUGCUCGUCCACGAAUAUGCCAUUCACGAGGUCAAACUCCUGUUAGAGGCAUAAGGCCAUUCCUGCUAGAGGUCGAGAAGCGAGGAGACCCGGUCAACGACAGUUGGCAAGACGUGCAUUCCUAUCCGAGAAUCAAGGCACAAAGUCCAUCUCCAUUCGCCCACAAUGGCGAUAAUGGGGCAUCCAUAUCCCGGGGGGGGGAGAAUAAGGGGCGUGGACUACGGAAGAUCGGGAUUCAGAGGAAGCUUAUAAAAAGGUAGCCAACGAAGGUAAAAGGGUUAGAAUUUUUGAGAUUGCAACUAAGAAAAGAGAGCUCUAAGAACUGAAACUAAAGAGAAGCCAUAAGAUUCGUGGCAAACAUUCCCAGAACCUUCAUAUCUGACUUGAGCGUCGGAGGAUUUACGCCGGGAAAACGACCGGCGCACCCUGACCUGCUUUUGUGUUCGCAUGAAUUUUUGGGGAAGAAACCUUACGAGGAGAGAUCCUGGUCAUGGUAGAGUUGGUCGAGCAGAGGUCCUGGUCUUGGUAGAGAAGGCAACCAGAAUCUCGCAUCAACAAUUAUUUUACUUGAAAUUAUGUACAAUUGCAUUUCAUUCAUUUCUCUCUCUCUUUUUCUUUUUUCCCCCCAUAUAUUUUUUAUGUAUAAUUGCGUUUCAUUUAAUAUUGAUCAUACUGUAGGUAACCAUGUGAUUGUAGAUGGGGAUUUCAAGUUUGUUGAAUAUUCAUGUAAGUGAAGUAACCGUCACAAUACUAGUGAAAUUGGGAGCUUUAUUCAUGAGUUUGUGGUUUUGAAAAGUACCACAGUUCAGCUGAUGAAGGCUUCUUUUUGGGAUUCUUCUUUUCCUAGGCUGCAAUUAGGAUAUGUACAUGAUAGACAAUCUUUUGUUGGUUUGGCAUAUCUUCGCUGAUUUUGUCUUUUAUUCCCCAAUUUUAUAAUUACACACCAUGAAUGUUGGGUGAUUGCAUAGAAAAUUUGUGUUAUAACAAAAACAUUGUGAAGGAGUUUCUGUGCUAAUAGUUAGUGGCUUCUGUUUUAUUGGCAUUGAUUGGGUAGAUUACGUGUUACAGUGAUUCAAUUUGUGUUCCAAACUUUGCUUUAAUUUUCUGUUUUCCCCAACUAUUUAUGUCAAAUUUAAAUCCAGAAGCAUGUACUGAUUUUUUCUUUUUGUAUUAAUUUGUGAAGUUUAUUUGGAAUGGAAGUAACUGGGUCGGGUCUAAUGGAUUAAAUUAUGACAUUGAGGGGAAGGCACUAAAAGGGUUUGCUUGACACAUUUGGUUCUGUGUCUGCAAGAAAUAGCUUUUGCUUAUUGCAAUGCAGGGGGAAAUCCCGAUUUGGCUGGUGAAUUUCUCUGCAACAAACGGGCAAACACCUUGACUUCUUCUGUCCAUACUUCUGCUGGGGAGGCAAGGGGUAAAGAGUCUUCAAAAUCAUCAAAUAGUAACAUCUCUGAGAAUUCAUUUUAUGGAAAUGGAAAAUCUAGAGCUUCUAAUACAAAAUGGUAUCUGGUAUCAGGACGUACCGUUUCAAGUUUUCUUGGUAAAGAUUAUGUUAAACCUGCACAGCCAGCUAAUGGCACUUUUCUGGCAUCAAAGCCAUUGAAGUUGGAUCCAAGGGAGUUUCGCAUUUCUGCACUUUCAGAGAAGAAACUAAACCGAAACAAUCAAAGGAUGACCAUUUGCAGAAGGAUAUGGAAGAUUUUCUGUUUAAAUUGCUAGGAGAAGGGUUCCAGCUGUACAGGGAUGUGAUUCAGAUGGUUCAUGGUAACGUCUUAAAUAUAUUGAUGCCAAUUUAAUACAUAUUGUCCUUUUCAAUGUUCUUUCUUUCUUUCUCCUCUUUUUAUUCUUCUUCUUCUUCUUUUUUCUUUUCAUGUGCAUCUGAUCACUAAUUUGGUAUUAUUCUUAACUUGCAGAUAGUUGUGGAUAUGAUAUGCAAAAAGGUAAGGACUAUAUCUUCUUGAUGGAGGCCUCUGAUUUUUUAAAUCGCAUUUUCCUUUGUGAUUGAUAUAUCAUACCAAAGUCAAGUCUUAAAUACUGCUGUCAUAUGUUAAGGUUCAACUUCCAUUUUGAUUAACGUCGAUUUGCUACUGCUUCCAAAAGUGAGAAUGAGAUACUUUGGUUAAUUUCAGUAGUUGAACCCAAUAGAGUACUUUAUUUAGAUCUUCAUGGUUCAAAGGCCUGAAAAAACUUGCCGGUGUUUGCAAAAUGACAUUCUGUGCUUUUAUUUAGACUUAUUAUUAAAGACAACAUUUUGUUUCAGCCAAAAAUGUUUGUUUCGAUUAAAGACUGAUUUUAUAUUUCUAUUUUGUAACUUGAAAUAAUUGGUCUGCCUGUUUCUGUUGCUUGAUAACAUGAAUUUUUCCUUCUGAAGUUAAUUUGAUCAAUAAAGUAAUUCUUCGGAGAGGAUAUGCCCAUUCUAUAGUCAUUUUCUUAGCUAACAUGUUUUUUCUUCACUCUUCAGAGCAUGUCUAAACUAAUUGAUCGCUCAGCGGAGACUUUGGGUGAGAAGACAAAAUUUCUUGGUAAAUCCUCUGAAAAGGUAUGCAUAAUUCCCGAGUAUUAAAUAAUCAUUGGUCAUAAUUUUUGUACACGACUCUUUUUUUGGAGAUCGUUAAAAGUGGUUGAUGAUCUAUUUUGUAAUAUCAUAGAGGGAUCAUGAAUUCCUUUUCUUUUCUGUGGCUAGGCAACACUUUCGAGCCAAGCUAAGGAAAUCUAUUUUAGGUAAUGUGAAAACCAGUUGUAGGAUGUAAUAGUUUAUUAUGCCCUGCCAAUAACUUUUUGUAUAAUUGUCAGUUUAAUGAAUACAAGAGGAACUCUGUUGGCAAGUUCAUCCAUGAUAGAUGCUAAAAUUAUUUAUGCAUACCAGUUGCCUUAACUAAUUUUUCUCAACACUGGUAUUGAACAGGAAAAUGAAUAUGCAAUUUGUAUAUUGUGCCAUUGUGGAGAAUUUGGAUAUUCUUAUUUAAGUAACAAGGAGAGUAUUUGCCUCAUCUUUAAACAAUGAAUCUUUGAGAAAUGAGGAGUGGGUGAUUGGCAGUGUCUUCAUGUAAAUGUUCAUUUAUUUGUAUUUUGAACUAUUAUGAGAAUCUUUGUAUGCCAAAUUAGUAAUACAAAUGUUCAGAUGAUUUUUCCUGUUGAUCAUGCGUGUGUAUCUGCACACAACCAUUGUGUACCACUUUAUUCUGAUGCGCAAAUAUCUGUAGUUUAGAAGAAAAGAAAUAAUAAUCAUAUAUUAUUGCUUGGUUCAUGAUUAUUAAACGAUUAUGGCUUUAGAAAAUCCACAAAUCCUUUGUGUUCAUAUAUGAAUGUGCGAAGUUCGCUAUAUCUUAGAUUACCUUCUUCCAAGAUAACAAGUUCAUAUAUUUUUUAAUCCUUUUUCAUCACAGUUGAAUUUCAAGUGUAAGUUUUGUUAUUAAUAGCUGGUUUCCUGUUAUUAUGAUUUCAUAAACAGUAAGAGGAUAUGUGCUCUACUUUUGGAGGGCCUCCACAUGAAAGAAAAUUGCAACAAUUGAAUUCUUCCGGAGGGUAUGGUAUUUAAUUUAUUUUCUCAGCUUGUUGUAAGACUAAUAUAUUUCCUUCAGUACGCACGGCAUGGUGGGAAGGGUUUUUAUUGAAACAGUUAUGAUAUUUCUUAGACUUUGUUUUGGAAGGGGGUGGAGGGAUUUCUCAUCCAUAUAUGGUUACUUGAUUAGCUUUUGACUGUAUUGUCUCCGUCGUGCAAAGGAAAAUCCAAAUACUAACGAAGGGGAAUUGCUUAGGCACCCAAAGGACAGAAAUGAAUUACGGAAGGAAGUUUUUGCUGCUUUAUUUAGUGCUGCUGAGAAAUCUGAUGGAUUUCCUGAAAUUACGGUGAAGACGGAGUGGAGGUCCAACGCAUUAGGAAAGGUGGUGAGUGAACCGCCGGAGGAAUUAGUACCAGAACACAAGGCUAAUGUGGUGCACUGGCAGCAAGAUGACCAGACCUGUAUGUGCUCUUAUAUUAACUAUAUUGGCUGGAUUUGUGAGUGUGUACAUUUUUGUGUGUAUACUCACUUUUGGAUUUAUGCAUAUUAACGUGUGUAGGAUUCUCGAUUUCUGCCACUUACUGGAGAACUAGUGGAAAGCUUUAUACUGAUAUAUGUGCUAUAUAACUAAUGGAAACUACAAUAUGAAUAUUUUCUCUCACCUGGAGAACAGUGUAACUGAUAUAAUUUGUGGCUCUGGAAUACUGAAGAUUCUGCAAUAACUAAUGGAAAAUAUGAUAUGAAUAUUUUUUCUCACCUGGAGAACUUUGUAACAGAUACAUUUUGUGCUGGAAUGUCUAAAGAAUGCUUCAGUUUAGAUCAAAUAUCUUUUAGUUAGAAAAGAUAAAAUUCUCUGAAUCUGAAAGACUGAAACAUUUUGCAUAUUUCGUGAAAGGCAAGUAUCUGUAGAUACUAGCUCAUGCAUUGAGGUAAUAUCAAUGUUAAAGAAAAACAGCAAUAAUUUAUUAUACAGAAUUAGGUUCACUUGCUUUAAAUGCUGGUCUGAUCAACCAUAUCAACCUGUAAUGGUCCUGCAGAAAUAUAUAUACGGGGAGAAACUAGCUAAUUUUCCUUUCACUUAUGGGUUUGGUCUUUUUUUUCCCCUAUUUUUCAGCUUUCCUUCUCCUGAAGUAUGUUAACAAUUGCAGAUAAUGACGAAGAGGACCGCUUCCAGGCUCUUUGUAGAGCUGUGAUGGAAUAUAGGGGCACAAUGAAAGAAUAUUGUAAGGCUGUAUGUACUUUCUCUCAUGUCAUUUAUGUUUUCUCACACAUUUUGUAUAUGCCCUGAACAUGCAGCUUUGUAUGUGUCAAUUGCCUUUUACGUUUUAAAAGCCAUAAAGUAAGAAUACAGUUCCUUGUCAGGCUAUUGAUGCGUUCGCUCAGAAGGGUCAUGUUCAAGCAGGAAAACUUCUAGAACAGGUAAGGUUUCCAUCUACAGCCAUCCAUUGACAGCAGAUAUAUUUUCAUUAAGCAGACACUGUUAGCAUUCAAGAUGCUGGCAGAUUCACUUGAUUCUUAUUAGUUUGUUUAGUGGCAAACCAUAUAACCUGUAUUUCAAAGCCAAGUUGUGCUAUUGAUUAUGUUAACUUUAUUGUUAACAUAAAGUGAUAUGGAGGACAUAAUCAAUGUAGGAAAAUUAGGUGAAGAGAUGAUGUCAAAUCUUGAACCUCUUACAAAGCUCCAAGUUCUUUACUUGAAGAAGCUGCCAAAUUUGAAGAGCGUCUACUGGAAGGCAUUUCCAUUCCCAGAUGUAUGCAGAAUUUUUGUAUUAAUGCCCAGUUCUUAAGAAGCUGCCACUGGAUUUUCAAGGGGCGGGCCAAGGUAAAAUUCUUAUCAAGGGAAAGGAAGAUUGGUGGAAAGAACUUCAAUGGGAGGAUCAAGCAACUCAGAAUGCAUUGCUUCCAUUUUUCAAAUCAACUGACAAGUGAUUGAAGGGGGCAUCAUCAACAUCAUCAACUGGGAUGGAGAGAUUAUGGAGCAGAUCAGCAGGGUUUGUAUAUGAUCUUUGGUGGUUGCUUUCUUUUGUGAUUUUUUUUUUCUCAUUUUUUUCCCUUCCUGUCAUUUUAUCAUUUCUUUGUCUCGUUUUCUAUUGCUGAUGUUAGUGUAUGCUUACUGUUGCUUGACAAAGUUUGCUUGCUUCUUGUUUAUUAAUUUUUUUAUGGUCACAAAAUAUUACUUGUUCUAUUUGAGAGUGAUGUGAAUCAAUUUUCAAUUAUAUAUUUUAUGGUCAAUGUGAAUUCAAUUUCAUUUGUCUCCUGCAAUUAUUUAAAAAAUGCAGAGUCAUAAUAUGGAAAAGUCGACCGGCAAAAACUUUGUGAAAGCUUCGGAGUGAAACAGGGAAUUCACUUACUAACAGGGAAUUCACUUACUACUAAGGACAAUUGGUGGCGAGCUAUUCCAUUCAUUUUAUGUCCAUACAUCUAUUUAAUUAUUAAAGAUAAGUGGUCCAUUUGUAAAUUUCAGAUUGUGUCUCUCUGAAAAUAACAAUAUUUAAAAUGUCUCUUAAAUUAUUAUAAAUUUUAAUUCACUCUCGAUUUAAAAUGGAACAUGCUGAUGAAAUUUUUUUUCUUCUUAAUAAAAUUGAAAUAAAUUGUGUUUGCAGUAGUUUGAAAUAUUUUAAAGAUUAUUAUUUUAUAAGGGAGUAAUAUGAAAUGAAAUUUACUUUUCAUGCGUGAAAUGUUGAAAAAGGACACAGCAAGUGUCCCUGCUUUUAUUUUAUUUCAAAGUGGAGUCAUCUCACAUACUUUAACUCUAUCGUUACAAUUUUUCAGGUUACAUUUUUAUUUAUUUAUUUAUUUUCUUUUUUACACAUGCAUGUGGGUUACUUUUCCGUAAGCUCCUUAAUAUAUAUAUUUAACACAAAUCAUGGAAGAGAUGGGAGUAUAUCAAGAUGAUCAAAGCAUGAAACAAAAAUAUUUAAGAAGUAAAACACUGAAAAUAGAGAAGAGAUGCAAGCAAAAGAUAUUCCAAAGAAAAGCAAUCUAUCUCCUUUCGAAGAAUGUUAUGGAAGAGUUGAACCCAGCGAAGAAUGUUAUGGAAGAGCAAAUUAAUGAUAUUUUUGAUAGAGUCUAUUUGAUUAUGUAGCCUGAAUAGAUGUCUUGUUGAAAGAUAUCUCAGUGCAUUAGUUCAUCCUUGACUGUCAAUGUGUUUUUAAUGGUUUUUCCAAAUUUUUAUUAUUAUAGAUUGAUUGUAAAUUUGAUAUGAAUUUAAUGUUGAAAUGUUUUCUCUUUAGUGGAAUGAAUUUAAAAGUGCAAAAGCUUAUUGCACACAGAGAAAUAAACAUAUAUGCUUUAUAACUUUAGCAAUCGAUUCUUUUACAGCUGGAAACAGAGAUGAUGAUUAUCAUAGGGGUGAAGAAAAGGACAAAAAAUGUUAAUGGUUAACGAAAUUUCUAUGCAAAUUGAUUUUAGCAGGAAAAAAGUGAGCUAAAUGAUCUUAAUGUUCCACAAGAAAAAGCAAGAUCUUAAUGUUCCACAAAAGCGUUAUUUAUUUUUUUUUGGUGAGCCACGUGGAGCUCAAUUAUCAUUGUCUUUACUUUAAAAACGUUAUUUUAUUUUCUUUUAUUACAAAUUAAUGCUAACAAGAAAAAGCAAGAUAUAAUAUUCCACAAAAGCAAAUCGUAAUAUUCCACAGAGGAGUAAGAUCCACAAAAGCAAACAACUAGCUGGAUUCUUUUAUUGAACUACAAAUUAAAACAACAAAUUAAAGUUCAAAUAUUUAAAUAGUAGUGCGUUAGACGAUUAGGCUCUUUUAUUAAAGGGAAGUAUAAAGUAGUCCAGAAUCGAACAUCUCUAUUGUCUAGUCUUUUUUUUUUUUUUUAAUUCUUCUUUUAUUAUUUUUCAGAAUAGGUUUUGGUGAUUACUAUUGGGUUAUUAUUGAGAGUUAUUGUUAUCUUCCGGGGCAGUUUCUGUUAAUCGAAAUCGUUAAUUAAAAUUUUAGAACUCUUAUUGGAAGAAUGUUUUUCCGUUAUUUUUUUAUAUUCUAAUUUCAAUUGUAAGAAGUAGUCAUUUUAGAAUUUGGGUCUUGAAUCGAAUUUCAAUGCAUGAAUUAAUAUUUAAAAAAAAAAUUACUACACGCAGUUUAGGUUACAAACUAUUUUUUGCAAAGUUGAUUAUGAAAUUGGAAAAAUUAAGUAAUUUAUAAUGUUUGCAAAGGAAGAGACUAACAUACUUCCAAUUACACUAUAUCUCUAUUAUCAUAAUGUUAAGAUUAAACUAACUUAAAAUAAAUUUUAUUUGAAAAGUUAUAUCAAACGCAGUCUAAUUUUAUUAACUUGAAGAGAUAAUAGUUAUAGAAAUUAUUGUUCUAACUUAAUUAGUACAAGUGGUAUAAAGGUUAAGUGUGCACUAAAUUUGUUUAAAUUUUUUCCAGAAUAACUAACAGAGGUCAUUACUAGAAUUAUAAUUACUAGUCUAUUAGAUAGAAAAAAUUAUUUAUAUUGUUUUAUAUUUAUUAAAAAAUUUUAAAGUCAAUCUUUUUAAUUAUUAUUUAAAGGAUAUUAUAAUUAAAAAAAAUUUAAUGUCUUUAUUAAAAAUUUAAAAAUUUAAAAAUUUAAAAAUUUACAUGACCGCUCUAUAAAUAUUGAAAGUGUAACUGUCAUUUUCUCAUAUAUAUAUAUAUAUAUAUAUAUAUAUAUAUAUAUAAACCACGGUGGUGAAGCUUUAUUUAAUAUUAAUGAUUUAAAUAACAAUAUCUCAAUUAAAAAUGUAGAGAGAAGAAAUUUCGGUGGGUAUAUUAGUCUUUUACAAUUAUCAUGAUUAACCCUUCCUCUUGUAACGUUGGUCAGAAAAGUUUUAAAAUGCCUUGAUUUCUUUUACUUUUAACGUUAGCGGCCUUCCUUAUAUUUUAUUACAAAUUAGUCCUAACAAGAAAAAGCGAGAUCAUAUUCCAAAAAAGCAAAAGUGACAAAAAAACCAGCUGUAUUCUUUUAUUAAACUACAAUUUAAAAUGAUUUUAAAGUGGAUUCUUUUGAAUACAGGUGGGGUAGUCGAAUAGUCUUUUUCAAAUUCUUGUUUUAUUAUUUUUCAAAACUAGUUUUUGGUAAUUACAAUCGGGUCAUUCAUUAGUCAUUAUUCAGAGUUAUUGUUAUCUUCGGGGGCAGUGGGUAAAAGGCUAAAUGAUAAUUACUAAGUGUUUUUCCUUCAAAAGUUAGUGGCUCGUGUUUUGCAAGUGUGUACGUGCGAUGCUCUUUGUCUAAAGGCAAUUACAGUGGGUCCCGAAUCGGACGUGCCUAAUAAAUCUUUUAAAAAUUUUUCUAAUAAAUAUUCCUAAAAUUUCUCUUCCACAGGCAAUUACAGCAGCUUCAGUUAAUCAAACUCAAUCAAUUUUCUUUCUUAACAAAAUUCCAAAGAUGUGUGGCUGUUUUCAGAUCACAUGCGAUGGUACUUUUUUCAAUCGUUGCUUAGAUUGCUUUCUUGGAAAAGCAGCAUACAUACGUAACCUCCAAGAUAACCUCGUUGCCUUGGAGACUGAACUAAGGAAACUAAUCGCAGCAAAGAACGAUGUGAUGACGGCGGUUGUCAAUGCUGAACGGCAACAAAUGAGAAGGCUGGAACGAGUGCAAGUGUGGGUUUCGAGUGUGGAUUCUGUUAAAACUGGAGCCGAUGAACUUAUCACAGACGGCUCUGAAGAAAUUGGCAAAUUAUGUGUUGGAGGCUACUGUUCCAAGAACUGCAGGUCAAGCUACAAGUUCGGAAAACAAGUGGCUGAAAAGCUACAACAUGUGAAGAAUUUAAUCGCCGAGGGAGUUUUUGAGGCGGUGGCCACUGAGGUGGUGCCCGAGAGAGCUCCGGAACCUGUAGCAGAUAAAAGACCCAUUGAGCCAACAAUAGUAGGCUUGCAAUCACAGCUUGAAGAAGUUUGGAGAUGUCUUGCAGAAGAAUCAGUGGGAAUCAUUGGCCUAUAUGGUAUGGGCGGUGUUGGUAAAACCACACUAUUGACCCAUAUCAACAAUAAAUUUCUUGAGAGUCCCACAAACUUUGAUUGUGUGAUUUGGGUCGUAGUUUCAAAAGACCUGCGACUUGAAAAAAUUCAAGAAGAUAUUGGGAAGAAGAUAGGUCUAUCUGAUGAUUCAUGGAAGAAUAAAAGUUUUGAAGAGAAAGCUGUGGACAUCUUGCGGAGAUUAGGAGAGAAGAGAUUUGUAUUGUUGUUAGAUGAUAUAUGGGACCGGGUUGAUUUAACAAAGGUGGGCGUUCCACUUCCCGGACCACAAAAUACUACCUCAAAAGUCGUAUUCACAACCCGUUCCAUCGAUGUUUGUGGCAGCAUGAGAGCUAGGCCGGUUAAAGUGGCAUGCCUAUCAGAAAAGCAAGCUUGGGAACUGUUCCACGAAAAUGUUGGGGAAGAAACUCUUGAGAGUGAUCAUGAGAUCGUUGAGCUAGCCCAAACAGUGGCCAAAGAGUGUGGUGGUUUGCCACUCGCACUUAUUACUAUUGGUCGAGCUAUGGCCUACAGAAAGAAAGCGGAGCAGUGGAGACGUGCAAUUGAAGAGUUAAGAAGAUCAGUUUCAGAGUUUGCAGGUUUGGGAAAAGAGGUGUAUCCUUUUUUAAAGUUCAGCUAUGAUAGUUUGCAGUAUGAUACGGUUAGAUCUUGUUUCUUGUAUUGUUGUUUAUAUCCUGAAGAUUAUGGCAUUCUUAAAUGGGACUUGAUUGAUUGUUGGUUUGGCGAGGGAUUUUUUGGGGAAUCUGACAGGUCUGGUGCAGAAAACCGAGGAUAUGGCAUUUUGGACACUCUUGUUCGUGCAUGUUUAUUAGAAGAGGUGGAAGAUGAUAAAGUAAAAAUGCAUGACGUUAUUCGUGAUAUGGCUAUAUGGAUAGCUUGUGAAAUUGAGAAGGAGAAGAGAAACUUUUUGGUUUGUGCAGGUGCUGGAUUAAAAGAGGCACCGGAUGUUAAAGGAUGGGAAAAUGUGAGAAGAUUGUCAUUGAUGCAAAACCAAAUUAAAACUCUGUCAGAGGUUCCUACAUGCCCUCAUCUCCAUACUCUAUUUCUUGACUUUAAUAAGGAGUUGGAGACGAUCGCGGAUGGCUUCUUCCAAUUUAUGCCUUCUCUCAAAGUUUUGAAGAUGUCAAACUGUGGGCAUGUCAAAGUUUUGAAAUUACCUAUUGGGAUGUCAGAGUUGGGUUCAUCACUAGAACUUCUUGAUAUUUCAAAUACCAACAUAACAGAGUUACCAGAAGAGUUGAAGUUGUUGGUAAAUCUGAAAUGUUUGAAUUUGAGGUGGACAAUUUGUUUAAAUAAAAUUCCAUGGCAACUAAUAUCAAAAUUUCAAGGUUACGUGUGUUGAGAAUGUUCGCUACUGGCUUUGCACGUUUUGAUGCAGCAUCAGAAGACAGCGUUUUAUUUGGUGGGGGUGAAGUUUUAGUACAGGAAUUGGUCGGUCUGAAAUAUUUAGAGGUAUUGGAGUUGACCUUGGGAUGUCAUCAUGCUCUCCAAAUUUUUUUGAGCUCAAAUAAGUUAAAAAGUUGUAUUCGAUCUCUUCUCCUCCAAUUGGCCGGAGAUACAAAGUCGAUUAUUGAUGCUACGGCUUUCGCAGAUCUAAACCACCUCAAUGAAUUAUGGAUUGAUAGGGCUAAGGAGUUGGAAGAAUUGAAGAUUGAUUGUAAAGAAAUAGUACAAAAAAGGCGGGAACCUUUUGUUUUCCGCAGCCUUCACCGUGUUACUAUACAUAGCUGCCAGAAGUUGAAAGAUUUGACAUUCCUCGUUUUUGCUCCAGACCUCAAGUCUCUCGAUCUAGACCGUUGCGAUGCUAUGGAAGAAAUAAUCAGCGUCGGAAAAUUUGCUGAGACUCCUGAGAUGAUGGGACAUAUAAGCCCUUUCGAAAAUCUCCAAACUCUUCAUUUAAGAGCGUUUAACAUCUUUUCUCGACGACCUGCACGAUUGCCUUUCACUCAUCUGAAGGAAAUGGAGGUAAGUGGGUGCGAUCAGCUUAAAAAGCUUCCACUCGAUUCCAACAGUGCAAAAGAGCGUAAAUUUGUUAUUCGUGGAAAAGAAGACUGGUGGAACCGACUUCAAUGGGAGGAUGAAGCCACUCAAAUUGCUUUUCGUUCCUGUUUCCAACCUGAGCGGUUAGUCGCAAAAUUUGAUUUCUGGUGAUUGCGUUUGUCUUUUAACUCUUAUAUAUAUUCUUGUCGUUUGUUUUCUUCUCUGUUUUUAACUCUUAUAUUGCGUUUGUCUUUUGAAAAUCUCCAAUUAAAUGUUGAAUUAAUGGAAUUAAUGCUUCAUAAAUUUGCCGGCACUGCCAUCACUUUUUUUUUUUUUAAUACAAAUUGAUACUUUAUUUAUAUCUUCUUAGCGAUAUAAUUUCCUGUCAAUUGACGAACGAGAAGAACAUACGACUUAAACCAAUUCACGCAUAAACUUGCUGUAAAAAGAUAUAAUCUCACUGAAAUGCACACGUCUAGAAUGAAUAGAAUUAAAACAGGGAAAAUAUUUAAGUAUAUUAGCCCUCUUUACCGAAAAUGAAAUGACAAUAAAUUUUUUGAAAGUUUUGAUUUUCUAUGGUCAAUUCCACCUUUUGCAAUUUCUUCUGUUCUAACAAAAACCAAUUUCUUUGUUCAAGUAUUUUCGUUUGGGUAUUAAUAAUUCUCCACCGAAAGAGUGAACUCUUGCUCAAGGGAUCUCUAAUCAAUAGCCGGAAGGGCGCCGAGACCUGAUCGGACCUAGGCCCAAGUUUGGUCUUAAAGCCUGGGCUUGAGCCUGGCAAUUAAAUUAAAACAUUAAUUGAUUUCUUGAUUGAAUUGUCGUGUAAUUGAUUUAUGGGGGAUGACACAUCAACAUGCUUGAAAACACACUAAUCUCAGCAUCAUCGGUUAAUAACUUUUAGAAUUAUGGGUAAUCAAUAGUUAAGAUUAGUUGUCAUUAAUACUAAAUAUUUUUUUACUAUUUUCGUCUCUUCUAGAGGAUCUUCUAGAAAAAUGCAUCCACAACAAAAUUUAAUACUUUACAUAAUAAACAAAGCAUAAAUGUUAAAUUUAAGAAACUGCAUUGUAUUUCAGCUGAAGUUGACUUUAAUAUUUAGGGUAGAAAAAUAAUAAAUCCUUAAUGUGUUUAAUUUCUAUCACUUGUGUCAUUAAAAUUUUCUAGUCACCCUAACCAAUUACAUCUCAACCCACUUUUUUUUGGAUGAUUUUAUUUUUACACUAUUAUUUUCAUCAUUUUUUUUCCUUUUAACACCAACAUUAGUGUAUGUUACGUAACAUAAUUCAUAUUUGGAUAAUUUGAAAUUUGUUUGUGUUUUAUCUCAAAAUAGAGCUUCAAUCAAUUUGUACCUCAUAAAUUCACAAUAUCUAUGAGGGCUAAUAAGACCAAACUCUGGCAUAUUGUCAAAUGUGCUUAUCCUUUUGCUUGACAUGUCAUUUUAAAAUUGUCAUUCAAUGCCAAAAAAUCACAUCAACUGAUGGCCGACUACUUUAAUUUGAAAGCAUGCAUGCGAUCGCCAAUAAUUAUAACUUAAUUGUUAUUUUGAAAUUUUUUUCUUUAUAAUUUUUAAGUUUAAUACUACUACAUGUGCAGCACAUAAGUUGGAAAAUAUAACAUAAAAUUUGAAAAAUGUGUAGCUUUCGUUCCUUUUUUUUCUUAAAAAUGAGGAAAAAGAAUGUAAUUUUGUUUAAAUUACUGUUGUGAUAACAAUUAUUAUUUUAUUGAUUAAUUGGCAGAGAAUGGUUAUGGUUUCGCAUGGUUGUUAAAACAUUGGAAAAUCCACUACAUCAUCCGUUAAUAACUUUCAGAUUUAUGGUUAAUCAAUAGUUGAGAUUUGUUAUCAUUAAUGUUAAAUAUUUUUUUAAUAUUUUUUCUCUCUCCUAGAGGAUCAUCACAGCAAAAAUUUAAUAUUAUAAAUAGUAAACAAAAUAUAAACAGUUAAAUCUAAGAAACUGCAUUGCAUUUCAGCUGAAGCUAACUUUAAUAUUUAAUGGAGAAAAAUAAUUAAGUCCUUAAUGUACUUUAUUUACCCAUACUGAUACGCUCUUAAUUCGUGAAACUGAGCAACAUCAAAAUUAUCACUACUUCGAGCGAGUGUUUGCUCCAGAAGAAAGAACUGGAAGUUGAGAAAUGAGAAAGAAGAAAAGAAGAAGAGUCACAGCGAGGAAUAAAAGUGGUCCAUUCAUUUCAUGCCUUCCCAAAAUGACAAAAUCCCGCAAUAUAUAACAGACAAUCGAAAAUAACCAAUUUGACAACGCAACAGAAAAUGACAAAAAAGAAUCCAAAACAAACGUAGCCAAUCACAAUGCUUUUACAGAUCAUCCUAAACGACGUAGUCUCGUAGCCAAUCUAGAAGUUUCUUGUUUCGUUUGGGCCGUUGAUUCUCUUGCACUGGCUCAUGGUGAAUGUCCUCUUUGGGUUGACUGACUGUGGGUUCUCGGUUGAGCUCUUCCACUUGCGCCCCCUCUAAUGGCUCUAAUUUGAUAUAUAAAUUCGUAUCAUUCCCUCCUGCUUGAAAACACACAUUGUCCUCAAGGUGAAAUGCUGGAUAGAGCUUACAAAAGGCGUCAAAGUUUUCCCAAGACGAAUUCUUCGGUGAACUGACGGUCCAUUGAACUAACACUUGAAGCGUUGGCUUCCCCUGUUGCAAAACUAUUCGGGUUGCACAAAUGGCAGCCGGUAGCAAAAGAGGAUGGUUAUCCACACUCAACUCUGGUAAAGGAUGUGAAAUAGCAGGGUCGUUGCCAUGAUAAUGCUUAAGGACAGAGAUGUGAAAAACCGAGUGGAUUUUGGAAGUAUUGGGUAACUCCAAUUUGUAAGCUACAUACCCCACUCUAGCAAGUACCGUAAAUGGCCCGUAGUAUCACUUGGCCAACUUCUGACAGGCGCGAGAAGCUAUAGUGGUCUGUCGAUAUGGCUGUAAUUUAACCAGCACUUUAUCCCCUACUUCAAAGUGAGCUUCACGGCGAUGGGCAUUAGCUUUCUGAGCCAUUCGAUGUUGUGCUUGCCUCAAAUUAGCUUUUAAAGAUUGGAGAAGAGUAUUACGUUCAAGGAGAAUGUCCUCCAAAGUUUGGAUUGAAGUAGAGCCCUUAGCAUAAUGAGGAAUAGUUGGAGGCAAUCGGCCAAAUAAAGCUUGAUAGGGAGACAUCUUCAAGCCACUGUGGAAAUGAGAAUUAUAACUAAAUUCUGCCCAACUCAGUAAGGAAACCCACUUCCGUGGUUUGUCUUGAGUGAAAGCUCGUAAAUAUUGCUCCAAUCCUCAAUUUACCACUUCCGUUUGACCAUCCGUUUGAGGGUGGUAUGCCGUGCUAUGACGAAGAGUUGUGCCACUUAAGAGGAAUAAUUGUUUUCAAAAAUUGCUCAAGAACACUGGGUCUCGAUCGGAGAUAAUUGAACUUGGAAAACCAUGUAUUUUAAUGACCAUGUCCACAAAGAGUUCAGCUGUCUUGAGGGCAGUAAAUUGACAGGGUAACGGACCAAAAUGGGCAAAUUUUGUAAGACGAUUGACAACAACCAAUAUGACCGAGAAACCUUGUGCUAACGAAAGACCUAUAACGAAAUCCAUUGUGACCUCAUCCCAAACCAUAUUAGGUAUCGGCAAUGGUUGAAGAAGACCAGCAGGGGCUUGAGUGGAAUACUUAGUUUGCUGGCAUAUUAAACACUCUCGGAUAAACGUUUCCACAUCAUGACGCAUCUUGGGCCAAUAGAAUGUUGAAGAUAAUCUGAUUAAGGUUCUAGUGACACCCACAUGACCUGCCAGUGGUGUAGAGUGAAAUUCUUGCAAUAGUACGACUUUUAAAGAGGAGGUAGGACUGAUGUAAUAACGCUGACGGUGGAGAAGAAAUCCGUUUUGAACAGAGAAGUCAACUGACAGUUUGCCUUGUAAAAGUUGCUGGUGAAGUGAUAUUAAAUCAGGUAAUGUGGUAUUCUCAUUAAGUAAUGACUGCAGCAAUUCAAAUGAAGGAUGGCUGUUGAAAGAAAGGCAAGUGGGGGAGAUGUUGAUGUUAUCCUCAGGAGCUGUUUCAUGGACACGGGAUAGAGCAUCAGCGGCGCUAUUGGUACAACAUGGUCUGUACUCAAUUCUGAAUUGGAAACCCAAUAAUUUGCGGAGAUAAACUUGCUGAUCUAGUGUUUGUAUCACUUGUUGAAGGAGUUCUUUGAUACUCUUAUGAUCCGUGCGGAUAACAAAGAAUCGGCCCAACAAAUACUGCCGCCACUUAUACACAGCUUCUACAAUUGCAUGCAACUCCUUGAUGUAAGUGGAAGAAGCCCGCAAUUUGGGACCCAACUUCUUGCUGAAAUAAGCAAUUAAAUGCCCAUGUUGUGUAAGUACAGCUCCUAUGCCUACAUUAGAAGCAUCGGUCUCAAUGACGAAUUCGAAAGUAAAAUUCGGCAACUUAAGGACUGGAGCUUGCACCAUUGCUUGUUUAAGAGCUUCAAAGGCCUCCAUGGCUGUCAAAUUCCAUUGAAAGGCAUCAUUUCGCAGCAAAUCAGUGAGUGGGGCUGCCAAGGAAGCAUAACCACGGAUGAAGCGCCUAUAAUAUCCAGUGAGACCAAGAAAACCCCUCAACUGUUUGAUAGAACGUGGAAUUGGCCAAUUAAGCAUGGCAUCAAUCUUUUGGGGGUCGGCUUGUACUCCCGAGGCUGAAACAAUACGGCUUAGAUACUCAAUAGCGGCUUGGCAAAACAAACAUUUGGAUAAUUUAAUAAAAAAUUGAUGAAGAUGUAAACAAGCUAAUACUUUCUCAAGAUGAAGCAAAUGCUCGGCCAUGGAGGAGCUAUAAACCAAGAUAUCAUAAAAAAAAACGAUCACAAAUUUCCGGAGAUGAGCUGCAAAAAUCUGAUUCAUUGUGGCUUGAAAAGUGGAUGGGGCAUUUGUCAACCCAAACGGCAUGACAAGAAACUCAUAAUGGCCCUCAUGUGUUCAAAAUGUCGUUUUGUAUAUGUCGCGGUUGUGGACACGAAUUUGAUGGUAUCCCGCGCGCAAAUCCAAUUUGCUAAAAAUGGUGGCGCCCCCAAGUUCAUCAAACAACUCAUCGAUUGUCGGUAUAGGAAAUUUGUCUUUGAUGGUUACGGCAUUUAAUGCACGAUAGUCAACACAAAACCGAUAGGUGCCAUCUUUUUUCUUGACCAAGAGAACCGGGGAGGAAAAAGGGCUUUAGUUCGGUCGGAUUAUGCCCUACUCUGACAUUUCCCUGAUCAGUUUUUCCAUUUCAGAUUUCUGGAAGUGUGGGUAGCGGUAUGGACGAACAUUGACGGGGGCUGUGUUGGGUAAUAAAUGGAUUUUGUGGUCAAUAGUUCUGUGCGGUGGUAGGCUAGAAGGUUGGAGAAAUAGGUGUUUGUAUUGCUGUAAAAGGUUGAGAAAUUGAGCAGGAAGGGAAAAAGGAAAUUCAAGUGAGGAAGUGUCUGUGAUGGAAAAUGAAGGCAAAGCAUCGAUAGCGGGCACUGGUUGUAAGGCACAAAGGCUGGUCACGGUAUCACUUUGAACCAAUACCUGCAAUUGAUUAUAAGUGAUCAAAUUAUUAGAAGACAAAUCACCAUGAAGCAUCACUGGUUGCUCAUUUAAAGAAAACUCCAUAGGACACUUUGCCCAAUUUCUGUAGCCAUUGAAUGCCAAGGACCACAUAUGUGCCCUCAAUUGGCAAAAUGAAGAGGUCUACCAUAAAAGCCGUGCCUUGCAUUGUUAAGUUCACUUGAGGACAGAACUGUUUACACACCAGGAAGUCACCGUUGCCAAUAUACACUCGGAAAUUGGUAGUUGGAUGAAUGGCUAACCCCAAUCGUUCCGCUAACGCCGGUUUUAUGAAAUUGUGAGUGUUGCCACUAUCAAUCAGCACUUGAAAGGUGUGCGAAUCAAUUUCUCCAAUUAAACGAAGAGAGCGAGGAUUGGCCUGCCCUGCUAGAGCAUUUAAGCUAGAGAUGUCACCAGUAAUACCAGCAUCUACCAAUUCUGAUGGUUCCUCGUUAUUUUUGGGUUCCAAUUCUUCAUCAUCCGUGCCCAUGAGAAGUAGAAAUUUACUGCGACAGAGAUGAUUGUUGCUGUAUUUUUUGUCACAAUUGUAACAUAAACCCUUCUCGCGUUUGUCGCAAAGUUCAGCCGAAGACAAACGGCGAAUUGGUAAUGUUGGUGUCGAUAAUAAUGCAGGUAAAGUGUUUGAUUUAUUGGUAUUGUGGGUUUGUGAGGGAAGAGUUGAAGAUGAUACGGGGGUGAUGGCUGUGGUAACAGUUGCAAGUGAUGAGGAUGGAUAAAUGGGUUUGGGUUGUGUUUGGAAACCAUGUGAAAGGGGAUAUGGUUGCUGCCAUUUAGGCCAUGAGCGUGAGCUCUGUUUCACUUCGUCAUAUUUGGCCUCAAAAGCACGAGCUAAAGUUUCCAUUAGUGAAGACGGUCUAGAGAAAAGCAAUUCCCGUCGAAUGUUGGGUUUCAGACCAGUGAUGAAAAAACUAAUCAAAAGAAGUUCAGAAAUUCCAGUGACCUUGUUCAUUAAAUCUUCAAAAGCUGACUGGAAAUCUGCAACCGUGGUAGUUUGACUCAAUUUGGACAAAUCACCUUGGGGAUCUUCACACAAAGAAGCACCAAAACGAUAGCGCAAGUUAGCUAAAAAUUCUUGCCAAGUAGUGAGCAAGUGAUUGUUCUUUAUCCAUUGAUACCACGCUGCAGCGCGACCCUCCAUAUGAAAAGAGACAAUCCGUAGUCGGAGGAUCUCAGGUGUGUCAUGAAAGUCAAAAAAUUCUUCUAUUCGAAAAAUCCAUCCAUUUGGGUCAGACCCAUCGAAUUUGGGCACAUCCAUUUUCAUGGAACAAAGUACUGGAGAAACUUUAGAACCAGUAAGAACGCCAUCAUAUUUAGAAGAUGAAGGGUGUGAAGGGUUGGAGGAACCAACUGGUUUGUUGGAAGACCCAUGAAUUUAUGUACGUAACUCCUCAAAACGAGAGUCAACUGAUGUCAUGAAUUGUUGGAUUGUUUGAUGGAUGGACAGUUGCUACCCAUCAAGUUUGGCGUCAAAAGUUGCUUGAAGGGUCUGUAAAGCAUAAAGAAUUUCAGAAUUUGCCAUGAUCAAUGAAAGCACCAGUGAUACGCUCUUAAUUCGUGAAACUGAGCAAUAUCAAAAUUAUCACUACUUCGAGCGAGUGUUUGCUCCAGAGGAAAGAACUGGAAGUUGAGAAAUGAAAAAGAAGAAAAGAAGAAGAGUCACAGAGAGGAAGAAAAGUGGUCCAUUCAUUUCUUGCCUUCCCAAAAUGACAAAAUCCCGCAAUAUAUAACAGACAAUAAAAAAUAACCAAUUUGACAACGCAACAGAAAAUGACAAAAAAGAAUCCAAAACAAACGCAGCCAAUCACAAUGCUUUUACAGAUCAUCCUAAACGACGUAGUCUCGUAGCCAGUCUGGAAGUUUCUUGUUUCGUUUGGGCCGUUGAUUCUCUUGCACUGGCUCAUGGUGAAUGUCCUCCUUGGGUUGACUGACUGUGGGUUCUUGGUUGAGCUCUUCCACUUGCGCCCCCUCUGAUGGCUCUAAUUUGAUAUAUAAAUUCGUAUCACAUACAUGCGGUUAAUUUUUUAAGAUAAAGGGGAAGGAUGAUGCUCAAAAAUAUAAAUUAUAGAAUUAAUUGAACUCUCAAAUAAGUUUAAAGUUCAUUAUUUUUAAUUACAUGUUUAUAAUUUAUUUUUAUUUCGUAUUAAUCUAUAGAUCUAAAUCCACUUUGGAUUCAUAUACACAUAUAGACAUAAUGUGUAUGUUAAUCUAUAGGUCUAAAUUCACUUUAGGUCUAUAUAGGUAUUUUGACAAAUGUACUCCAAUCAUGCAUAUUGGCAAGUUCAAAUUCAAUUUGGAAUAUGGUCAUGGUACGUUCUUGUUCUUCCCUCUUUACGAGUGCAUUCCCCCCAACCUCAAGCUCCCUCUCUCGUCUUCAAUGUCACUGCUUAUAUCCUUAUGUUGUUCUAGUUUGAAACAGUGGCUUCCACUAUUUCAGGGCCCCCAAAAAUCCAGAAACAUACUAUUCAUCACGAUGACAAAAUUUUGGGCAGGCAGGUGCUUCCUGACUUUCACACGGUAAUUCUCAAAUUCUGAUUUCACCAUAUUUUAAUUACUGAUUAUGCUCUCCAUUAUAAUAGAAGUCGCCGCCACACUAGUGAUUCCAAACUUUAUCUUUUUUCCUUUUUUAAAUUAAUGCAAGUAGCCGCUGUCCUUUUUAUUAAUUAAUUAAUUCGGCCGCCCACAUUUCUUUUUCUAAUGUCUUCUACUGUCGAGUUUAUUUUAUUUUCCCUUUAUUCUUAAAAUAUACUUAUAAUAAUAAAAUAUAAAAAUAAAAAUAAAAAUUAACAUAUCAAAAUAUAAUUUAACAGAAAAUUAAGAUGAAAAAUAAAAAAAAAUAAAUUCUGAACAUAUCAAUCAAUAAAUGAAAAAUAAUAAUUUUUAUUUUUAUUAAAUAUAUUUUUUUCAGUAUUAAUCAAUUAUCUGAAUAACUAAAAUCAUUUAAAAAUAAAUAAACAAAUUAUUCUUUAUAAAAAAAAAAAACUUUUUAUAACACUCACUAUGCUGGUUGUAGGGUAGACGCUUUGGGGACUGAAGUUGGUAACUUCUACAAGUAGUCUUAAGUUGAUAACUUCUACAAGUAGUCUUAAGUUGACUGGCAAAUGUUCUCAGUAUUAUAUUGGUGUGUCGAUAUUAUCUCUAACUGCCUUAUAGAUAAAAAAAUAAUCUAAAUUUAAAAUUUAACAUAAAAUAAAAUAAUUGGUAGAAAAACAAUUAUGGUUCAUUUACUUAUCAGUAAUCAGAAUAGACUGAAAUCGAAAUGAGUUGUAUUACCGUUGAUGUGUUUAUGUUGUCCUCGAAUCGGAAUGAAUUAUUUUAAGUUACUAAAAUAUCCUUGGUUUGUUAUUCUAAUUAUUAUUAUUUAAUAUUUAUUAUAAUAUUUGUCAUAUCAUUAAAAAGAAAUAAUAAUGAUGAUAAUAUUAUCAUUAUUGUUUGUUACAUUAUUAUUAUUCAAAAAAAUUAUUGUUAAUAACAAUAAUUACUUUAUUUCAAUACUAAUAAUGAUAAAAUUAAUAAUAACAAACAACAAUAAUUAUUUAUUAUGCCAAAAAUAACAAUAAUAAUAAUCAUCAUCAUUUUUUUUCCCAAAGAAGCAUUAUCAUCAUUUCAAAAAAAAUAUCAUCAUUAUCAUCAUCAUUUUUGUAGUGGCUGCCUAUCGGCUGUUGCUUUCAUGUGAGAUUGACUUGCGACGCUUCAACGGCUAUUAUUUCUGGCAAUGUCAGGUGUUACUGUUUCAAUUUAGGAAGAAGCUGUUUCGUUGUGCUAACGAUGGGAGAUGUUGUGGCUGCGAUUCGGGGAGCUACUAGUUUAUUGCACUAAUGACGGCAGGUGCUGCUGCUUGAUGCGAGGUCCAUGGCCAGUUGUCAGCAGUUCGACUUUGGUAUGGGUGCUGCUGGUUCGAUUUUAGGUGUUGUCCAAUUUCAUUUUCAGGAUUUUAAUUUUAUUUUUCUUUUAUAUUUUCAUUAAUUAAUCAGGACAAAGUUGGAUUUUAGAAUUUGGAAUGAAGGUAAUUUUGUUAAUCAUGGAAAUGAGAUUCUGAUUGUCGAGAAUGAGCUUACACAAACAACUACAAAUUAAGUGAAAACAAAACGCUUUUUCUCUUUGUGUGAUUAAAACAUGAUAUGUACCAUAAAUAAAUAGGUAAAAAAUAAAUUAAUACAAUCCAAAACAGUAAACUAAUUACAAGAGGCACAAAUUUUUAUGUGAAAUACCAAAAAUAGAAAAAACCACAGCAUCUUAGUAUGAGAUAAUCUUCUACUAUAUUAAUGAGAUUAUAGCACAAAUUCUUCCUUAUAUAACACUAGAGGUUAACAACAUCAAGAAUUUCAAUAAUCUUGACUUACAAUACAGCCUAAUAUUUGUCUCUCUAAUAAGUAGAUAUCUAAAAUAACAGUCUCUAAUAAAUAAGUAUCUCAAAUAACAGUCUCUAAUAAGUAUCUCAAAUAAUAAUUUCUAAUAAGUAUGUAUCUCAAAUAAUAGUUAACAAGAGGAUAAAACAAAAAUUAAGAUUAGUAGGAUUGUAUAAGGCGAUGCUAUCAACUUAUCUUCUAAAUUUGAGAAAAAUAGUUAAAUUCACUUUUUCGAUUGUGACCAAAGAUGGAAACCUUUGCCCCAAAACCAAAGGAAUCACCAUUUCUCUCUCUCUCUCUCUCUCUCUCUCUCUCUCUCUCUCUCUCUCUAUCUCUCUCUCUCUCUCUCUCUUCUUCUACUUUUCUUAAUGUUAGCCGCCACUCGCUUUUAUUCUUUAUAGCAUUUAAAAAGCUACUUUUAAUGGUAAAUUUCAUUUAAGUCCAAAACUUAGUGAUAAUUGUACACCAAACAAUUCUUUUUGGACUAUGAGCUUUUGGGCCUCCAAAUGAGAUGAAUACAACAAAUCUCCCCCUUUAGAUCAUGUGGGGGGCACCACAAGCCUGCUCUCUGCAUAUAGUUUUUCAACUUCUCCUUGAAUAAUGACUUUGUCAUCAUACAUAACCCAUUCUCUGUUGUGUAAAUUUUCUCAAGCUGUAGCUGUUGCUUCUCAAGCACGUCUCGUAUCUAAUGAUAUCUCACAUCAAUAUGCUUAGAUUUCGAAUGGUUUAUCAAAUUCUUUGAACGGCACUCUGACUGUCGCAGUACAUAACAUAGCUGUCUCGUUUUACACCCAGCUCUUAUAGGAAAUUCAUUAUCCAUAAUAUUUUUUUGCAACCUUCAAUAAUUGUUAUAUCAUUUGCUUUAGUGGUAGAAAACGUAACUUAUUACUAAAGUUUAGAUUGCAAUGAGACUUCUCCCCCUGCAAAAGUGAGCAAACAUCCUAGAAGGAAUUUUUCGGAAUCAACAUCUUCUGCCAUAUCUACACACUUGUAACACAGGUUUGUCACCACUAAAAUAUAAACAUGCUCUGGAAAUGCCUCUAAGAUAUCUGAGAAUUUUUCAUUGUUGUCCAAUGCUCUUUUAUAAUAAAUACAAACAUAAUGAAUUUAUAAAACAUUUAGAGUAUUUUGAAUAUUAUAUAAAAUAAUUUUAAUAUAAUGCAUGAGAUAUAUUUUAUUAAUUUAAAAUGCUAUUUAAUCUAAAGAUUUAUUUAAGAUAAAUUAAUAAUUAAAUUUUUUUAAUUAUUUCAAAUAUUAAAAAUUUGUAAUAUUAUUAGUCUAUUAGAUAGAUUAAAUUAUUUAUUUUAUUUUGUAUUUAUUAAAAAAUUUUAAAGUCAAUAUUUUUAAUUACUAUUCGAAGGAUAUAAUGAUUAAAAAAAUCUUAAUAUUUUUUAUUAAAAAUUUAAAAAUUUACAUGACCAUUUCUAUAAAUAUUUAGGGUAUAUAUGAGCCACGGUGGAGAAGAUUUAUUUAAUAUUAUUGAUUUAAAUAAUAUCUAAUUAAAAAUAUACUGAGAAAAAAUUUCGGUGGGUAUUUUAGUCUUUUCAGCAAUCACAUGAUUAGCCUUUGGGCUUUGGCCUUGAAACGUCGGUCAGAAAAGUUUUAAACUGCUUAAUUGUUUUUCACUUUUAACGUUAGUGGCUGCUUAUAUUUUAGGAAAAUGAGAUUCUCACCACAGUGAGAACCACACUGAGCACAGAACGGUGCGUUUUGUGCUCAGUAUAAAUUCUAACUGUAGCGGAAAUAUCGCAACACAAACGCGCCAUUCCAAACCCACGCGCGUUCUCCCUCACGCCAGCAAAUCUCACCACGCUUCCUCCUCACUGUAAGCGCCCCCCCUCCCCGGGGGCGGUCGGCUGCGUCACGCUCCCUCACGGCGCCUCACUCUCUCGGCUCUCUUAGAAAAUUGAAUUGCGGCUUCCGCCGUGGGGUUCUCUCCUCAACUGCCGUUGUCUCGUCUCUGACAGCUGCCUUAAUCAAAUUCUGAAGGUAGUUUGCUUCAAUUCAUUACAUUAAUUUCAAAUUUGGUUUGUGUGGGAUUAUGAGUUUGUGAAGAUUUAGUUCUGUUUCAUGGUAAACUAUUUUUUGCUCAGUGUGUUGAGAAUAUCAGCACGGUUUAAAAUUCUUUUUAGAUUCUGUCGUAAAGUUUUCUUUGUAUUGGGCAAGUCAGUUACUUUAGUUUUGUGUCUGAAAACAAAAACACUUAGCUUAGUGAGUUUUAAGAGAUUUUGCUAUUUUGUUCAACGAAGCUUAAAAAGGGGAAGCUUUUAUGGCGUCUGUGAGCCGAGGCAAUUUGGAUCGGGUGCUUUUUCAGUUCAUUUGUUUGUUUCUUAUUUGGGUUCUUUAUUGUUAGAUGUUCUUUUGAGAUUCUGGCAUCUGGCAUCUGGCUACUUGCUUUUGUGGAGUUUUUUUAUUAUUUGAAUUCUGUGAAUUCUUUGUUUUCUUUCCCAAAUGAUUCCACUCUAUAAAAUAUAUAUUGUGCUUGGCUAGAAUUUUCUUUUAGAUAAUUGCAUCCUGUACAUUGGCUUAACCUGUCAAGAAUGAGAAUGAUGGAAGAUGCCUAUCUUGGAAAGAAUAUAUUGAGUUACAUAGUACCGGUUCCAAAUGAAUAAAUUGGAACUUGCCUAAAACAGGCACCAAUCCACCAUGACACCAAGCCUUUUUAAAAUUUUUUUUUUUUUAAGUUUAAAGAAACUUAUGUUGCUUCUUUAGAUCUGUUUUAGCUUAUGAUGAAUUUUGCUAAUGGUAAAAUCCCUCCCCUUCAAAGUUGGGGGAGGGGAAGCAUCUAUAUGCAUAUGUGUACAUUAUGGAGCUCGAACUACAUGUCGCAGUAAUACAUUAUUCUCUUUGCUUUGCAGGUUUUGAUCAACAUGAGUGAUUGGGAUGUAGGUCUGUGCUUGAGAGGCCGGAGUGAUGACCAGAAUUCUGUCAACCAGACCAAAGACAAUCAACUGAUGAAGUGUUGUUGUUCUCUAUAUUGAUUGUUGGAAAUUAUGUGUUAUUUCCAGAUUUUUAGAAAAUUAUGAUUGCUGGAAAUAAUUAUAUAUGUACAAUCAUUAUGUCCUCCAGCACAAGUGAAUUUCCAAACCCACAACUGAAAGCUUGCGAAAAAUUUGUAGAAAAUUUGUACAUCAAAUCCACAAGCUAAGUGUUGUAUCAGAAUAUGAAUGACAAUAAAACAAAAAUCUGUGUUCUUCAUUCUUAAAAUACUAAUACAAUACAAGUACAUUCUUAUUCUGAGAAAUAACUACCUAUUAACUCCAUAUUCAUUAUCUUGUUGAAAGAGUAGCUGCUGAAAAUGUCCAUGUCGCUGAGCUUGUAUGUGCUAUUAAAAAAAAAUUAAACAUCUUGUUGUCAUCCGAAAAAAUAAAGAAGGCAAGAUGAACAAAUAAAAAACUUAUCACUACUUACGGUGCAAGAAUUUUAUGUAGAUAUUGAAUAAACAUUAUCCUCAAUUAUUUGUCACAAUAAUUUAUAUUCAAUUCAUGGUGUGUUGCAGCAAGCUUCCAUUGUUUAACUAAAUGACAGCUGAAUCUUUACAACUAAUUAUCUUUACAAUCAAAUUUGGAAUUAAUUAAGCAAAUUACCGCUAGAAAUCGACGAGUGAAGCUAAGAGAGUGAGGCUGCAAGUCGAAUUUUUGAGACAGCCGAGAGAGUGAGGCGCUGUGAGAGAUGCAAUGGACGGGCGAGAGAGAGACGAAGCCGAUGGUGAUUGCUGCAUUGGUAGGAUUGAGGGAGAGAGCGAAAGAGCCAGAGCGUGCGUGCUUGUUCUGCCAGAGAGCGCGUAUGUUUUUUCUCAAUGCGCGUGUUGCGUAAUUAUCCAUCUACAGUGACCAUUUUAUAGUUAUCUUGAAACGCACCGUUCGGUGCUAUAUGUGGGGCUGAAUGUUGUGAGCAUAUCGGUGCUGUAUAUUUUAUUAAAAAUUAAUGCUAACAAGAAAAAACCCCUCAAUGAAUGAGGGUGAGAUUGCUAAAAAUUACGACAGGUGAUAUUUUAUUAUUAUUAUUAUUAUUGGGGGAGAAAUCCUCACCAAAGUGAGGAGAUUUUAUCAAAAUCAAAAUAAAAAUAUAACAAGAACUGAAAGUUGGGCAGCCUAAAAGCUAGAUAAACUAAAAUUCAGGCGCCUAAAAACAACCUUAUGCAAAAGAGAAGCAACAUGAGACCGAUCAAGUAAAAGAAUCCACCGCAACACCUAAAUUGGCCAAAUUAUCUGUUGGUAUUACAAGUUUCUUGUUAUAAAAGUGUAGAAUGAAGAAGGUGACGUAGUUUUAAGUUACAGCUGCAUGCCCGAUCGCAAUAUCAAAUAAUGAUUAAAUAUCAAAUAAUACUUAAAAUAGUUGCCUAGACCCGCCACAAUUUAUAUUAACUCUUAAAUUUAUAAAUAAUUAAAUUUUUAAAAGUUCGGAUUUAUAUUAAAAAAUCUUCAUAUAAAUAAAUAAUAUAUGCACUUUUACAACACAGUCUUUAAAUUUAAAUUUUUCUAGAAAAAUCUUCUGUAUAUCUUUUCUAUUAAAAAAUUUCCAUAUAAAUAAAUAAUAUACCUAAUUUAAUUGGACCCAGCGCAACGCAUAUGCAUAGAACACAUUCCGAAAAGCCAUGAUAUUCGGAAAUUGACGAAUGAAAAGUGAGGAGGCAGCAGUCAAUGCUAUUUCGGCUUGGCCCAAAAUUGAUUUAUCAGUUUGACGUGUGCCAGGAAUGAAGAACUGGAAUAUCACCAUCAAGCAAGCAACCUGCGGAGCAAUACCAUAGAAUGCACAAUCCGGCUUUGCAAGGUGACACUGGAGGCUUUUUGAAAAGUGCUUCACGCUCACUUGACAGAUUGAGCAUCCCCUCUGGAUAUUGCCCUCUCUGAUCGAAUCUGAGCACUCAAAUUUCGGUCCUCAGAUGGAGCUACAGCUUUCUCUCCAAUAACCAACAAUUUUCUAAACUCAGCACCUAGUGUGAUCAGAGUUGUUGAUAUUUGUAAAUGGAGAUCCCCGUAUUUGCAAAUGGAGACAUUUACCAAAUCACCAACAUGCUUCAUCCAGUCUACGAAAUUCUGCAGCUGAUUCAAAUCCGGAACCUGAACAAGAGUCGGAGGUAAAUCUUGAGCCAUAUCUAAAGCAGUCUGAAGUUCAAGUACUUGAGCCCUUGACAAUGGUUUUGAAAUUGGAACAUCUUGGAUUACUGCAGACUUGUGCCCCUUGGUUUCAAAGGUAAGGAAAGGCAUUGCUUGAGUACAAUUUGGAGGCAGCUUCUUCACCAAUUUUAUUUGGAGGCGAUUGGCAGCGGAUCCAGCUGCACCAAUUUCAGAGCAAAUACUGACACUACUUCGAACAGCACACUGAAGAAGUGAUAUGUCUACGGCAAAGGCAAUGCAGUCCUCAUUUUGGCUUGAGAUGCAGUAAUCAUCGAAGAGAGUUUCCUUGUGAAACUGGGCAACACAUUGAAUCCCUUCGCCACUGAGAAGGUUGCGGAGGAAGUAAGCUUUCUCUCUAGUGAGGAAGAGGUGGCAUACCUUCCCCAUGUCUAGGGCAGGUAGGAAUCUUUUUUCUAAGAGAUUUACUUCAUUCUCUGUGAGAAAUGCUUUGAACUUCAUCCCUCUGUCUCUAUCCUCACUUAUCAGUAAAAUAGUUGAAAGUGCUACAAGGAGAGAAAAGAAGAGUAUUAAGAUAUAUAUAGACAAGAAAAACAUUAGAUGUCGAUCUUACAAGCUAAUACUUCAAACAGUAUCCUAGAAAGCUAAAAACUGCAAAAUGGCUUGACAUUUGAAAAGAACACAUGCUUUUCCUCCUUAACUUGAGAAAAUGUUUAAUAUAGUGCACCUUACAGAAACAUUUAAGCAAUUAGAACUUUGCACAAAAAUAUUCAAGAAGACUAAACAAAUCAGAUGCAGUGUAUUUCUCCAAGCACAAAUGGCAUUGCAUUUUUUCCUCAACUGUAAUAUUUAUUGAUGAAAAUCAGUACAGGUCCCUCAUUUGUUAUGGAAAGCUUUCUUGUAGUCUGACUGGUUAAUUCACGGAUCUAUAAUUAUCUUGCAAAGUUACAGGCAUUUCUUUCGAUUUAAAGUCUUUGCAUCACCACCUCAUCACACACCUAGCCAAUAUUCCGUCUACUUCUACAACAAAAAGUUUUAAGUAAACGAUCCUAAUGCAUGCAGCCAAAUAAAAUGCAGUAAGAAUAUUCAACUUAAAACUCUGAAAGCCAUCUUGGUGAAUUGCCUCCUUAGGGGAAGUUCCAUGAUUUACUAUACUUGACAGGACUGAGCAAAAGCUUACAUACAACAGAUUUUGAAAAUGAUGAUGCCAAUAGAUACUCAUACAAUCCAUUGAAACUCCUAAGGUCCAUUGUUCACAGAGGUUUACAGAGUUUUGGUUAUCAAAUAGCUCAGACCUUAAUCCCAAACAAAAAACGAGUGAAAAUUAGAUCACCAGCAGCAAAUUGUAAAUUCUAACUUAACUCUUCAUCUCCUUUGUAAACAGGAGACAAAAUGGAGACACGCAAAAUGAAUAAGGAGAACAUUUGAACUCAAAUGAAAUGAGGGCACGAAAGCAAACAAAUGGCAUGCGCAAACAAACCAAGCCUCAAUCAAAAACUAAUUAACCAUUAAAAAACAAAACUGGUCAGCUUCUGGUGUUCUCAAAUUGUAUAACAAGAGAUCGACACAUCGAAUCAGAAGAACUCAAUUCAAAUUUGUCUCAAAAAUCAAAAUUAGAAGAUUUCACAUUUCGAGAGGAACAAGCGACAGGUCAGAUGCAAAAUUUUCAGCCAUAACAUGCCACAAUUAACGGUUUAUUUCCAUGGAUUUAGAGAGCUGACUGACCUUUUGGCUUUUGGAAUUGAGAAGAUCGCGCGCCAAAAUGGAAGAGGGAAAGCGAAAGUGCGGGUUUUAAUAGGGUAUUGGAUUAGCAAAUUUUAUUAGUUUGCGAGGGUAAAAUAGGAAAGUGAUAUCACUAUUAACCUUUUUUUUAAUAAGAAAAAAGAAUAAUAAAGAAUAUUUUAUUGUCAUUUGCAGCAUUUAUUUUUUUUAAAUGCUAUUAGAAAAAUACGACAACAAAGAAAUGCUCUUUUUUUUUUUUUUUUUUUUCUCGAAGGUAAAAUCAAUUAUUUAGCUCCUUAUAUGUAAUCAAACUACAUUUCUUACUUUAAGUCAUAUCCAACGGACCAACAAAGUAAUUAUUUUUUUUUUCAUUCAUUUUUGCAGAAAAUUAAUAACUUAAAAAUAUUGAAAGCUAUUGUAAAAUUUUUUAUUAUCAACCUCAUAGUUUUAUUUUUUGGGAAGAAUUGAAUUUUUUUUUUUAAUUUCCAAGAAUUUCAUUCUCUAGUUUUUCCAUUAAUAUUACUUAUCUUGAUACCCAUCUUAAUUAAAAUCUGUAGUUUUAUUCAAGAGUCAUGCUAUUCAUUCACUCACAGACCAAAGGCUUUCCGCAGCAAUAUUAUUAUUUAAAUUACAACAAAGGGGAAAUCAAAUACGUCAUACAGAAGCUUAAAGCUGAAUCUACAAAAUCUAGAGCUCUCAACUACAUAAAUUACACUUGAUGAUCCUCUACAAGAUGAAGCUUGUUCAAUAUCUCAUCCAAAGCUUGUAAAGUAACAUUAUAACGAUCUUGAGAUUGCCUGCCUUCCUCGACGACCUGCACGAUGCGUUUGUACAAAUCAUCAUACCUGUGCACCGGAUUUUUAAUAUCAAUGCCACUGCAGCUGUGAUCAAGAACAUAAGAGCGUUUAACAUCUUUUCUCCAUCAAGAAAGAAUGUAGUGAGAUGGGAUCUCCUGCAUGCCACUCUGGUUUAGAACACAAAGAAUGUGUCUGCAUAAAUAUCCUCUGAAAUUGAACAACCCACAAACACAAAGCACCUCCAAGUCGGAGGCAUUGUACAAAACAUCGAAAAUAGUUAUGUUUUACAAUCUAUUAGACAUAUUUUAUUAAAUUAAUAUAAAUUUUCUAUAAAAUAAGAAUAUAAUAUUAAAAUAAAUUCACAAAAAAUUAAAGAAUUUUGAAUGUAAAAUAAUUUUAAUAGAUUAAUACGUGAGUUUUUUUAUUAAUAUAAAAAUUAUUUAACUUUAAGAUUUUUUAAAAUCUUUACAAUAAGUAUGACUAUAUUAUUUACAUUUAAAAAUAUUUAAAUAUUAUUAACCUACAAUUAUAUUUGCAUUUGUUAGAAUUUUUUAAGUCAAAUAUUUUGCACUUCUAUAUUAUUAGAAUUAUUGCACACAAAGAAAGAAACAUAUACCUUUAGAAAUUGUUUUCUUUUAAAAUAGAGAUGAUGAUUAGUAUAAGGAUGAAAAAAAUGAUAAAGAAUAUUAAUGAUUAACGAAAUCUCUAUACAAAUUGAUUUUAGUAGGAAAAGAGUGAGAUGAAUGAUUUCUUUUACGGUUAGAAACAUAGAUGAUGAUUAUUAUAACGAAGAAAAAAAGAUAAAGAAUAUUAAUUAUUAAUGGAAUCUCUAUGCAAAUUGAUUUUAGUAGGAAAAAAAAUGAGUUAAAUGAUUUAGAGUGCGUUUGGAAUUGAGAUUGGGCAGCCAUAGAUUUUAAGUUACAAUACUGAAGUGUUUGAUAAAUACUAGCUGCUGCAGAUUGAAAGUUAUAUUGAUAUGAUUUUUCACAUGUAUCAUAGAAAAUAUAUUACAUCUUUAAUAAUUUUUUUAAAAUUUAUAUUUGCUAUAUAUUAUUAAUUUUUUUUUAUAGUUAUAACUUUUUUUCCACAGCAGUUGUAGCUUAAAAGUCACAGCAUCUCAAUCUCAAACAAAUCCUUAGACAUUCAUAGUGUGUUUAUUUUUUGGAUUGGUGAAUCAAAAUUAUUGACAACGCUAACUUCAUCUUCAUUGUUCGCAAUCCAACAGCAGCAGCAAUUGUCACCAAUAAUGAUAUCUCCAAUGAUGAUGACAAUUAUUAUUAUUAUUAUUAUUAUUAUUAAUUUAUUAAUUAAUAUAUUAAUGUUAAUAAUAUUAUUAUUAAGAUUAACAAUAAUUAGUAGUAAUACAAUUUUUUGAAUAAAAAUAAUCACAAUAAUUAAAAUACAAAUUAAUAAUUAUGACAAUAGUUAAUUAAUGUCUUUUUAGUAAUUUGUAAUAAUCUAACUCAUUUUGAUUCUGAUUAUUACAGCUUAAGUAAACAAAUUAUUAUGAUUCCUAUUUUCCUUUCCUAUUUUAACUCACUUCGAUUCCAAUCUAUUCCAAUUUCUAUCUAAUAAAUGCACCAUUAGUGCUAAAGUAAUAUUUCAUACAUAGAAAAAUAAAAACUACACCUAAGGUUAAGGGAAAGGACUUCAAAACUCUCUUUUGAUCAUAAUACAUUUUGUCCUAAUUAACUUAAAGAUUUUGAAUCUAAUAUUUUAUAAUAAAUAAAAAUAUAUUCCUAAAAUAAAUAUAAUAUCAAUAUUUAAAAUAUGUUUUAAUAUUUUACAAUCUAUCAUACACAUUUUAUUAUAUUAAAGUAGAUUUUAUAAUAAAUACAAACGUACUAUUAAAAUUAAUAUAUAAAAAAUUUAGAAAAUUUAGAAUAUUAUAUAAAAUAAUUUUAAUAUAAUGCGUGAGAUAUAUUUUAUUAAUUUAAAAUUUUAUUUUACCUAAAAAUAUGAUAAAUUAAUAAUUACAUAUUUAAAGUUAUUUCAAAUAUUAAAAAAAUUUAAUAUUAUUAGUUUUUUAGAUAGAUUAAAUUAUUUUUAUAAGAGAUAGAUUAAAUUAUUUUAAAAUACCUUAAUUGUUUUUACUUUUAACGUUACCGGCCUUUCUUUUAUUUUAUUGUAAAUUAAUGCUAACAAGAAAAAGCUAGAUCAUAUUCCACAAAAGCAAAAGUGACAAACACAAUCAGCUGGAAUCUUUUAUAAAACUACAAAUUAAAAUGGUUUUUUUUUUUUUUUGAUAAAUUACAUAUAAAAGUGGAUUCUUUUGAAUAUAAGUGGGGUAGGCUCUUUUAUUUUUUUUUAAUACUGUAUAACAAGAUUGUAGACUCCUUGAUUAAGCACAAGUAUAAAGUAGUCGAGACGAUACUUUAUGCUAGGUGUCCAUUGAAUAUUAGAUCUUCAUUUCUUUGGCCAUUUAAUUUUUUCGAGAAAUUUUUCUUACGAUCCCGGCUAAGCUUGAAGAAAAGACAACUCAACGGUUUUUUUAAAACAAGUUUCCGUUUUGGUUGGUGAAAUGAAAACGAAAUAAAGCACUUCCAUCCAAAAAUCAUUCUUCUGGAGAAAGGGAUGACAGAUUAAAGAAAAGGGGUGUACUGAAAGGAGAAAAAAGGUUCUUGCAUGAGAGCUGGACACGUUAAAAGAAGUUGAACAAAUGUCUCAAAAAGAAGCUAUUUCGCUUUCAUACUAAAGCCUAUUUGUAAUAGCAUCAGCAAUGCUCCACUAUCCACAUUCUUGUGCGGAUAUCAUUGCAAUCUACUAAUGGUAUAUAAACAUGCAUGUUGUCCCAUGAUGAUUAAGUUAACACACACUUGGAGGUACUUAAAUUAUGCCAUAAAGAGAUAUAGUUAUUACGCAUACAAAUGUUAUUCAAUGGUUAAAAUGUAUGAUAAAGAAAUCGCUUGAAUUUUUUAUUUGCCGUUACGUAAUUUUUUUAUUGAUUCCGAGUUUGAAUCUUAAAAGAAAUAAAGGGUUAGAAAAUUAAUUUGAACUUUGUCCACUCUUUAACUUAAUGAGUAUAAAAACAGAAAAUGCAGGUAAUUUAAUUUUGACAUCUAACAUUUAAGAGAUAGAGCUUGAAAGAGUCCAAUAUUAAAUUAUAAAAUAAUUGAAAUAAAGUUUGCCCCAUAAGAAAAAUUGAACAAAAAAUCUUAAGUAUGAUAUGAUGCUAGAGAAAUUAUUUAUCUCAAAACUUUUAUUAGGUAAUUAAGUCCUAAGAAUAUGUAAUUACACAUGUAACAAAAAUUAGAGAUGAGGGUCUUUUAUUAAACUACAAAUUGUAUAGUCUUUUUAAAAUUGUUAUAAAUUGGUGGCCCCUACAAUCCUCAAUAAUUGUGCCGAUAUUCACAAGUUGGUGGCCCCUACAAUUAUCAACUGUGCAAGUGCUCAUUCACAAUCUUCCAGGUCAUGCUCUUAAUAAUUGUUUUUUUUUUCUGCAUUCCCUUUCAUGCUCUUAAUAAUUGAAGAGCAUACUUUUCAAAUAUGGAGCCGCAGCUAAUGUCGCUAAUUUAAUUUGGGAUUAAAUUAGGGGACCAUUAUGUUGCAGUGUGCACUAAUUUUUGUGUUUAUCUAAACUCCUUAAAUUUAAGACAUAUUACGGCAUAAAUAAGAAUAUAACAAUAACAAAAGAGUUAAAAAGUGUAGAGAAGAUCUUGCAGAAAUAUAAAUAAUAUCUAUUUUAAAAUAAUAUCAAUAUUUAAAAUAAUUUUUAAUAUUUUAUGAUCCAUUAGAUAUAUUUUAUUAUAUUAAAGUAAAUUUUAUAAUAAAUAAAACAUACUAAAUUUAGAGUAUUUUAAGUAUUAUAUAAAAUAAUUUUAAUAAAAUAUGUGAGAUAUUCAUAUUUUAUUAAUUUAAAAUACCAUUUAACCUAAAGAUUUAUUUAUGAUAAAUUAAUAAUUAUAUUUUUGAAAUUACUUCAAAUAUUAAAAAAAUUAAUAUUACUAAUCUAUUAGAUAGAUUAAAUUAUAUAUAUUAUUUUCUAUUUAUUAAAAAAUUUUAAAAUUAUUUUUAAUUACUAUUCAAAAAAUAUAAUGAUAAAAAAAAAUCUUAACAUCUUUAUUAAAAAUUUAAAAAUUUUCAUGAUCAAUUCUCUAAAUAUUUAGGGUAUAUGUGAACCACGGUGGAGAAGCUUUAUUUAAUAUUAUUGAUUUAAAUAAUAUGUGACAAAACAACUAGGUGGACUACAAAUUAAAGUGGAUUCUUUUGAAUACAAGUGGGACAGACGAUUAGGCUCUUUUUAAUUUUUAUUAAAGGCAAGUAAAAAGUAGUCGAAUAGUCUUUUUCAAAUUCUUGUUUUAUUGUUUUUCAAAACUAACAAGAAAAAGCGAGAUCAUAUUCCACCCCAAAAGCAAAAGUGACAAAACAACCAGCUGUAUUCUUUUAUUAAACUACAAAUUAAAAUGGAUUCUUUUGAAUACAAGUAGGACAGACGAUUAGGCUCUUUUUAUUAAACGCAAGUAAAAAGUAGUCGAAUAGUCUUUUUCAAAUUCUUGUUUUAUUAUUUUUCAAAAUUAGUUUUUGGUAAUUACUGUUUUUCCUUCAAAAGUUAGCGGUUCAUGUUUGCAAGUGUGAAUGUGCGAUGCUCUUUUCUUAAAGGCAAUUACAGUGGGGCCCGAAUGCCUAAAUCUUUUUAAAAUUUUUGCCGUAUAACGAACAGAGGUCAUUACUAAAAUUUCUCUUCCACAGCCUACAGCAGCUUCAGUUUAUCAAACUCAAUCAAUUUUCUUUCUUAACAAAAUUCCAAAGAUGUGUAGCAUUUUUCAGAUCGCAUGCGAUGGUGCUCUUUUCAAUCGUUGCUUGGAUUGCUUUCUUGGAAAAGCAGCAUACCUUCGUAACCUCCCAGAUAAUCUUGUAGACUUGGAGACUGAACUGGGAAGACUAAUCGCAGCAAAGAACGAUGUGAUGAUGAGGGUUGUCAAUGCUGAACGGCAACAAAUGAGAAGGCUGGGCCAAGUGGAAUGGUGGGUUUCGAGGGUGGAUGCUGUUAAAACUGGAGCCGAUGAACUUAUCACAGACGGCUCUGAAGAAAUUGGCGAAUUAUGUGUUGGAGGCUACUGUUCCAAGAACUGCAGGUCAAGCUACAAGUUCGGAAAACAAGUGGCUAAAAAGCUACAAGAUGUGAAGGCUUUAAUCGCCGAGGGAGUUUUUGAGGCGGUGGCUACUGAGGUGGUGCCCGAGAGAGCUCCGGAACCUGUAGCAGAUGAAAGACCCAUUGAGCGAACAGUAGUAGGCUUGCAAUCACAACUUGAACAAGUCUGGAGAUGUCUUGUAGAAGAAUCAGUGGGAAUCAUUGGCCUAUAUGGUAUGGGCGGUGUUGGUAAAACCACACUGUUGACCCAUAUCAACAAUAAAUUUCUUGAGAGUCCCACCAACUUUGAUUGUGUGAUUUGGGUCGUAGUUUCAAAAGACCUGCGACUUGAAAAAAUUCAAGACGAUAUUGGGAAGAAGAUAGGUCUGUCUGAUGAUUCAUGGAAGAAUAAAAGUUUUGAGGAGAAAGCUGUAGACAUCCUGCGGAGUUUAGGAGAGAAGAGAUUUGUAUUGUUGUUAGAUGAUUUAUGGGAGCGGGUUGAUUUAACAAAAGUGGGCGUUCCACUUCCCGGACCACAAAAUACUACCUCAAAAGUCGUAUUCGCAACCCGUUUCAUCGAUGUUUGUGGUAGCAUGGAAGCUGACAGGAAGUUCCUAGUGGCGUGCUUAUCAGAAAAGGAUGCUUGGGAACUGUUUCGAGAAAAAGUUGGGGAAGAAACUCUUCAGAGUCAUCAUGAUAUCGUUGAGCUAGCCCAAAUUGUGGCCAAAGAGUGUGGUGGUUUGCCACUCGCACUUAUUACUAUUGGUCGAGCUAUGGCCUGCAAAAGGACAGCCGAGGAGUGGAUACACGCAGUUGAAGUGCUAAGAAGAUCAGCUUUUGAGUUUGCAGGUUUGGGAAAAGAGGUGUAUCCUCUUUUAAAGUUUAGCUAUGAUAGUUUGCAGAAUGAGACGAUUAGAUCUUGUUUCUUAUAUUGUUGUUUAUAUCCCGAAGAUUAUGGAAUUCUUAAAUGGGACUUGAUUGAUUGUUGGAUUGGUGAGGGAUUCUUAGAGGAAUCUGACAGGUUUAGUGCAGAAAACCAAGGUUACUACAUUGUGGGCACUCUUAUUCAUGCGUGUUUACUAGAAGGGAUAGAAGAUGAUAGAGUAAAAAUGCAUGACGUUGUUCGUGAUAUGGCUCUAUGGAUAGCUUGUGAAAUUGAGGAGAGGAGACACUUUUUGGUUUGUGCAGGCGCUGGAUUAGAACAGGCACCGGCUGUUAGAGAAUCGGAAAAUGUGACAAGAUUGUCAUUGAUGCAAAACCAAAUUAAAAUUCUGUCGGAGGUUCCCACAUGCCCUGAUCUCCUCACUUUAUUUCUUGACUUUAAUGAGGAGUUGGAGAUGAUCGCGGAUGGCUUCUUCCAAUUUAUGCCUUCUCUCAAAGUUUUGAAGAUUUCAAACUGCGGGAAUUUUACUUUUCAAUUACCUUUGGGGAUGUCAAAGUUGGGUUCACUAGAACUUUUUGAUAUUUCACGCACCGAAAUACAAGAGUUACCAGAAGAGUUAAAGUUGUUGGUAAAUCUGAAAUGUUUGAAUUUGAGGUGGACAAGCAAGUUAAUUAGAAUUCCACGGCAACUAAUAUCAAAUUCUUCAGGGUUACGUGUGUUGAGAAUGUUCGCUACUGGCUAUGAAUGUUUUCAUGAAGCACCAGAAGACAGCGUUUUAUUUGGUGGGGGUGAAGUUUUAGUACAGGAAUUGCUCGGUUUGAAAUAUUUAGAGGUAUUGGAGUUGACCUUGGGAAGUUAUCAGGCUCUCCAAAUCUUUUUGAGCUCAAAUAAGUUAAAAAGUUGUAUUCGAUCUCUUUUCCUCCAGUUGGCCGGAGAUACAAAGUCGAUUAUUGAUGCUGCGGCUUUCGCAGAUCUAAACCACCUCAAUGAAUUAUAUAUUUAUGAAGGUAUUGAGUUGGAAGAAUUGAAGAUUGAUUAUACAGAGAUAGUACGAAAAAGGCGGGAACCUUUUGUUUUCCGCAGCCUUCACCGUGUUACCAUAUUUAGUUGCGGUAAAUUGAAAGAUGUGACAUUCCUCGUUUUUGCUCCAAACCUCAAGUCUCUUGAGCUAUUGCAAUGCGAUGCUAUGGAAGAAAUAAUCAGCGUCGGAGAAAUUGCUGAGACUCCUGAGAUGAUGGGACACAUAAGCCCUUUUGAAAAUCUCCAAAGUCUUCAUUUAUCGUAUUUACCAAUUUUGAGGAGCAUCUACUGGAAGCCAUUGCCUUUCACUCAUCUCAAAAAAAUGGAGGUACGUAGAUGCGAUCAGCUUAGAAGGCUUCCGCUCGAUUCCAACAGUGCAACAGAGCGUAAUGUUGUUAUUCGUGGAUACACACUCUGGUGGAACCGACUUCAAUGGGAGGAUGAAGCCACUCAAAUUGCUUUUCGUUCCUGUUUCCAACCUCGUUCCUGAGCAGUGGUCGCAAAAUUUGAUUUCUGGUGAGUGCGUUUGUCUUUUAAAAAGAAGAAUUUAAAAGAAAUUUAUUCUUGUCGUUUUCUUCACUGUUUUUAUUUGAUUUCUGGUUAGUUUCUUUCUCUCUCUCUCUCUCUUUGUCUUCUGCAAAUCACAAUUAAAUGUUGAAUUAAUGGAAUUGAUGCUCUGGUUUUUUACUUUUUGUUGUCAAAUUUUGCCCUGUUCUAUCUUCUUAGCGAUUUAAUUUCCUGUCAAAAGACGAGCGAGAAGAACAUAUAUAUGACUUAAACCAAUUGAUACUUUAUUUAUGUGCAUUGUAUGUAAUAAAUAUUAAGUAUACUUUAUUUUUGCCCUGUUCUCUGUUUUUAUUUCAGUCUCUCUCUCUCUUUCCUGUCUUCUGCAAAAUAUAAUCAAUUAUUUUCAAAAUAUCAUUGAUGAUUUUUCUGCUCUAAUGCUAUGUAAAUAGUAUGUUAAGUAAAACAUAAUCAAUUAUUUGUGUUUUAUCUCUAAUUAGAACAUCAAUCAGUUCAGUACCUCACAAAUAAUUCGCAAUAUCUACAAAAUACUAUAAUGGCUACAAAACAAAUCCUGCUUGCAAAUUGUCAAGGAUACCUAUCCGUUCGCUUGACAAGUCAUUUGAAUAAAUAUUGUUCACAUUCCUUACUCUAUCAAUUAUCCAAAGCACCAUCAAUGGUCCUCAACUUUAGUUUGAAUAGUAUACAUGCCAUCACCAUUACCAAGAAUCAAGCAUGGAAGAGUCAUUCUAUAGAGUUAAUCGAAGCAAGGAAUGAUGUAUCAGAAAAUAUUUGGUGGAGAAUUCAGCACAAACAUAUUUUGGAUGAUCAGAAUCAAUAAAACCUGGUGGUUGCGCCAUAUAAACAUCUUCGGAAAGCUGACCUUGAAGAAAGGCGUUAUUGAUAUCCAAUUGACGAAGAGGCCAGCCAUGACUAACAUCAAUACUAAGAACAAGCCGUACUGUGGUGGACUUAACAACUGGACUGAAAGUGUCAUAAUAGUCCACACCAGGCCAUUGAUUGAACCCUUUGGCAACAAGAUGAGCUUUAAACCUGUCAACAGAACCGUUGGAAUGUCUUUUAAUACAAAAAUCCAUUUGCAGCCAACAAUAUUGGAAGGGAUGGGAGGUGGAACAAGCUUCCAUGUCCCGUUACGAACAAGAGCAUCAUACUCUUCUGACAUAGCUGGACGCCAGUGAAGAUUUUUGAUAGCUUGCGUCACAGUUGUAGGUUCACAAUCAGAAGAAGGGCUAAAAUGAGCACGGAGGUUAAGUUUUUGUAACGGCUUGUGAAUCUUAUUUUUAGCUCGGGUAGUCAUAUCAUGAUGACUUGUGGGGCAAUGAUCUAGUGGAGUUUAGGAAGAUGAUUGAACAGGAAGUGAAGAAGUGCUUUGUGUAGAGGUAGAAGUAGGUUGGGAGGAUUGCUGCGGAGAUGUUACCGGUAGAGAAGAAGGAGCAGUACACGGUGGCAACUCCAGAGGGCCCACAAUAGAUGGAGUAGGUGCCGACAAUGGAGUACUAGGAAAUGAAACAGGAAGAAUUGGUGGAACACUUGCGUAAUUAGGAGUGGUAGAUGAGCUUGUAAUGAUUUGUAUGGAAAAACAAACUCUACAAAUUUAACGUGACGUGAAAUAAAAAUUCAACCCGAUUGCAUAUUUAAGAACAUCUCAAAUGAAUUGCUUACUGCUAUCAUCAUCAUUAUUGUCUAUAUAAUAAUGGAUCUUUAUUAUAUAUAUGUUUCCACUAAAAUAUAUUUAAUUAUUCUUUAUUUUUCUAUUGUUGCGUGUAAGAUUUAUUUGAGUUCUAAGUUAUAUCAAUACAAAUGUUAUCUUAUCCAUAAAAAGUUAGAUCCAACAAUUAUGAAAAUUACUAUAGAGUUGCUUUCAAUUAUUUUUUUAAAAUACCAGGAGUAAAUAAUAAUUAGUUCAAAUGGUGGAGACUAAAAUGCGUUCACCUUUAUUUUUUAUCUGUUAUUUACUUUUGUCAUUACAUUAAUGCACAUGCUAUACAUUUGAGACAUUCCAUUAAUUGCCAAUUAUGUAUGUGAGAUAGUAAUUUAAAUUAAAAAAUAAAAGUGAAAGUUAAUCCUAUGCAAUGUGAAUAAAUUUCUUUCCUUUUUCCUUUACUCUUUUUAUUUGACAAUAAAGUUUCCAUCUAUCAUCUAUCAUCUAUGUACACAAAAUUUCUGCAACAAGUACAAAACAUAAAAAUAUAUGAAUAUUAAGGGAAACACGCAGAAGUUCAUCAUUUCAAUGUUCAGUAUUACCAAUUUUGGCAUUAAGCUUGUACGAAUAUAUUCUACUUCGAAAGCAAAAUAUUAGACUCGUGAUUUUAAUUCAUUCAUUAUCUCUCAUUUUAAUCCCAAAAUAUUCAAGAGUAUCCAAGUUACCAUAAGACUUCAGAGGCUCGAGCCUUAGCCAGAGAUGGUUAAUUGAUAGACUAUGUGCCUGGGUCGAGCACUGGAAGCCUGCAAUGCAGACUGAUUGAUUUAUCAGUUUAACGUGUGCCAGGAAUGAAGAACUGGAAUAUCACCGUCAAGCAAGCACCCUGUGGAGCAAUACCAAAGAAUGCACAAUCUGGCUUUGCUAGGUGACCCUGGAGGCUUUUUGAAAAGUGCUUCAUGCUCACUUGCACAGAUUGAGCAUCCCCUCUGGAUAUUGCCCUCUCUGAUCGAGUCUGAGCACUCAAAUUUCGGUCCUCAGAUGGAGCUACAGCUUUCUCUCCAAUAACCAACAAUUUUCUAAACUCAGCACCUAGUGUGAUCAGAGUUGUUGAUAUUUGCAAAUGGAGAUCCCCAUAUUUGCAAAUGGAGACAUUUAACAAAUCACCAACAUGCUUCAUCCGGUCCACGAAAUUCUGCAACUGAUUCAAAUCUGGAACCUGAACCAGAGUCGGAGGUAUAUCUUGAGCCAUAUCUAAAGCAGUUUGAAGUUCAAGACCUUGAGCCCUUGACAAUGGUUUUGAAAUUGGAACAUCUUGGAUUACUGCAGACUUGUACCCCUUGGUUUCAAAGGUAAGGAAAGGCAUUGCUUGAGUACAAUUUGGAGGCAGCUUCUUCACCAAUUUUAUUUGGAGGCAAUUGGCAGCGGAUCCAGCUGCACCAAUUUCAGAGCAACUACUGACACUACUUCGAACAGCACACUGACGAAGUGAUAUGUCUACGGCAAAGGCAAUGCAGUCCUCAUUUUGGCUUGAGAUGCAGUAAUCAUCGAAGAGAGUUUCCUUGUGAAACUGGGCAACACAUUGAAUCCCUUCGCCACUGAGAAGGUUGUGGAGGAAGUAAGCUGUCUCUCUAGUGAGGAAGAGGUGGCAUACCUUCCCCAUUUUGUCUAGGGCAGGUAGGAAUCUUUUUUCUAAGAGAUUUACUUCAUUCUCUGUGAGAAAUGCUUUGAACUUCAUCCCUCUGUCUCUAUCCUCACUUAUCAGGAAAUAAGUUGAAAGCACUAUGAAGAGAGAGAGAGAGAGAGAGAGAAUUAAGAUAUAUAGACAAGAAAAUAAUUAGACGUUGAUCUUACAAACUAAUACUUCAAGCAGUAUCCUAGAAAGCUAAAAACUGCAAGAUGGCUUGAAAUUUGAAAAGAGCACAUGGUUUUCCUCCUUAACUUGAGAAAAUGUUUAAUAUAGUGCACCUUACAGAAGCAUUUAAGCAAUUAGAACUUUGCACAAAAACAUCAAGAAGACUAAACAAAUCAGAUGCAGUGUAUUUGUCCAAGCACAAAUUGCAUUUUGUCCUCAACUUUAAUAUUUAUUGAUGAGAAUCAAUACAGGUCCCUCAUUUGUUAUAGAAAGCUUUCUUGUAGUCUCACCAGUUAAUUCACAGGUCUAUAAUCAUCUUGCAAAGUUAAGGGCAUUUCUUUCGAUCUAAAGUCUUUGCAUCACCACCUCAUCACACGCCAAGCCAAUAUUCCAUUUACCUCUACAACAAAAAGUUUUUAAGUAAAUAAUCCUAAUGCACGCAGCCGAAUAAAAUGCAGUAAGAAUAUUCAACUUAAAAAUCUGAAAGCCAACUUGGUGAAUUGCCUCCUUAGGUGAAGUUCCAUGCUUUACUAUAGUUGACAGAACUCAGCAAAAGCUUCCAUACAACAGAUUUUGAAAAUGAUGAUGCCAAUAGAUACUCAUUCAAUCCAUUGAAACUCCAAAGGUUCAUUGUUCAUAGAAGUUUACAGAGUUUUGGUCAUCAAAUAGCUCAGACCUAAUCCCAAACAAAAAACGAGUGAAAAUUAGAUCACGAGCAGCUAAUUGUAAAUUCUAACUUAACUCUUCAUCUCCUUUGUAAACAAGAAACAAAAUGGAGACACGCAAAAUGAAUAUGGAGAAAAUUUGAACUCAAAUGAAAUGAGGGCACGAAAGCAAACAAAUGGCAUGCACAAAAAAACCAAGCCUCGAUAAAAAACUAAUUAACCAUUAAGAAAAAAAUUGGUCAGAGAAUGAACUCCAAAUUCAGGAGUCAAGCAAGAAGCUUUCAUUAUUUCAGAAGCUCCUGUACAAAUUAAUAAGUUAUGCUCUUUGGAAGCAAACCUAAAUUCCAAGAGAAACAGAACCCAAAAAAUUUGCAAUUAUACGCAAAGGAAGUGAAGCACAGGAUUCUAUCACACAUAGGAAUUGUAUAACAAGAGAUCGAUAUAUCGAAUUAGAAAACUCAAUUCGAAUUUGUGUCAAAAAUCAAAAUUAGAAGAUUUCACAUUUCGAGAGGAACAAGCAACAGAUGAAGUUCAAAAUUUCAGCCAUAACAUGCUAAAAAUGCUACACUUAACGGUUCAUUUUCAUGGAUUUUCUCGGGAAACAAACAGAAAAUUACGGUUUAGAGAGUUGACUGACCUUUUGGCUUUUGAAAUUGACCAGAUCGCGCGCCAAAUUGGAAGAGGGAAAGUGAAAGCGCGAGUUUUAAUAUGGGUAUUAGAUAAGGAAAUUUUAUUAGGUUGCGAGGGUAAAAAAGGAAAGAGAUAUCAUUAUUUUAUUAUCGAUAAUUAUUAAAUUUUUUUCCAAAAAAAAGAACAAGCAAGGAUUUUUUAUUGUCAUCACUAAGUUAAAAAAAAUUGUUUCAAAAUUACUUGAGUCAUAUCCAAUGGACCAACAAAGUAAUCGUUUUUAUUUUUAUUGAUUUUUGCAGGAAAUUAAUAACUUAAAAAUACUGAAAGCUACUGUAAAAAUUUUUAUUAUCAACCUCAUAAUUUUUUUUUUUUGGGGAAGAGAAUUCAAACUUUUUUUUUAUGAAUAUCGCUGUUUCGUUUGAGUUGGAUGUGAAUUCAAAUCCAAAUAUUCUUUGUUUUUCAAUUUUGAACUCAAUUUCUUUUUCUCAAGAAUGUUAUGCAGAAAUAAUUUUUACUAAAUCUUUUUUGAUGAAUUGUUUAAAUUAAACAAUUGGAAUAAGAAUUGUAACGAUUUAUCAUAAGCGUGCUAAUAUGAUAACUUGUUUUACGAAGGAUUAAUUAAUCAAUUAAUAUUAAAUUAUAUAUUAGUCAAUUAGAUAUGUGUUACAUUUAUCAUGUUUUGUAGGUGAUAGUACAUCAUUUCUAAAAGAAUAUAGUACGUUAAAAUAUUAUUUUAAUGAAGAAAAUUUUAUUAUUUUAUUAUUAGGUGACACAAUAAUAAAUGGAUUUCUGUAAGAAUUGAGAUUCUUGAUAUAAUUAUUACAUAAGGAGAAGUUUAGUUGGUUCAAUUUUGACGUGAUAAGAAGACAACACAGCACAGAAAACCCAAAUUGCCACUUCCACUAAUAAAAGAUACCUGUUUGAAAAGUAAUUAUAAACUAUCUUCUUUGUGUUAUUUCUCAAAACUUUUGUGGCACAAAUGUUAUUUCCAUUGACAACAGUACGAAAUACCACCCCUUUCACUUGAGCAGGAGCAAAGCAAAGGUAUGAUGAGCUAUCUCUGUAUAAUUGAAACGCCAUUACUAAACGAUUCUUGAUGAUGGGAGCCACCGUGCCAGCUUUGUCGCUGAUUUGCAUGAUUUAUUAGUUGUCCAGAUGGCGGAUUUUGUACUGUUACCUUCGUUUCAUUCUUCAGAGCCAUGUACUGUUCUAGGAUACCAGAGAAACCAAGGUGGCAUUGAAGUUGCCCUGGUGGUUAGUUUUCCGAUCAUUUUUUUAUUCAAUUAUUUAUGUUUUUAGAAAAAUGUAGGAAAUAUGUAGAAAUGUUGACAGCUAUGAUUUUGAAACUUUUGCCUAAAAUUGUUAUCAUUACUUGUUGUUUCUUAUUUAAAGAGAAAUUCUAGAAACAUGAAAUGAUUAUUCUACGCUUGUUUUAAUAUUGUGCUAUGAAGAUUACGAAGGUUUGAUUAUAUGUCACUAUCAAUUGCCUUAAUCGUUUGUCGUAAAUCAAUUAAGCAUUUUGAUGCGAAUGAUUCCCUAUUAAAAAAUUCAAGUCAGAGCUGAAUUGCAAAGUAGUUAGUCGUGCUUGCAAUUCAAAUUAAGUAUUGUAUUUUCUCCCUGAUUUGGUUGAUUCAACUAUGUGCAUUUGCUUAUGAACGUUGCAGUAUAGAAAUCGAAAUAUCUUGUCUUUUGCUAAGCCCAGAAGCAAAUUCUUUGUAUUCUACUCAUCAGUUUUCUUCAUUCUCUUUGUUGAAAUUUUAUCUAAACAGCGGUUUCUUCGAAUUUAUGCCUUCGCUUACUCUUUUAAAUUUUAUCCAAACAACGGUUUUGAAAUUGUUUUCACUACAAUACCUUAGUCUUUCAGAUGCUCCCGUCACUGAGUUGCCAGAAGAGCUAAAAGCCUUGGUAAAUCUUAAGUGUUUGAACCGGAGUACACAAAUUAUCUCUCUACAUUUCCAAAGCAAUUGAUUUGUUACUUUUCGAUGCUACAUGUUCCGCGAAUAUUCAGUUGUGGUUAUCUUGUUCAGAUACCAGAAAAUAGCGUUAUAUUUAGUGGUAAUGAAUUCUUGGUUUGGGAGUUGCUUAGUUUAAAACGUUUAAAUGUAUUAAGCAUCAUCUUGAAAAGUUUUUCUGCUGUCCAAAAACUUAUGAGCUUCCAAAAGUUUCAAAGCUGUACACAAUGCAUGGAGCUUGUAGACUGUGAUGAUCCAAAGUCAUUUGCCGUGGCAGAGUUGAAGCAUCUUGAAAAACUAGGUUUUUCAAGUUGUGGAAAUUUGGAAGAGUUAAAGUUCUGCUGUGUCGAAGUUGCAAAGGCUCGAGAAUGUUUUCGUUUGAACAGCCCUCACUGAGUUAAGAUGAAGGCUUGUCAUAAAUUGUGGGAAGCGACAGGUUAUUCAAAUAGAAAAAUUUAUGGAGAUGGAUGUUAAUCUUAAGGUUAUUCAAUUAGAAAAAUUUGAAUAAAAUUUAUGGUAAGUGCUUUUCCAUUUAUUGCAUAUUUAUAUCUAAUUUUUAUUUUCCUUUAUUGUUAAAUUUUGGUCUCUAUUUGUUGUUGUAUGGUGGCAUUCUUGUACAAUUAUUAGCUUUUCAUUUCUCUUCUCACAUUAACUGCCCUUCUGAUCAUGUAGGAUUUGCUGAUGCAAAGAGUCAUAAUUUGGGAUACAAAUGUAAGAAUUAGACAGAUGACAUGUUGUUUUGAAGCUCUCAAAGAAGGACUAAUUAUGUCAUUGAAAGCCUCCAAUUUUGUGAUUGGUUUCUUUUUAUUUUAUUUGUUGUUUUCUCUAUUUUCAGAUCACUUAAUUGUUAGUUGUUGUAAUGUAAUGUUUUAGUAUAGCAAAUUAUAUUCGGCCAAGACAGUGAUAGGAGGGCACAUUGUGCAUGCACACUAGUGGAUUUGGCAUGCCAAAUCCAAUUAGGAUGGAUAACACUUUAUAAGCAUUAGGCUUCUCUCAUACCUGAGUAAUAUAGAAUAUGUUUAUAAGUUGUGAAUCACCCUUUACAAGUGUUAGGCUUCUGCUAUACUCAGUGAUGUGAAAUAUAUUUAUAAGCACUAAACUUCUCCCAUACACUUUAUGUUAAUAAUAAUAAUAAUAAUAAUAAUAAUAAUAAUAAAAUAAUAAUAAAUAAACCCAUUUUAACAGACUCUUUUUUCUUUUUCUAUAUGAACAAAUGCAUUCUUCAAAGCAACUGUGGGGAGAAGAAGUGAGUAGAGAAGAACUGAGCCCCUGUCAUUCCCCUAAAACCUCACCAAAACCUCUCUUGUAAGCUUCUCGGAUUUUCUUUCUAUAUUUCUUAGGAACUCAUUUUUUAUUGAAUCACUUAUUUUGCAUGCUGCAUUUUUUGGUUGUCGUAUUUGUGUAUUAUCUUAUCUGGAAUGCUGUUAUGAUUGAUGGAACAAGUAAUCGAUUUUUGGUCUAAUGGAAGUUGAUUUAUUUAUUUAUUGUUGUUUUUAUUUGAAAUUAUGUACAAUUGUAUUUCAUUCAUUUCUCUCUCUUUUGCUUUUUUCCCCCCAUAUAUUUGUUAUGUAUAAUUGCGUUUCAUUUAAUAUUGAUCAUACUGUAGGUAACCAUGUGAUUGUAGAUGGGGAUUUCGAGUUUGUUGAAUAUUCAUGUAAGUGAAGUAACCGUCACAAUACUAGUGAAAUUGGGAGCUUUAUUCAUGAGUUUGUGGUUUUGAAAAGUACCACAGUUCAACUGGUGAAGGCUCCGUUUUGGGAUUCUUCUUUUUCUAGGCUGCAAUUAGGAUAUGUACAUGAUAGACAAUCUUUUGUUGGUUUAGCAUAUCUUCGCUGAUUUUGUCUUUUAUUCCCCAAUUUUAUAAUUACACACCAUGAAUGUUGGGUGAUUGUAUAGAAAAUUUGUGUUAUAACAAAAACAUUGUGAAGGAGUUUCCGUGCUAAUAGUUAGUGGCUUCUGUUUUAUUGGCAUUGAUUGGGUAGAUUACGUGUUACAGUGAUUCAAUUUGUGUUCCAAACUUUGCUUUAAUUUUCUGUUUUCCCCAACUAUUUAUGUCAAAUUUAAAUCCAGAAGCAUGUGCUGAUUUUUUCUUUUUGUAUUAAUCUGUGAAGUUUAUUUGGAAUGGAAGUAACUGGGUCGGGUCUAAUGGAUUAAAUUAUGACAUUGAGGGGAAGGCACUAAAAGGGUUUGCUUGACACAUUUGGUUCUGUGUUUACUCUGCAAGAAAUAACUUUUGCUUAUUGCAAUGCAGGGGGAAAUCCCGAUUUGGCUGGUGAAUUUCUCUGCAACAAACAGGCAAACACCUCAACAUCUUCUGUCCAUACUUCUGCUGGGGAGGCAAGGGGUAAAGAGUCUUCAAAAUCAUCAAAUAGUUACAUCUCUGAGAAUUCAUUUUAUGGAAAUGGAAAAUCUAGAGUUUCUAAUACAAAAUGGCAUCUGGUAUCAGGACGUACCGUUUCAAGUUUUCUUGGUAAAGAUUAUGUUAAACCUGCACAGCCAGCUAAUGGCACUUUUCUGGCAUCAAAGCCAUUGAAGUUGGAUCCAAGGGAGUUUCGCAUUUCUGCACUUUCAGAGAAGAAACUAAACCGACAAUCAAAGGAUGACCAUUUGCAGAAGGAUAUGGAAGAUUUUCUUUUUAAAUUGCUAGGAGAAGGGUUCCAGCUGUACAGGGAUGUGAUUCAGGAGGUUCAUGGUAACGUCUUAAAUAUAUUGAUGCCAAUUUAAUACAUAUUGUCCUUUUCAAUGUUCUUUCUUUCUUUCUCCUCUUUUUAUUAUUCUUCUUCUUCUUUUUUCUUUUCAUGUGCAUGUGAUCACUAAUUUGGUAUUAUUCUUGACUUGCAGAUAGUUGUGGAUAUGAAAUGCAAAAGGUAAGGGCUAUAUCUUCUUGAUGGAGGCCUCUGAUUUUUUAAAUCGCAUUUUCCUUUGUGAUUGAUAUAUCAUACCAAAGUCAAGUCUUAAAUACUGCUGUCAUAUGUUAAGGUUCAACUUCCAUUUUGAUUAACGUCGAUUUGCUACUGCUUCCAAAAGUGAGAAUGAGAUACUUUGGUUAAUUUCAGUAGUUGAACUCAAUGGAGUACUUUAUUUAGAUCUUCAUGGUUCAAAGGCCUGAAAAAACUUGCCGGUAUUUGCAAAAUGACAUCUGUGCUUUUAUUUAGACUUAUUAUUAAAGACAACAUUUUAUUUCAGCCAAAAAUGUUUGUUUCAAUUAAAGACUUGAACCAUUUUCAUUUAACCUGAUUGUGAUGCUUUACAUUAUGCAUGUUCCUCUCAAUCAAUAAAAGUUGAGGUCAUGAUUUUAUAUUUCUAUUUUGUAACUUGAAAUAAUUGGUCUGCCUGUUUCUGUUGCUUGAUAACAUGAAUUUUUCCUUCUGAAGUUAAUUUGAUCAAUAAAGUAAUUCUUCGGAGAGGAUAUGCCCAUUCUAUAGUCAUUUUCUUAGCUAACAUGUUUUUUCUUCACUCUUCAAAGCAUGUCUAAACUAAUUGAUCGCUCAGCGGAGACUUUGGGUGAGAAGACAAAAUUUCUUGGUAAAUCCUCUGAAAAGGUAUGCAUAAUUCCCGAGUAUUAAAUAAUCAUUGGUCAUAAUUUUUGUACACGACUCUUGUUUUGGAGAUCGUUAAAAGUGGUUGAUGAUCUAUUUUGUAAUAUCAUAGAGGGAUCAUGAAUUCCUUUUCUUUUCUGUGGCUAGGCAACACUUUCGAGCCAAGCUAAGGAAAUCUAUUUUAGGUAAUGUGAAAACUAGUUGUAGGAUGUAAUAGUUUAUUAUGCCCUGACAAUAACUUUUUGUAUAAUUGUCAGUUUAAUGAAUACAAGAGGAACUCUGUUGGCAAGUUCAUCCAUGAUAGAUGCUAAAAUUAUUUAUGCAUACCAGUUGCCUUAACUAAUUUUUCUCAACACUGGUAUUGAACAGGAAAAUGAAUAUGCAAUUUGUAUAUUGUGCCAUUGUGGAGAAUUUGGAUAUUCUUAUUUAAGUAACAAGGAGAGUAUUUGCCUCAUCUUUAAACAAUGAAUCUUUGAGAAAUGAGGAGUGGGUGAUUGACAGUGUCUUCAUGUAAAUGUUCAUUUAUUUGUAUUUUGAACUAUUAUGAGAAUCUUUGUAUGCCAAAUUAGUAAUACAAAUGUUCAGAUGAUUUUUCCUGUUGAUCAUGCGUGUGUAUCUGCACACAACCAUUGUGUACCACUUUAUUCUGAUGCACAAAUAUCUGUAGUUUAGAAGAAAAGAAAUAAUAAUCAUAUAUUAUUGCUUGGUUCAUGAUUAUUAAAUGAUUAUGGCUUUAGAAAAUCCACAAAUCCUUUGUGUUCAUAUAUGAAUGUGCGAAGUUCGCUAUAUCUUAGAUUACCUUCUUCCAAGAUAACAAGUUCAUAUAUUUUUUUUAAUCCUUUUUCAUCACAGUUGAAUUUCAAGUGUAAGUUUUGUUAUUAAUAGCUGGUUUCCUGUUAUUAUGAUUUCAUAAACAAUGAGAGGAUAUGUGCUCUACUUUUGGAUGGCCUCCACAUAAAAGAAAAUUGCAACAAUUGAAUUCUUCUGGAGGGUAUGGUAUUUAAUUUAUUUUCUCAGCUUGUUGUAAGACUAAUAUAUUUCCUUCAGUACGCACGGCAUGGUGGGAAGGGUUUUUAUUGAAAGAAUUAUGAUAUUUCUUAGACUUUGUUUUGGAAGGGGGUGGAGGGAUUUCUCAUCCAUGUAUGGUUACUUGAUUAGCUUUUGACUGUACUGUCUCCGUCGUGCAAAGGAAAAUCCAAAUACUAACGAAGGGGAAUUGCUUAGGCACCCAAAGGACAGAAAUGAAUUACGGAAGGAGGUUUUUGCUGCUUUAUUUAGUGCUGCUGAGAAAUCUGAUGAAUUUCCUGAAAUUACGGUGAAGACGGAGUGGAGGUCCAACGCAUUAGGAAAGGUGGUGAGUGAACCGCCAGAGGAAUUAGUACCAGAAUACAAGGCUAAUGUGGUGCACUGGCAGCAAGAUGACCAGACCUGUAUGUGCUCUUAUAUUAACUAUAUUGGCUGGAUUUGUGAGUGUGUUCAUUUUUGUGUGUAUACUCACUUUUGUAUUUAUGCAUAUUCACGUGUGUAGGAUUCUCGAUUUCUGCCACUUACUGGAGAACUAGUGGAAAGCUUUAUACUGAUAUAUGUGCUAUAUAACUAAUGGAAACUACAAUAUGAAUAUUUUCUCUCACCUGGAGAGCAGUGUAACUAAUAUAAUUUGUGGCUCUGGAAUACUGAAGAUUCUGCAAUAACUAAUGGAAAAUAUGAUAUGAAUAUUUUUUCUCACCUGGAGAACUUUGUAACAGAUACAUUUUGUGCUGGAAUGUCUAAAGAAUGCUUCAGUUUAUAUCAAAUAUCUUUUAGUUAGAAAAGAUAAAAUUCUCUGAAUCUGAAAGACUGAAACAUUUUGCAUAUUUCGUGAAAGGCAAGUAUCUGUAGAUACUAGCUCAUGCAUUGAGGUAAUAUCAAUGUUAAAGAAAAACAGCAAUAAUUUAUUAUACAGAAUUAGGUUCACUUGCUUUAAAUGCUGGUCUGAUCAACCAUAUCAACCUGUAAUGGUCCUGCAGAAAUAUAUAUACGGGGAGAAACUAGCUAAUUUUCCUUUCACUUAUGGGUUUGGUCUUUUUUUCCCCAAUUUUUCAGCUUUCCUUCUCCUGAAGUAUGUUAAUAAUUGCAGAUAAUGGCGAAGAGGACUGCUUCCAGGCUACCGGCAAAAACUUUGUGAAAGCUUUGGAGUUAAACAGGGAAUUCACUUACUGCUAAGGACAAUUGGUGGCGAGCUAUUUCAUUCAUUUUAUGUCCAUACAUCUAUUUAAUUAUUAAAGAUAAUGUACGCAUUUGUAAAUUUCAGAUUGUGUGUCUCUGAAAAUAACAAUAUUUAAAAUGUCUCUUAAAUUAUUAUAAAUUUUAAUUUACUCUCGAUUUAAAAUGGAACAUGUUGGUGAAAUAUUUUUUCUUCUUAAUAAAAUUGAAAUAAAUUAUGUUAGCAGUAGUUUGAAAUAUUUUAAAGAUGAUUAUUUUAUAAGGGAGUAAUAUGAAAUGAAAUUUACUUUUCAUGCGUGAAAUGUUGAAAAAGGACAAAGCAAGUGUCCCUGCUUUUAUUUUAUUUCAAAGUGGAGUCAUCUCACAUACUUUAGCUCUAUCAUUAGGAGCCGGCUAAGUUACGUUAAACGUAAUUUACGCCAGGCACAGCAAUAAUGACAAGUCCCAUGACUAGUAUUGUUGCUGUGUCUGACGUAAGUUACGUUUAACGUAACUUAGCCAAAGCCCUAUCAUUAAUAUAUAUUUAAAUUUAACACAUGCAUGUGGGUUACUUUUCCGUAAGUUCCUUAAUAUAUAUUUAACACAAAUCAUGGAAGAGAUGGGAGUAUAUCAAGAUGAUCAAAGCAUGAAACAAAAAUAUUUAAGAAGUAAAACACUGAAAAUGGAGAAGAGAUGCAAGCAAAAGAUAUUCUAAAGAAAAGCAAUCUAUCCCCUUUCGAGGGCAAACUUAUCAGGUUUAAGAAAAGUACAUGCUUUGGAUUGGUAGUUGCAGCCUUGCAGGAUAAUUGUUUUUGCCACUAUAUUAGUUGGAGGAGUUGAACCCAGUGAAGAAUGUUAUGGAAGAGCAAAUGAUAUUUCUGAUAGACUCUAUUUGAUUAUGUAGCCUGAAUAGAUGUCUUGUUGAAAGAUAUAUCAGUGCAUUAGUUCAUCCUUGUCUGUCAAUGUGUUUUUAAUGGUUUUUCCAAUUGUUUUUUUUUUUUUUGAAACUGAUUAAGCAUCAGGUUACUGCAUUACACAGAUAUAUAUACAACUGCUAUGACAGCAGGUCAUUACACUGAUAUUUACAAUCAGAUAUAUAUACAUGGGACUUAUAUUAUUACAUUUUUAUUCUAUGAAGUACAUGCCCAUCCCAAAUACCCCUCACGGAGGAGGGAUGUCUCUACUCCACUCGCAUUUCGCAAGGGAGAAAGACGUUUAUAGAAAUCUCCACACAAUUAUGUUUAAUUGGAGGAGGUUGAGUCCGUGGGGACUCGAACCAUUGCCCUCAAAGUCAUGCUUAACUUUGAGGGCAAUGGUCCACCACUGGGCUACAAGCCCAAGUGGCGGUUUUUCCAAUUGUUUAUUGCUAUAGAUUGAUUGUAAAUUGAUGUGAACUUAAUGUUGAAAUAUUUUCUCUUUAGUGGAAUGAAAGUUAAACAUUCAAGAUUAGAUUAUUCAAGGUCCACAUAGUAUGUGUUCCGUUGUGUUGUCUGUAAUUUUGCAUUUAAAUAAAUUUGAGUGCUGCCGUUUCGCUCCCACAAUCUCUCGCCUUUUUUUAAUUUUAAAAAUUAAAAUAUUAAUAAAAAACAAUAAAGAAAAUCGAAUCCUUUAUGUCAUUCCAUCUUUACAACUCUCUCUCACAAACUCCAUCUAACAGACUUCUCUCUUACUAUCUCGGUCGAACAAGACCAGUGACAAUGAUGACACGACCGCCGACGAUGAGAUGGUCAUCGCUAAAGAAUCGGGCCGUGUAUUUUACAAUUUCUUGGUUUGUGACAACAAUGGAAAACUCCUGAAAAUUUUGAAUUUGUAGUCGAGCAAAGGAAGAAGCAAGUUAUCUUCAAAGCAUUUUCCAGUAAUAGCUGAUGAAAUUUAAUACUUCAAGCUGGCCCUUUGCUGUCACAACUAGAUGCAUUUGCACUGUCAUUACAAUUUAUGGAAAUUAAAGUAAUUAAUGGUUCUAAUUAAUAGCUUCCCAAAAAACCAAUCUGCCCUUGUGAGAACCAAAGCAUUAAUUUCUUGUAAGAGCUGCAGAAGGCCAGAGAAUUUCAGAUCGUGAAAAGGAGUGUGUGAGUGAGAGAGAGAUCGUGAAAUAGUGAGAGACAAUGAGAGAGAGAGCCGCUCGACUGAGAUGGUGAGAGAGUUGCAAAAAUGGAGUAAGGAGCAGAUAAGAUUAUGUUUUCUUUAUUAUUUUUUAUUAAUAUUUUAAUUUUUUUAAUUAAAAAAGGGCGAGAGAUUUUGGGAGUGAAACGGCAGCAUGUUCCAAUAAAUUUUUACCAAAGUUUCUCUCGUGUUUCUCUCACCUUUCUAGAUACCAAGCAUUUUCCAAUAAAUUUUUACUAAAAACUUAGCAAGCCCUUGAAACUUUGGUCAAAAUUAUUGUUAUUAUUACUUUUAGAGGAAAAACUUUUAUUAAAACCUCAUUAACACAAUUCUUAAUUAAAAUUAUAAGUUUGUGUUGGUGUAAGGAUUUGCAGGAGCAAUUACUGCCUAGCCAAGUGUCAAAAGCACAAAAUAAAUCAAGAGAAAGUAGACAUGAAUUAGGAUCCAAUGAAAUUUAAAUCCCGGAGAAAAGAAAUAAUCAUGCAGAUUAUCAAGAUUUCAAUAAGGGAUAUUGAUAUCCUAUUUUGAUUAAUAAUAUCCUUUUACUGUGUUAACUCAAAAAAUAUGUAUAUUCUAAUAUUUUACAAUAAAUAGAAAUCUAAUAUUAAAAUAAAUGUGAUAUAUAUAUAUAUAUAUUAAAUAAUUUAAAUAUAAAAAAUAUUUUAAUGUUUUACAAUCUACUACACAUAUUUUAUUAAGUUAAUAUAAUUUUUCAAAUAAAUAGGGACAUAAUAUUAAAAUAAAUUUAUAAAAAUUUAAAUUAUUUUGAAUUUAAAAUAAUUUUAAUAUUAUUAAUAUGUUAGAUAUGUUUGAUUAAUUAUAAAAAUUAUUUACGCAAAUUUUUUUAAUAUUUUCAGUAGAUAUAAAUAUAUUACUUACAUUUUGAUUAUUUAACUAUUAUUAUUCUACAAUUAUUUAUAUAAUGUUUGCACUUAUUAGAAUAUAUUUAAAGUCAAAUCUUUUGCACUUCUACCUAGCUAGAAUUAUUGGACGCAGAGAAAUAAGCAUAUAUGCUUUAUAACUUUAGAAAUCGAAUUAUCUAUACAAAUUGAUUUUAGCUGGAAAAAAAGUGAGCUGAAUGAUAUAGGCGAUUAGUGUGGUAAUAUUUCAUAGAGUUAGACUAUUGAAUUUGGCACCCCUCCAAUCUUCUCAUGAUUACCUUUUUGAGUUAUUAAUACACUUCUAAUUUUUCGUUUAAUUUUUUUUAUUGUUAUACUCAAAGUAGUAUUGUGAUAUUUUAUAUUUCUUUUGCAAUCUUAUUAUUAUUUUACACAAAAUUAAAAAGUUUUCUAGGUGAUGAACUUUUGAGUUUUGAACAUUAAUCAUUGGCUUAAAUUUCAUAUAUUUUACAUUAUAAUUUGAAAUUAAGUACGAAAAUAUUUAAUAAAUUAUGAAAAGAUUAACAGAUUAUUCUAAAUUGAUACAACUUAUUUUAGUUAAAUAAAAAGUAACAGGUAAAAAAAAAAAGGAUUGGUUAUGAAAUUUGUUGGAAAAAAAUCUGUGUGUGUUUAAUUUUUAUUUGUCCUUAAUUGUAAUUUAUUUGAAGUGAGGUUUUAUAAGGAUAAUGAAGGGGUGCCAUAGUUUCACUCUAUUUCAUAUGGAGAGAGAAGUAAAAGGUACACCUGAGGUUAAUGGAAAGGACUUCGAAAGUUUCUUUUGAUUAUAAUACUGUUUGUUCUAAUUAACUUAAAAAAUUUUACUUUAAUAUUUUAUAAUAAAUUAAAUUUUAAUCUUAAAAUAAGUAUAAUCAUAUAUUUUAAAAUAAUCUUAAAAUAAAUACAAUCAUAUAUUUUAAAAUAAUCUUAAAAUAAAUACAAUCAUAUAUUUUAAAAUAAUCUUAAAAUAAAUACAAUCAUAUAUUUUAAAAUAAUCUUUAUAUUUAAAAUUUAUUUAUUUGUACAUAUUUUAUAAUAAAUAUAACACAUACUAUUAAAAUAAUAUAUAAAAAAUUAAAGUAUUUUGAAUAUUAUAUAAAAUAACUUUAAGAUUCUUAAUAUGUAAGAUAUAUUUUAUUAAUUUAAAAUUCUAUUUAAAAUUUUAUUAAUUUAAAAUUCUAUUUAACCCAAAGAUUUAUUUAAGAUAAAUUAAUAAUCAUAUUUUUUAAAUCAUUUCAAAUAUUAAAAAAUAUUUUGAUAUUACUAGUCUAUUAAAUAGAUUAAAUAUUUUUAUUAUUUUGUACUAAUCAAAAGUUACAGCUCGAAUGAUAUUAUGAGAACAGAAUUUUUAUGUCUUUAUUAAAAAUUUGGGUUUGUAUAAUUAUUUUUUCAAAUGUUAGGGGCAUAGCUGUCUUUUUACUUUUAUAUAUGUGAACCGCGGUGGUGAAAAAGUGUGAUUUAAUAUUAGUUAUUUAAAUAAUAUCUGAAUUAAAGAUGUACAGAGAAGAAAUUUCGGUGGGCAUUUUAGUCUUUUAACGAUUAUCAUGAUUAGGGAUUAGGUCCUGCUCUUGAAACGUUGGUCAGAAAAGUUCUAAAAUGCGUACAUUAUCUUUACUUUAAAAAAGUUAUUUUAUUUUAUUACAAAUUAAUGCCGACAAGAAAAAGCAAGAUCUUAAANNNNNNNNNNNNNNNNNNNNNNNNNNNNNNNNNNNNNNNNNNNNNNNNNNNNNNNNNNNNNNNNNNNNNNNNNNNNNNNNNNNNNNNNNNNNNNNNNNNNAUAAAGAUGAAGAAAAGGGCAAAAAAAUAUUAAUGAUUAACGAAAUCUCUAUCCAAAUUGAUUUUAGCAGGAAAAAAGUGAGCUAAAUGAUGUAGACGAUUAGUGGUAAUAUUUCAUAGAGUUAGACUAUUGGCACCCUUCCAAUCUUCUCACGAAUCCUCUUUUUGAGUUAUAUUUAUUUUAUUUUUAAAAUAUCUUUUUUCUCUUUUACUACACUUCUAAUUUUUCAUUUAAUUUUUUUAUUGUUAAACUCAAAGUAGUAUUGUGAUAUUUUUAAUUUCUUUUGCAAUCUUAUUAUUACUCUGCAUAUAAAUUAAAAAGUUUUUUAGGUGAUGAAUUUUUGAAUGUUAAUCAUUAGCUUAAAUUUCACAUAUUUUACAUUACAAUUUGAAAUUUAAUAUGAAAAUAUUUAAUCAAUAAGAAUUAUGAAAAGAUUAAUAAAUUAUUCUAAAUUUAUACAACUUAUUUUAGUUAGAUCAGAAGUAGCAGGUUAACAAAAGAAAGGAUUGGUUAUGAAAUUUGUUGGAAAAAAAUCUAUGUGUGUUUAAUUUUUAUUCGUUGUUAACUCUAAUUAAGUAGGUUAAAUAUUUUUGUUAUUUUUUACUUAUCAAAAAAUUUAAGAUCAAUAUUUUUAGUUACCAUUCGAAGGAUAUUAUGACAAAAACAGAAUUUUCACUUCUUUGUUAAAAAUUUGGGGGUUUGUGUAACUAUUUUUUCAAAUGUUAGGGGCAUAUCUGUCUUUUUACUCUAUAUAUAUGAACCAUGGUGGUGAAAAAGCGUGAUUUAAUGUUAUUUAUUUAAAUAAUAUCUCAAUUAAAAAUGUAAGGAGAAGAAAUUUCGGUGGGCAUUUUAGUCUUUUAACGAUUAUCAUGGUUAGGCCCUGGUCUUGAAACGUUGGUCAGAAAAGUUCUAAAAUGCGUUCAUUUGUCUUUACGCCAACAAUAAAAAGCAAGAUCUUAGUGUCCCACAAAAGCAAAUCGUAAUAUUCCGCAAUGGAGUUAGAUCCGCAAAAGCAAACAAAUUCUUUUAUUAAACUACAAAUUAAAGUGGAAUCAUUUACUAAACAACAAAUUAAAUUUGAAAUAUUUAAAUAGUCGUGCGUUAGACGAUUAGAGACUCUUAUUAAAGGCAAGUACAAAGUAGUGAAGAAUCGAAUAUUUCUAUUGUCUAGUCUUUUUUUAAAAAAAAUUUUCUUUUAUUAUUUUUCAGAAUAUGUUUUGGUGAUUACUAUUGGGUUAUUAUUCAGAGUUAUUGUUAUCUUCCGGGGCAGUUUCUGUUCAUCGAAUUCGUUAAUAAAAUUUUAAAACUCUUAUUGAAAGAAUGUUUUUCCGUUAUCUUUUUUAUAAUCUAAUUUUAAGUGUAAGAAGUAGUCAUUUUAGAAUUUGGGUCUUGAAUCGAAUUUCAAUGCAUGAAUUAAUAUUUAAAAAAAAUUUACUACAUGCAGUUUAGGUUACAAACUAUUUUUUGCAAAGUUGACUAUGAAAUUGGAGAAAUUAAGUAAUUUAUAAUGUUUGCAAAGAAAGAGACCAACAUACUUCCAAUUACACUAUAUCUCAAUUAUCAUAAUGUUAAGAUUAAACUAACUUAAAAUAAAAUUUAUUUAAAAAGUUUAUCAAACGCAGUCUAAUUUUAUUAACUUGAAGAGAUAAUAGUUAUAGAAAUUAUUAUUCUAACUUAAUUAGUAAAAGUGGUAUAAAGGUUAAGUGUGCACUAAAUCUAUUUAAAUUUUUUUCCAGUAUAACUAACAGAGGUCAUUACUAGAAUUAUAUUACUAGUCUAUUAGAUAGAAAAAAUUAUUUAUAUUGUUUUAUAUUUAUUAAAAAAAUUUAAAGUCAAUCUUUUUAAUUACUAUUUAAAGGAUAUUAUAAUUAAAAAAAUUUUAAUGUCUUCAUUAAAAAUUUAAAAUUUUAUAUGACCGUUAUCUAAAUAUUUAAAGUGUAACUGUCAUUUUCUCAUAUAUAUAUAUAAUUUCAUCAACCCCUUAUACUUUAUGUUAUUUAUAUUUUAUUCAUGAAUAUUAUAAAUUUUUUGAAAUAUAAAAUUUCGUUUAACCCUUUAUACUCAAUUUUAUUUUAUUAAAACCCUAGAGUAUGAAUUCGUCCCUAUAAUAUUAAAUUCUCAAAAUAACUUCCAUUUAAUUAAAAAAUAUAAUUAUUAUUAAAUGAAUUAUAAUUAUUAUUAUUAUGUUAUUAUAAUCAUAAAAAGCGAGAUCAUAUUCCACAAAAGCAUAAGUGACAAAACAACCAACUGGAUUCUUUUAUUAAUCAACAAAUUGUAUAGUCUUUUUCAAAUUGUUAUAAAUUGGUGGCCCCUACAAUCCUCAAUAAUUGUACCGAAAUUCACAAGUUGGUGGGCCCUACAAUUCUGUUCCGAUAAUUUAACUGUGCAAGUGCUCAUUCACAAUCUUCCAGGUCAUGCUCUUAACAAUUGUUUUUUCUUUUCUGCACGCCCUUUCAUGCUCUUAAUAAUUGAAGAGCAUACUUUUCAAAUGUGAAGCCGCAUCUAAUGUCGCUAAUUUAAUUUGGGAUUAAAUUACGGGACUAUUAUAUUGCAGUGUGCACUAAUUUUUAUGUUUAUCUAAACUCUUCAAAUUUAAAACAUAUUAUGGCAUAAAUAAGAAUGUAACAAUAACAAAAGAGUAAGAAAGUGUAGAGAAAAUCUUGCAGAAAUAUAAAUAAUAUUUAUUUUUAAAAUAAUAUUAAUAUUUAAAAUAAUUUUUAAUAUUUUAUGGUCCAUUAGAUAUAUUUUAUUAUAUUAAAAUAAAUUUUAUAAUAAAUAAAAACAUACUAUUAAAAUGAAUAUAUAUAGAAAAUUUAGAGUAUUUUAAGUAUUAUAUAAAAUAAUUUUAAUAAAAUAUGUGAGAUAUUCAUAUUUUAUUAAUUUAAGAUACCAUUUAACCUAAAGAUUUAUUUAUGAUAAAUUAAUAAUUAUAUUUUUGAAAUUACUUCAAAUAUUAAAAAAAUUAAUAUUACUAAUAUAUUAGAUAGAUUAAAUUAUAUAUAUUAUUUUUACUUAUUAAAAAAAUUUUAAAAUUAUUUUUAAUUACUAUUCAAAAAACGUAUUCAAAAAACAUAAUGAUAAAAAAAUCUUAACAUCUUUAUUAAAAAAUUAAAAACUUAUAUGAUAAAUUCUCUAAAUAUUUACGGUAUAUGUGAACCACGGUGGAUAAGCUUUAUUUAAUAUUAUUGAUUUAAAUAAUAUGUCAAUUAAAAAUGUACAGAGAAGAAAUUUCGGUGGGUAUUUUAGUCUUUUAAGCAAUUAUCAUGAUCAGAUCAGCCUUUAGCCUUCAAACGUCGGUCAGAAAAGUUUUAAAAUUAAUGCUAAAUUGUUUUUCACUUUUAACGUUGGUGGCCUUGAAAUUGCUUGUAUUUUAUUAAAAAUUAAUGCUAACAAGAAAAAGCUAGGUCAUAUUCCACAAAAUCAAAAGUGACAAAACAACCAGCUGGUUUCUUUUACUAAACUACAAAUUAAAAUAAAUUUUUUCGAUAAAUUACAAAUUAAAGUGGAUUCUUUUGAAUACAAAUGGGACAGACGAUUAGGCUCUUUUUAUUAGAGGCAAGUAAAAACUAGUCAAGAAUCGAACAGUCUUUUUCCAAUUCUUGUUUUAUUAUUUUUCAAAACUAGUUUUUGGUAAUUACAACCGGGUCAUUAAUCAUUAUUCAGAGUUAUCUUCCGGGGCAGUUUCUGUUCAUCGAAUUCGUUAAUAAAAUGUUAAAACUCUUAUUGAAAGAAUGUUUUUCCGUUAUCUUUUUUAUAAUCUAAUUUUAAGUGUAAGAAGUAGUCAUUUUAGAAUUUGGGUCUUGAAUCGAAUUUCAAUGCAUGAAUUAAUAUUUAAAAAAAAUUUACUACAUGCAGUUUAGGUUACAAACUAUUUUUUGCAAAGUUGACUAUGAAAUUGGAGAAAUUAAGUAAUUUAUAAUGUUUGCAAAGAAAGAGACCAACAUACUUCCAAUUACACUAUAUCUCAAUUAUCAUAAUGUUAAGAUUAAACUAACUUAAAAUAAAAUUUAUUUAAAAAGUUUAUCAAACGCAGUCUAAUUUUAUUAACUUGAAGAGAUAAUAGUUAUAGAAAUUAUUAUUCUAACUUAAUUAGUAAAAGUGGUAUAAAGGUUAAGUGUGCACUAAAUCUAUUUAAAUUUUUUUCCAGUAUAACUAACAGAGGUCAUUACUAGAAUUAUAUUACUAGUCUAUUAGAUAGAAAAAAUUAUUUAUAUUGUUUUAUAUUUAUUAAAAAAAUUUAAAGUCAAUCUUUUUAAUUACUAUUAAAGGAUAUUAUAAUUAAAAAAANNNNNNNNNNNNNNNNNNNNNNNNNNNNNNNNNNNNNNNNNNNNNNNNNNNNNNNNNNNNNNNNNNNNNNNNNNNNNNNNNNNNNNNNNNNNNNNNNNNNNNNNNNNNNNNNNNNNNNNNNNNNNNNNNNNNNNNNNNNNNNNNNNNNNNNNNNNNNNNNNNNNNNNNNNNNNNNNNNNNNNNNNNNNNNNNNNNNNNNNNNNNNNNNNNNNNNNNNNNNNNNNNNNNNNNNNNNNNNNNNNNNNNNNNNNNNNNNNNNNNNNNNNNNNNNNNNNNNNNNNNNNNNNNNNNNNNNNNNNNNNNNNNNNNNNNNNNNNNNNNNNNNNNNNNNNNNNNNNNNNNNNNNNNNNNNNNNNNNNNNNNNNNNNNNNNNNNNNNNNNNNNNNNNNNNNNNNNNNNNNNNNNNNNNNNNNNNNNNNNNNNNNNNNNNNNNNNNNNNNNNNNNNNNAUUGUGGGCACUCUUGUUCGUGCAUGUUUGCUAGAAGAGAUGGAAGAUGAUAAAGUAAAAAUGCAUGACGUUGUUCGUGAUAUGGCUUUAUGGAUAGCUUGUGAAAUUGAGAAGGAGAAGAGAAACUUUUUGGUUUGUGCAGGUGCUCGAUUAGAAGAGGCACCGGGUGUUAAAGAAUGGGAAAAUGUGAGAAGAUUGUCAUUGAUGCAAAACCAAAUUGAAACUGUGUCAGAGAUUCCCGCAUGCCCUCAUCUCCAUACUCUAUUUCUUGCCUCUAAUAGGAAUUUCAGGAUGAUCACGGAUGGCUUCUUUCAAUUUAUGCCUUCUCUCAAAGUUUUGAAGAUGUCACGCUGUGGGCAAUUCGAAGGUUUUCAAUUACCUGUUGGGAUGUCAGAGUUGGGUUCAUCACUAGAACUUCUUGAUAUUUCACAUACCACCAUAAGAGAGUUACCCGAAGAGUUAAAGUUGCUGGUAAAUCUGAAAUGUUUGAAUUUGAGGUGGACAGGUGCGUUAAUUAGAAUUCCACGGGGACUAAUAUCAAAAUUUUCAAGGUUACGUGUGUUGAGAAUGUUGGGUACUGGCGGGUUCAUUUUUUAUGAAGCACCAGAAGACAGCGUUUUAUUUGGUGGGGGUGAAGUUUUGAUACAGGAAUUGCUCGGUUUGAAAUAUUUAGAGGUAUUGGAGUUGACCUUGGGAAGUUAUCAUGCUCUCCAAAUUCUUUUGAGCUCAAAUAAGUUAAAAAGUUGUAUUCGAUCUCUUUACCUCUAUUUGACCGGAGAUAAAAAGUCGAUUAUUGAUGCUACGGCUUUCACAGACCUAAACCACCUCAAUGAAUUAUGGAUUGAUAAUGGAAUUGAGUUGGAAGAAUUGAAGAUUGAUUAUACGGAGAUAGUACGAAAAAGGCGGGAACCUUUUGUUUUCCACAGCCUUCACCUUGUUACGAUAUAUAGUUGCCAUAAAUUGAAAGAUUCGACAUUCCUCGCUUUUGCUCCAAACCUCAAGUCUCUUUCGCUAUUCAAAUGCCGUGCUAUGGAAGAAAUAAUCAGCGUCGGAAAAAUUGCUGAGAAUCCUGAGAUGAUGGGACAUAUAAGCCCUUUUGAAAAUCUCAAAAGUCUUGAUCUAUCAUAUUUGCCGGAGUUGAAGAGCAUUUUCUGGAAGCCAUUGCCUUUCACUCAUCUCAAAGAAAUGGGGGUAAGAGCAUGUGAUCAGCUUAGAAAGCUUCCACUCGAUUCCAACAGUGCAAAAGAGCGUAAAUUUGUAAUUCGUGGAGAAGAAGACUGGUGGAACCGACUUCAAUGGGAGGAUGAAGCCACUCAAAUUGCUUUUCGUUCCUGUUUCCAACCUGAUUCCUGAGCGGUGGUCGCAAAAUUUGAUUUCUGGUGAGUGCGUUUGUCUUUUAAAAGAAGAAUUUAAAAGAAAUUUAUUCUUGACGUUUUCUUCACUGUUUUUAUUUCAGUCUCUCUCUCUCUCUUUUUGUCUUCUGCUAAUCACAAUUAAAUGUUGAAUUAAUGGAAUUAAUGCUUCAUAAAUUUGCCGGCACUGCCAUUACUUUUUUUUUUUUUAAUACAAAUUGAUACUUUAUUUAUAUCUUCUUAGCGAUUUAAUUUCCUGUCAAUUGACGAACGAGAAGAACAUAUGACUUGAACCAAUGCUCGCAUAAACUUGCUGUAAAAAGAUAUAAUCUCACUGAAAUGCACACGCCUAGAAUGAAUAGAAUUAAAACAGGGAAAAUAUUAAGUAUAUUAGCCCUCUUUACCGAAAAUCAAAUGACAAUAAAUUUUUUGAAGUUUUGAUUUUCUAUGGUCAAUUCCACCUUUUGCAAUUUCUUCUGUUCUAACAAAAACCAAUUUCUUUGUUCAAGUAUUUUCGUUUGGGUAUUAAUAAUUCUCCACCGAAAGAGUGAACUCUUGCUCAAGGGAUCUCUAAUCAAUAGCCGGAAGGGCGCCGAGACCUGAUCGGACCUAGGCCCAAGUUUGGUCUUAAAGCCUGGGCUUGAGCCUGGCAAUUAAAUUAAAACAGUAAUUGAUUUCUUGAAUGAAUUGUCGUGUAAUUGAUUUAUGGGGGAUGACACAUCAACAUACUUGAAAAUACACUAAUCUCAGCAUCAUCCGUUAAUAACUUUUAGAUUUAUGGGCAAUCAAUAGUUAAAUUAGUUGUCAUUAAUACUAAAUAAUUUUUACUUUUUUUGUCUCUUCUAGAGGAUCUUCUAGAAAAAUGCAUCCACAAUUAAAUUUAAUACUUUACAUAAUAAAGAAAGCAUAAAUGUUAAAUUUAAGAAACUGCAUUGUAUUUCAGCUGAAGUUGACUUUAAUAUUUAGGGUAGAAAAAAAUUAAAUCCUUAAUGUGUUUAAUUUCUAUCACUUGUGUCAUUAAAAUUUUCUAGUCACCCUAACCAAUUACAUCUCAACCCACUUUUUUUUGGAUGAUUUUAUUUUUACACUAUUAUUUUCAACAUUUUUUUUUCCUUUUAACACCAACAUUAGUGUAUGUUACGUAACAUAAUCCAUAUUUGGAUAAUUUGAAAUUUGUUUGUGUUUUAUCUCAAAAUAGAGCUUCAAUCAAUUUGUACCUCAUAAAUUCACAAUAUCUGGCAUAUUGUCAAAUGUGCUUAUCCUUUUGCUUGACAUGUCAUUUUAAAAUUGUCAUUCAAUGUCAAAAAAUCACAUCAACUAAUGGCCGACUACUUUAAUUUGAAAGCAUGCGUGCGAUCGCCAAUAAUUAUAACUUAAUUGUUAUAUUGAAAUUUUUUUCUUUAUAAUUUAAGUUUAAUACUGCUACAUGUGUGGCACAUAAGUUGGAAAAUAUAACAUAAAAUUUGAAAAAUGUGUAGUUUUCGUUCCUUUUUUUUCUAAAAAAAUGGGAAAAAAGAAUGUAAUUUUGUUUAAAUUACUGUUGUCAUAACAAUUAUUAUUUUAUUGAUUAAUUGGCAGAGAAUCGUAAUGGUUUCGCAUGGUUGUUAAAACAUUGGAAAGUCCACUACAUCAUCGGUUAAUAACUUUCAGAUUUAUGGUUAAUUAAUAGCUGAGAUUUAUUAUCAUUAAUGCUAAAUAUUUUUUCUCUCUCCUGGAGGAUCAUCCACAGGCAGGUGCUUCCUGACGAUGACAAAAUUUUGGGCAGGCAGGUGCUUCCUGACUUUCACACGGUAAUUCUCAAAUUCUGAUUUCACCAUAUUUUAAUUACUGAUUAGCAUAUAUUCAAGUGCUCUCCAUUAUAAUGGAAGCCGCCGCCUCACUCGUAAUUCCAAACUUUAUCUUUUUUUCCUUUUUUAAAUUAAUGCAAGUAGCCGCUGUCCUUUCUAUUAAUUAAUUAAUUCGGCCGCCCACAUUUCUUUUCCUAAUGUCUUCUACUGUCGAGUUUAUUUUAUUUUCUCUUUAUUAUUAAAAUAUACUUAUAAUAAUAAAAAAAUAAAAAUUAACAUAUCAAAAUAUAAUUUAACAGAAAAUUAAGAUAAAAAAUUAAAAAUAAAUAAAUUAUGAGCAUAUCAAUCAAUAAAUGAAAAAUAAUAAUUUUUAUUUUUAUUAAAUAUAAAUUUUUCAGUAUUAAUCAAUUAUCUGAAUAAAUAAAAUCAUUUAAAAAUAAAUAAAUAAAUUAUUCUUAAAAAAAAAAAAAAAACUUUUUAUAACACUCACUAUGCUGGUUGUAGGGUUGACGCUUUGGGUACUGAAGCUAGUAACUUCUACAAGUAGUCUUAAGUUGACUGGCAACAACUAUAUUGGCAUUUAGAAAUAAUGUACUGCAACCAUAUUGGCAUGUUCAAAUGUUCUUAUUAUUGUAUUGGUGUGUCAAUAUUAUCUCUAACGGUUUUAUAAAUAAAAAAAUAAUCUAAAUUUAUAAUUUAACAUAAAAUAAAAUAAUUGGUAGAAAAACAAUUAUGGUUCAUUUACUUAUCAGUAAUCAGAAUAGACUGAAAUCGAAAUGAGUUGUAUUACUGUUGAUGUGUUUAUGUUGUACUCGAAUCGAAAUGAAUUAUUUUAAAUUACUAAAAUAUCCUUGGUCUGUUAUUCUAAUUAUUAUUAUUAUUUAAUAUUUAUUAUAAUAUUUUUCAUAUCAUUAAAAAAAAAUAAUAAUGAUGAUAAUAUUCUCAUUAUUGUUUGUUACAUUAUUAUUAUUCAAAAAAAUUAUUGUUAAUAACAAUAAUUACUUUAUUUCAAUAAUAAUAAUGAUAAAAUUAAUAAUAAUAAACAUGACAACAACAAUAAUUAUUUAUUAUGCCAAAAAAUAACAAUAAUAAUAAGAAUAAUAAUCAUCAUCAUUUUUUUGCCAAAGAAGCAUUAUCAUCAUCAUUUCAAAAAAAAAAUCAUCAUCAUCAUCAUCAUUUUUGUAGUGGCUACCUAUCGGCUGCUGCUUUCAUGUGAGAUUGACUUGCGACGCUUCAACGGCUAUUAUUUCUGACAAUGUCAGGUGUUGCUAUUUCAAUUUAGGAAGAAGUUGUUUCGGUGUGCUAGCGAUGGGAGAUGUUGUGGCUGCGAUUCGGGGAGCUACUAGUUUAUUGCACUAAUAACGGCAGGUGCUGUUGCUUGAUGCGAGGUCCAUGGCCAGUUGUCAGCAGUUCGACUUUGGUAUGGGUGCUGCUGGUUCGAUUUUAGGUGUUGUCCAAUUUCAUUUUCAGGAUUUUAAUUUUAUUUUUCUUUUAUAUUUUCAUUAAUUAAUCAGGGUAAAAUUGGAUUUUAGAAUUUAGAAUGAAGGUAAUUUUGUUAAUAAUGGAAAUGAGAUUCUGAUUGUCGAGAAUGAGCUUACACAAACAACUAUAAAUUAAGUGAAAACAAAACACUUUUUCUCUUUGUGUGAUUAAAACAUGAUAUGUACCAUAAAUAAAUAAGUAAAAAAUAAAUCAACACAAUCUAAAACAGUAAACAAAUUACAAGAGGCACAGAUUUUUAUGUGAAACACCGAAAAUGGAAAAAACCACAGCAUCUUAGUUUGAUAUAAUCUUCUACUAUAUUAAUGGGAUUAUAGCACAAAUUCUUUCCUAUAUAACACUAGAGAUUAACAACAUCAAGAAUCUCAAUAAUCUUGACUUACAAUACAGCCUAAUAUUUGUCUCUCUAAUAAGUAGAUAUCUAAAAUAACAGUCUCUAAUAAGUAUGUAUCUAAAAUAAUAGUCAACAAGAGGAUAAAACAAAAAUUAAGAUUAGUAGGAUGUGUAUAAGGUGAUGCUAUCAAUUUAUCUUCUAAAUUUGAGAAAAAUAGUUAAAUUCACUUUUUCGAUUGUCCGACCAAAAAUGGAAACCCUUGCCCCAAAACCAAAGGAAUCACCAUUAUGUUUUUCUCUCUCUCUCUCUCUAUCUCGUUCUUUUCUUCUUCUUUUCUUAAUGUUAGCCAUCACUUGCUUUUAUUCUUUAUAGCAUUCAAAAAGCUACUUUUAAUGGUAAAUUUCAUUUAAGUCUGCAACUUAGUGAUAAUUGCACACCAAACAAUCCUUACAUAGUGUUUUGGGCCCUCAAAUGAGAUGAAUACAACAAAUCUCCCCCUUUAAAUCAUGUGGGGGGCACCGCAAGCCCGCUAUUUGCAUAUAGCUUUUCAGCUUCUCCUUGAAUAAUGACUUUGUCAUCAUACAUAAUCCAUUCUUCGUUGUGUAAAUCUUCUCAAGCUGUAACUGUUCCUUCUCAAGCUGUAAUUAUUCCUUCUCAAGCACGUCUCGUAUCUAAUGAUACCUUACAUCAAUAUGCUUAGAUUUCGAAUAGUAUAACAGCACUCUGACUAUCGUAGUACAUAACAUAGCUGUCUUGUUUUACACCCAGCUCUUGUAGGAAAUUCUUCGUCCACAAUAUUUUUUUGCAACCUUCAAUAAUUGUAAUAUCAUUUGCUUUAGUGGUAGAAAAGGCAACUUAUUACUAAAGUUUAGAUUGCGAUGAGACUGUUCCCCCUGCAAAAGUGAGCAAACAUCCUAGUAGGAAUUUUUCGGAAUCAACAGCUCCUGCCAUAUCUACACACUUGUAACACAGGUUUGUCACCACCAAAAUAUAAACAUGCUCUGGAAAUGCAUCUAAGAUAUCUGAGAAUUUUUCACUGUUGUCCAGUGCUCUUUACCGAGGUUGAAGAGAAACCACUGACUACACUAACUGUAUAGGCAAUAUUUGGUCUUGUACAAAUUAUGGCGUACAAUAAACUGCCAACUGCUGAAGCAUAAGGAACUCCUCUCAUGGAGAAAUGGGUUUUACUCUUGAGAUUUUUGGGACCAUGAAGAAUAAAGAUGUAAUUUCUUAUACUGCCAUUGUUUCGGGAUAUAUAAAUAGAGAACAAGUCGAUAUAGCUCGACAGUGUUUUGAUCAGAUGCCAGAACGAGAUUAUGUCUUAUGGACUACCAUGAUUGAUGGGUACCUUCGAGUGAAUAGGUUCAGAGAGGCUUUGACACUUUUUCAGGAGAUACAAACUUCAAAUAUAAUGGGAGACGAGUUUACCAUUGUUAGCAUUCUUACAGCUCGUGCGAAUCUGGGGGCACUAGAACUGGGAGAAUGGAUAAAGACUUAUAUUGACAAAAACAAAGUCAAGAAUGAUAUAUUUGCGGGGAAUGCUUUGAUAGACAUGUACUGUAAAUGUACUGUAAAUGCGGAGAUGUUGAGAAAGCUCAAAAGGUAUUCAGGAAGAUGCUUUGAAAGGUCAAAUUCACAUGGACGACCAUGAUUGUUGGCCUUGCCAUCAGUGGAAAUGGUGAUAAAGCUCUUGAUAUGUUUUCCCAAAUGCUCAGGGCUUCGAUCAAACCAGAUGAGGUAGCUUAUGUUGGUGUUCUGUCUGCCCGUACUCACAAUGGUAACGAAACUUUUGUGAUAAAUAGUUGCAACUUAAGGUGAGAACUGGAGGAAGGGAAAUAGAUUGAAGUUGUUCAAUCAUCAGUAGUUGCUACUUGGUUUUAAGUUGUUCAAUCAUCGGUCGUCUCUAUUUGGUUUUCUCCAAUAUCUCAUCUUCAAUUUUGACUCAGAUUGUAUCUUACCACUAGUAAUUACAUAGACUUGCUGCCAAAGGUAAGAAUGGGAAUAAAUUAAAUAGAUUAUGUCGAAAACGAAAUAAAUUUACUAUUGUUCUGUUCAUUCUAUUUGUUUCCUACAAAAUAUUUCUCCUGCCUAAAAUUUUUUGAAUCAGUAAGUUUUUACCUUAUGGAUGAAUUGUGUUGAGAGUAAUUCCAUUUCUCAGUCUCUUUAUGUUUCAAUGAAGACGUAAAACUUGUGUUCUAGUGCACCAACGUUUAUGCUUCUUACAAUUUGACUUUAAUUUACUUUGUAAAAUUUUUGUCAAAAAGUACUAAAAAGUAGUGCACCAAACACCAACUUUAUUACAGAGAGGACUUUAGUUAAAUUUUAAGAAAACACUCAAAAGAAAGAGUUGUAAAUUAUUAUAAAAAUAUUUCACAUAAAUAAAAGCCAUCCCAUGCUGCAAAGAUCUUGCUAUAAUCACCAAAAACUAUCGGGAGCUUUUAGGGUUUCCAUAAAAAUGCCAUUUCGUUCCAUGUAUAUGAUUCUAUAGUCUCACUGGCAAGUAAACCACAGCCCAACAGCACUGACUGUCCAUGAUGAUUCACCCCAAUGAACGAAACCAGCGUUGCAUCAUAUCUUUCUGUCAAGCAUGUAAUAUCAAUUGAUUUGAGCUAUUAACAUCAUUUCCAAAUACUCCAUUGGCAUCUACAUUACCAUUUCCCUCGGCAUCAAUGAUAAGAGUUCGAAACAGUCUAAUCUUUUGAACUUCUUCAGCACCAUCUAAGAGCAAUGUUCUUUUGGUUCCAAUACCCAUGUGCUUAUGAUAUUUGUAAAAUAAUUAUUUGUAAAAUAAUUAGUUCAAUUUUGACAUAAUACGGAAUAAACACAACCUGCCAAUCUAAGUUACUAUCUUUUCCCGUCAUCAGGUACCUGUUUGAAAAAUAAUUAUAUACAAUUUUAUUUGCGUCGUCCCUCUAAAAAUUUGGGACUCAAAUGUUAUUUCUAAUUGCUAAAAGUACGAAAUUGCCCCCUUUCUCUUCAGCUAAAGGAGUGCAAAGUCAUCUGUAUAAUUGAAUCUGCAUCAUCAGUUUCUAUUGCUGGCUGGUGUUACUGCAUGCUUACAGUUGCUUGACAAAGUGAGCCAGUUUUUUGUUUAUUAAUUUUUUUUCUUGUCGAGACAGUCACAAAGUAUUACUUGUUCUAUUUGAGAAUGAUGUGAAUCAAUUUUUCAAUUAUGCAUUCUGUGGUAAUUAUUGUGAAUUUAGUUUCAUUUGUCUUGUCUCCUGCAAAUUUUGAAGAAAAUGCAGACAUACAAAUUUACAAUAUGUAUUUGCGUUAGUAUAAAAACAAUUGUUAGAUGAUUAAAGCGAUUUAUUUUUUUUUUUACAGCAUUUGAUUGUAUUAGUUAAAAUCAUUUUUUAAGGAUAAAAAUAAAUAGAAAAUUAUUCUCAUGUAGUGUGGAAAUCUUUUCUAAUUUCUUGUUGACUUGUACAUUUAUUUCAGAAUUUCCAUUCAUUAAUUCUACUGUUUUAAUCUUUGACUUAGCUACCGUAGUUGACUUUUUAUAUCAAAGGCUUAAACAGCAUGCAUUUUUGAAUUGACUGAGAAUAAUUUGGUGGACAAAUUACUAGUAAAGGACUUCAAAUGGUUGAAUUGACUGUGGGUUUUUCAUGCCCAAGUCACUCGUCACGUCGUUUCAUCGAAACAAAGUGCCCGGUGCAAAUGGUGUGAUGUAAAACACCUUUUUAAAUUGUCAUUUUUUUUCCUUUGCUUUUGCUUUAAUUUUCUAAAUGCUCAACGCCAUAAAUCCAUGUAUUCUUAAUUUUCGUUUGCUGUAUUGAUUCCCAACCCUCUAUGUCACAAGGUUUUGAAUGCCAGUAAUUAAGUUAAAUUAAACAUAUUUUAAGUCCUACUUUAAAUUAUUGAAAAAUGUAUUAUGGUUGAACUGAAUUUUAACUAAAAAAUAUAUACAAAAUAAAAGAUUAAUCAUAUCUUUUUAUGAGGAAGGUCAGUCAUCAUUCUGACCACAGACACUUAAAAUUAAUUGAGUGGAAUAUUGCAAAAUAUAUAUAAACCAUGCCAAAACUAGAUGUUUGAGUAAUGAAAACGAGAAUUCAUAUGACUCAGAAAUAUGGUCGCUUUCCUUUUUCUGAAAGGCAAAAAAAAAGGGGGAACCAAAAAGGACCAAAAUGAACAAAAAUGGAAGGCGAAGGUAAGCAGACAUGUUAUAUGUUUUACCUAAGAUGCCAAAUGCAACUCCCCAUUGAUGGUGAUCGAACAUUAUGGCCAUUUUCUUAGUAAACAAAAAAUGAAUUUUGAACACUCAACAACGAAACUUGAGCAGAAGAUCAAGCAAGGGCCUCGAUCUCAAAGAAGAUACUAUGAAACCCUACUUAAUGGUUAAAUAACUUUCAUUCAGCUUUGGACCCUAUUUCGUGAUACGGAAAGACAAACCUUUCUUGGCCGGCAGUGUCCCAGAUCUGGGCUUUGAUGAUCUAGAGGUUGAUGGUGACAGUUCUGGUUUGGAACUCGACGCCAAUGGUUUAUUUCGAUUCAAAGCAAAACUCAUUCUUGGUGAAUCUCGAAAGAAUCUGAGACUUGCCCACGGCCGAGUCACCGAUCACCACUACCUUGAAUACAUAGUCUAUUUUGUCAGGAAUCAUAUUCUCUCGUUGUUGAUGACGAUGAUCGGUGCCAUCACCACUCAUUUCUUCGUUCAUUCAUUCUAUGUCCAUUGAUCUUUUUGAAUUAUUGAAGACAAGUGGCUCACCGCUUUUAGUAUUGGUAAAAUUCAGAUAAUCUCUAUUCCGAAAUAAUAAUAUUAAAAAUAUCUCUUAAAUCAUUAUAAACUUCAAAUCUAUUUUAAUUUUAUUUAAAAGAUAAAAGAAAAAUAAGUUAUGUUGGUGAUUUUUUAUUAUCUUUUUAAUAAAAAUAGAAUAAAUUGAUGUUUAUAAUUAUUUAAAGUAUUUUAAAGAUUGCUAUUUUAUGAGAGAAUAAUAUUUCAUUUUUUUUUUCGUGUGAAAGACCGAAAAAGGACAAAGCAAGUUUCCCUAAUUUUUAUUUUAUGUGAAAUUGGUCAUCUCAUAUACUUUACCCUUCAACACUCUAAUUUUUUUGGUUAUAAUUUUAUUAUUUUUUCUCUUUUACACAUGCAUGUGAAUUACUUUUCUUUAAGCUCCUGAAUAUUUAAGACAAAUCAUGGAAGAGAUGAGAGUAUAACAAGAUGAUCAAAAUAUGUAACAAAAAAAUUUUAGAAGUGAAAAAUAUGUUAGAGUCGAAGUAAAACUCUGAGGUGAUGUUUGAUUUGAAGAAAAUGGAGGAGAGAAAAAGAGUGGAAUGGAGAGGAAAAGAGAGAAAAGGAGAGGAGAGGAGAGGAGAGUGAACUUUUUUUCUAAUGUUUGGUUUGUCACAUAAAUAUACAAAGAAAGGAAAUCUCCAAUUUUUUAUUUAGACAAUUUUAACCUUAAUAAGUAUUAAGCUUUCAAUAUUUAUCAUGUGUAUAAUUUAAAAAAAGUAAAUGGUAGAAAGCGGUUUCUGAUUCCGGCCACAUCGCCGGCAAUGGAAGGUACUUAUCAGAACAUCAAGAACCGGCCAUCAUUCCCUAGCCAUCACUGCUGUAGGAACACUGCUAAAAAGCUGCCGAUUGAACCGCGAAAAGUCGUGGAAAUCGUUGCCUCAAAUCGGUGAGUUUCGCCUUUUUCUGGUCAUGCCGUCGCCUUGGCUUUGUCCAUCAACGCUGCCACUUCCAUUUCAACCAUCCAUAGCCACUAUUAACCGCCAAAUCGCCGCCGAUCAGCGGGAUCUGUGGAAGUUAAAAAGUUUCUAAAAUUUUUUAAUUGGAUUUGAACAACAUACAACCAUUUUUUGAUCUCAAUAACGACAUAGUAAUGUUGAUCGUUGGUCGGCAAGUCGAAUGGUAGUGGCGGUGAGUAACACGCGCCAAUGACAUCGGCGGCGGCGGCGGCACUAUCCGGCUACUGUUAAAAUUAAUAUUUUAUAUUUGUAGAUUAAAUAAAUUUAUUUUAUUAAACUUUUUAAAUCAUUAUUUAAAUUUAAUUAAUUUAAAAUUAUCUAUGAUGUUGAAUUGAUAAAAUAAAUUUAUAAAUAAUAAUUAUGUGAUUACAUUAAAUAAGUUAAAAAGUUGAAGGGUUAUUUUUGGAAGAUUUAGUUUCCAACACAAAGGGAAUUUGAAUUCUUCACUUCUUAGUGUGGAAUUCAAAUUCUAUAUUGUAAUGGAUAUUAAAUUCCAAUAGAAAUUAAAUUCUUAUAAGUUAUGUCAAACCAAACAACGGAAAUAAAAAAAAAGAAUUUAAAUUACUUUCCUUUCCUCCACCCUCUCCUUCCAACCAAAUACAUCCUGAAAAUAGAGAUAUUGAUUAAUUUAGAAGAGAUGCAAGCAAAAGAUAUUCCACAAAAAAAAAAAAGCAAUAUGUCCCUUUGGAGGGCAAACUUGUCAGUUUUAAAAAAGUACAUGCUUUGGAUUGAUAGUUGUAGGAUAUUUGUUUUGUCACUAUGUGUUAGUUGGAGAAGUCAAGCCUUGUGAAGAAUGUUAUGAAAGAGCAAAGGAUAUUCCUGAUAGCUGAUAGAGCUCUAUUUGAUUAUGUAUCCAAUGAAUGGAUGUGUUGUUGGAAGAUAUUUGAGUGCAUUAGUUCAUAUGUGUCUAUCAAUGUGAUUUUAAUGAUUUUUCCACUUGUUUGUUGUAAAAGAUUAUUGUAAAUUGAAAUGAACUUGAUGUUGUAAUAUUUUCUCCUUAGUAGAAUUUCACCUAGUAUGUAUUUAGUUGUGUUGUCUAUAAUUUUGCAUUCGAAUAAGUUUCACCUAAAAUAUUAGCAUGAGUAGUGGCCCUUGAAACUUUGGUCAAAAUUAUUGUUAUUAUUUCCGACUAGAUGUAAAUUUUUUAUUAAAUCUCGCUAACACAAUUCUUAAUUAAAAGUAUAGGUUAGUGUUGGUGCAAGACUUGCCACACCAAAUUCUGCCUAACUGUCAAAAGUGCAAAAUAAAUGAAGAGAAAGCACAAAUACACGACUUGAAUAAGGAUACAACGAAACUUAAAUUCAAGAGAAAAUGAUAGCUAUAUCUCAAGAUUUGAAAAAACGGUCAUGUAGAUUUUUAAGAUUUCAAUAAGCGACUGAGAUUCAAAUAAUAUCCUUUAAUUCUAUUAACAAAAAACAAAGACUCAAAUAUUUUAUGAUAAAUAAAAAUAUAAUAUUAAAAUAUAUGUGAUAAUAUACACAUUUUAAAUACUUUCAAUCCAAAAAAAUAGUUAUGUUUUACAAUCUAUUAGACAUAUUUUAUUAAAUUAAUAUAAAUUUUCUAUAAAAUAAGAAUAUAAUAUUAAAAUAAAUUCACAAAAAUUUAAAGAAUUUUGAAUGUAAAAUAAUUUUAAUAUAUCAAUACGUGAGUUUUUUUAUUAAUAUAAAAUUUAUUUAACUUUAAGAUUUUUUAAAAUCUUUACAAUAAGUAUAACUAUAUUAUUUACAUUUAAAAAUAUUUAAAUAUUAUUAACCUACAAUUAUAUUUGCAUUUGUUAGAAAUUUUUUAAGUCAAAUAUUUUGCACUUCUAUAUUAUUAGAAUUAUUGCACAAAAAGAAAGAAACAUACACCUUUAGAAAUUGUUUUCUUUUAAAAUAGAGAUGAUGAUUAGUAUAAGGAUGAAAAAAAGGAUAAAGAAUAUUAAUGAUUAACGAAAUCUCUAUACAAAUUGAUUUUAGUAGGAAAAGAGUGAGAUGAAUGAUUUCUUUUACAGUUAGAAACAUAGAUGAUGAUUAUUAUAACGAAGAAAAAAAGAUAAAGAAUAUUAAUUAUUAAUGGAAUCUCUAUACAAAUUGAUUUUAGUAGGAAAAAAAUGAUUAAAUGAUUUAGAGUGCGUUUGGAAUUGAGAUUGGGCAGCCAUAGAUUUUAAGUUACAACACUGAAGUGUUUAGUAAAUACUAGUUGCUGCAGAUUGAAAGUUAUGUUGAUAUGAUUUUUCACAUGUAUCAUAGAAAAUAUAUUACAUCUUUAAUAUUUUUUAAAAAUUUAUAUUUGCUAUAUAUUAUUAAUUUUUUUUUAUAGUUAUAACUUUUUUUCCACAACAGUUGUAGCUUAAAAGUCACAGCACCUCAAUCUCAAACAAAUCCUUAGACAUUCAUAGUGUGUUUAUUUUUUGGAUUGGUGAAUCAAAAUUAUUGACAACGCUAACUUCAUCUUCACUGUUCGCAAUCCAACAGCAGCAAUUGUCGCCAAUAAUGAUAUCUCCAAUGAUGAUGACAAUUAUUAUUAUUAUUUUUAUUAUUAUUAUUAUUAUUAUUAUUAUUAUUAUUAAUUAAUUAAUUAAUUAAUUAAUUAAUUAAUUAAUAUAUUAAUGUUGAUAUUAUUAUUAUUAAGAUUAACAAUAAUUAUUAGUAAUACAAUUUUUUGAAUAAAAAUAAUCACAAUAAUUAAAAUACAAAUUAAUAAUUAUGACAAUAAUUAAUUAAUGUCUUUUUAGUAAUUUGUAAUAAUCUAACUCAUUUUGGUUCUGAUUAUUACAGCUUAAGUAAACAAAUUAUUAUGAUUCCUAUUCUCCUUUCCCAUUUUAACUCACUUUGAUUCCAGUCUAUUCCGAUUUCUAUUUAAUAAAUGCACCAUUAGUGCUAAAGUAAUAUUUCAUACAUAGAAAAAUAAAAACUACGCCUAAGGUUAAGGGAAAAGACUUCAAAAUUCUCUUUUGAUCAUAAUACAUUUUGUCCUAAUUAACUUAAAGAUUUUGAAUCUAAUAUUUUAUAAUAAAUAAAAAUAUAUUCCUAAAAUAAAUAUAAUAUCAAUAUUUAAAAUAUGUUUUAAUAUUUUACAAUCUAUCAUACACAUUUUAUUAUAUUAAAGUAGAUUUAUAAUAAAUAUAUAAAAAUUUAGAAUAUUUAGAAUAUUAUAUAAAAUAAUUUUAAUAUAAUGCGUGAUAUAUAUUUUAUUAAUUUAAAAUGUCAUUUUACCUAAAAAAUAUGAUAAAUUAAUAAUUACAUAUUUGAAGUUAUUUCAAAUAUUAAAAAAAUUUAAUAUUAUUAAUCUUUUAGAUAGAUUAAAUUAUUUUUUAUAAGAGAGAUUAAAUUAUUUUAAAAUGCCUUAAUUGUUUUUACUUUUAACGUUACGGGCCUUUCUUUUAUUUUAUUGCAAAUUAAUGCUAACUAGAAAAACAAAAACAAAAGUGACAAACACAACCAGCUGGAAUCUUUUAUAAAACUACAAAUUAAAAUGGAUUUUUUUUUUUUGUUGAUAAAUUACACAUGAAAGUGGAUUCUUUUGAAUAUAAGUGGGGUAGGCUCUUUUAUUUUUUUUUUAAUACCGUAUAACAGGACUGUAGACUCUUUUAUUAAGCACAAAUAUAGAGUUGUCGAGACAAUUAGGGUCUUUUAUUAAACUACAAAUUGUAUAGUCUUUUUUAAAUUGUUCAGAUAUUUAUAAAUUGGUGGCCCCUACAAUCCUCAAUAAUUGUACCGAUAUUCACAAGCUGGUGGCCCCUACAAUCCUUAAUAAUUGUUUUUUUUUUUUUCUGCAUUCCCUUUCAUGCUCUUAAUAAUUAAAGAGCAUACUUUUCAAAUGUGGAGCCGCGGCUAAUGUCGCUAAUUUAAUUUGGGAUUAAAUUAGGGGACUAUUAUAUUGCAGUGUGCACUAAUUUUUAUGUUUAUCUAAACUCCUUAAAUUUAAGAUAUAUUAUGGCAUAAAUAAGAAUAUAACAAUAGCAAAAGAGUUAGAAAGUGUAGAGAAGAUCUUGCAGAAAUAUAAAUAAUAUUUAUUUUAAAAUAAUAUCAAUAUUUAAAAUAAUUUUUAUUAUUUUAUGAUCCAUUAGAUAUAUUUUAUUAUAUUAAAGUAAAUUUUAUAAUAAAUAAAAACAUACUAUUAAAAUGAAUAUAUAGAAAAUUUAGAGUAUUUUAAGUAUUAUAUAAAAUAAUUUUAAUAAAAUAUGUGAGAUAUUCAUAUUUUAUUAAUUUAAAAUACCAUUUAACCUAAAGAUUUAUUUAUGAUAAAUUAAUAAUUAUAUUUUUGAAAUUACUUCAAAUAUUAAAAAAAUUAAUAUUACUAAUCUAUUAGAUAGAUUAAAUUAUAUAUAUUAUUUUCUAUUUAUUAAAAAAUUUCAAAUUAUUUUUAAUUACUAUUCAAAAAAUAUGAUGAUAAAAAAAUCUUAACAUCUUUAUUAAAAAAUUAAAAACUUACAUGAUCAAUUCUCUAAAUAUUUAGGGUAUAUGUGAACCACGGUGGACAGAGGUCAUUACUAAAAUUUCUCUUCCACAGGCAAUUACAGCAGCUCCAGUUUAUCAAACUCAACCAAUUUUCUUUCUUAACAAAAUUCCAAAGAUGUGUAGCUUUUUUCAGAUCACAUGCGAUGGUGCUUUUUUCAAUCGUUGCUUGGAUUGCUUUCUUGGAAAAGCAGCAUACAUACGUAACCUCCAAGAUAAUCUUGAUGCCUUGGACACUGAACUGGGAAGACUAAUCGCAGCAAAGAACGAUGUGAUGAUUAGGGUUGUCAAUGCUGAACGGCAAUAAAUGAGAAGGCUGGACGGAGUGCAAGUGUGGGUUUCGAGUGUGGAUGCUGUUAAAACUGGAGCCGAUGAACUUAUCACAGACGGCUCUGAAGAAAUUGGCAAAUUAUGUGUUGGAGGCUACUGUUCCAAGAACUGCAGGUCAAGCUACAAAUUCGGAAAACAAGUGGCUAGAAAGCUACGAGAUGUGGAGACUUUAAUCGCCGAAGGAGUUUUUGAGGCGGUGGCUACUGAGGUGGUGCCUGAGAGAGCUCCAGAGCCUGUAGCAGAUGAAAGACCUACCGAGCGAAAAGUAGUAGGCUUGCAAUCACAACUUGAACAAGUCUGGACGUGUCUUGUGGAAGAAUCAGCGGGAAUCAUUGGCCUAUACGGUAUGGGCGGUGUUGGUAAAACCACACUAUUGACCCAUAUCAACAAUAAAUUUCUCGAGAGUCCAACCAACUUUGAUUGUGUGAUUUGGGUAGUAGUUUCAAAAGACCUGCGACUUGAAAAACUUCAAGAAGAUAUUGGGAAAAAGAUAGGUUUGGUUGGUGAUUCAUGGAAGAGUAGAAGUGCAGAGGAGAAAGCUCUCGACAUCUUCCGGAGUCUAAGAGGGAAGAGAAUUGUAUUGUUGUUAGAUGAUAUAUGGGAGCGGGUUGAUUUAACAAAAGUGGGCGUUCCACUUCCUGGACCACAAAAUACUACCUCAAAAGUCGUAUUCACAACNNNNNNNNNNNNNNNNNNNNNNNNNNNNNNNNNNNNNNNNNNNNNNNNNNNNNNNNNNNNNNNNNNNNNNNNNNNNNNNNNNNNNNNNNNNNNNNNNNNNNNNNNNNNNNNNNNNNNNNNNNNNNNNNNNNNNNNNNNNNNNNNNNNNNNNNNNNNNNNNNNNNNNNNNNNNNNNNNNNNNNNNNNNNNNNNNNNNNNNNNNNNNNNNNNNNNNNNNNNNNNNNNNNNNNNNNNNNNNNNNNNNNNNNNNNNNNNNNNNNNNNNNNNNNNNNNNNNNNNNNNNNNNNNNNNNNNNNNNNNNNNNNNNNNNNNNNNNNNNNNNNNNNNNNNNNNNNNNNNNNNNNNNNNNNNNNNNNNNNNNNNNNNNNNNNNNNNNNNNNNNNNNNNNNNNNNNNNNNNNNNNNNNNNNNNNNNNNNNNNNNNNNNNNNNNNNNNNNNNNNNNNNNNNNNNNNNNNNNNNNNNNCAGGAAGUCCUAGUGCGUGCUAUCAGAAAAGAUGCUGGGAACUGUUUCGCGAAAAUGUUGGGGAAGAAACUCUUGAGAGUGAUCAUGAGAUCGUUGAGCUAGCCCAAACUGUGGCCAAAGAGUGUGGUGGUUUGCCACUCGCACUUAUUACUAUUGGUCGAGCUAUGGCCUACAGAAAGAAAGCGGAGCAGUGGAGACGUGCAAUUGAAGAGUUAAGAAGAUCAGCUUCAGAGUUUGCAGGUUUGGGAAAAGAGGUGUAUCCUCUUUUAAAGUUUAGCUAUGAUAGUUUGCAGAAUGAUACAAUUAGAUCUUGUUUCUUGUAUUGUUGUUUAUAUUCUGAAGAUUAUGGCAUUCUUAAAUGGGACUUGAUUGAUUGUUGGAUUGGUGAGGGAUUUUUGGGGGAAUCUGACAGGUUUGGUGCAGAAAACCAAGGAUAUGACAUUUUGGACACUCUUGUUCGUGCAUGUUUAUUAGAAGAGGUGGAAGAAGAUGAAGUAAAAAUGCAUGACGUUAUUCGUGAUAUGGCUAUAUGGAUAAC